CAACCGGGAUCUCUCUCUAUUACUUAUUUCCAUUCUUCCAAUAGUCGAUUUAUACUUCAACAUCAUCUAAUAUAUAUAAUAGGCUGAAAUAUAAGAAUGUAAAUGAAAUUAAUGUAUUAUUUACGUACAAACUUACCUCGGUGCAAAAUAUGGGAAUUUUGCAAUUUAGUCCAAAACUUUCUCCUUCCCCCGUUCGAGGUCGAUUCCACGCUUUUCUUGAUCUAUAACAACAUAUUUAGUUCAUUUAACAAUCGAACUAUUUAUUUUAAUUCAAAAAUCACAUUAUACAAAAAUUACAUUUUUGCCCCCUAACUUUUACAAAAUUAUGAUUUUUCCCCAAGGCUCAGAAAUUUAAUUUCAGCCCUUAUUCUUAUGUUUAAUGACCUACUGAUCAUUUUUCUCUUCUAUGGAAACAUCAAAUUCUCACUCUAACACAUAGUUAUGAAUAAUAGGUAUUUUUAUCGAUUAUGCUGUUUUGCUCGUUUUCGUUAAAAAUCGCUUAGAAAAGAUCGUUCUCCUAACUUCAAACAUUCAUAUUCUACCAUCAAACAACACAAUACAUGCCUAUCAUUCAUGGGUAAAUUUUUAAGCAUACACCCUAACUCGAAAUAAUGGUAGAAAUAAGUAAAUCGAGCUACGAAGAUUUCAAAAAUGUGAAGAACAUUAAAAACGGGGCUUGAAAUCACUUACUAUGAAGCUUGAAAAUUGAAGAAACCCUAGCUAUGGAGGAGAGAAAAUUUCGGCAGCAACUAGUGAAGAUGAUGACCAAUUUUGUGUUAUUUUUCCCAUUUUAUUUCAUUUAAUAUACAAAUUACCAAAAUGCCCUUACUACUAAACUUUCCACAAAUUCCCUCCAUGUCCAACUUUUGUCCAUAACUUAGGAAUGGGUCAAAUUGCUAUUUAAGACCUCCUAGUUAAUAUCCCAAAACAAUUUCAUACUAAAAACUUCUAAAACACAAGUUUUACAAUUUAUUCGAUUUAGUCCCUAAUCUCAACUUAAGCGCUCAAUGCAUAGAAUUUCAUCACGAAAUUUUCACGAAAUCAUGAAAUCAUAUCAUAAACCCCAAAAUAAUUAUAAAACAAUUAUUUCUAUCUCAGAUUUGUGGUCACGAAACCACUAUUCUGAUUAGGCCCUAAUUCGGGUUGUCACAAUUCUCCCCCCUUUAGAGAUUUUCGUCCCCAAAAAUCUUACCGGUAAAGAGGUUUGGGUACUGUUUCCUCAUAGCUUCCUCAGGUUCCCACGUAGCCUCUUCUAUCCCAUGUCUGUGCCACAAUACUUUCACUAAGGCUAUACUUUUAUUUCUUAACUGUUUAAUUUCUCGAGCCAAAAUCUUUAUUGGUUCCUCCUCAUAGGUCAUAUCCGGUCGAAUCUCAAUUUCUGUUGGAGAAAUCACAUGUGAAGGAUCAUAACGAUAACGUCGCAACAUUGAUACAUGAAACACGUUAUGAAUUCUUUCUAACUCUGUCGGUAAGGCCAACCGAUAUGCCACUGGCCCAAUCUUCUCACUACUUUAGCCAUUUACUUUUACUGCAAUUUAAAUUUUAUUCUAAUUUUUAUUACUAAUUCUUCUUUUUCCCUUUUUCUGACAGGUUCUUAUAGUUUAUGACUAGAAGAAACCCUUCAGGACCAUUACUUUUUGACAGUGAGAUCGAUCGCACAAUUCGCAGAAACCAAAGAGAAAUAAGGCAAAGCUUAAGAUACACAGAGAACGAGAAAGAGGACGAUAUUCAAACCACAACUAACGAGAUGGCUGAAAAUCAAGAAAACCUGAUACCUCCUGCGAUUGCUGUUAAUCUAAUAAAUCAGAAUCCUGCUUCGCGCACUAUGUAUGAUUAUGCUUAACCGUCUUUAACAGGAACUGAAUCGAGCAUAGUUAGGCCUGCUGUAGCUGCAAAUACUUUUGAACUGAAACUUAACACAAUUCAAAUGAUAUAGCAAUUUGUUUAGUUUGAUGGUUUACAGGACGAGGAUCCCAACGCUCACUUAGCAAACUUUUUAGAACUAUGUGAUACAUUUAAAAUUAAUGGCAUUUCUGAUGAUGCCAUUCGCCUUCGGUUAUUCCCUUUUUCAUUAAAAACAAAGCUAAACAGUGGUUGAAUUCUUUACUGCGGGGGUCAAUCACUACUUGGGAACAAAUGACUGAAAAGUUCUUAUUAAAAUAUUUUUCGCUGGCUAAAAUGGCUAAAUUACGUAAUUAUAUCUCUUCUUUUGUACAAAUGGAUUUAGAAACACUCUACGAUGCAUGGGAGAGAUAUAAGGACCUUUUGCUAAGAUGCCCUCACCAUGGGUUACCACUCUGGCUAUAGGUUCAAACUUUUCAUAAUGGCCUAAAUCCUUCGACUCGACAAAUGGUUGACGCAGCUGCUGGUGGAACCAUCAAUAAUAAAACAGCUGAUGAUGCCUAUGAAUUUAAUCCAAGGUAGCCUGCCAAGCAACACUGAAUCUAAUCCAAGGAAGCAACUCAACGCAAUUUCCAUUCAAGAUGAGGAAGGGCUAGUGGCAAAACCAAGGCCAGAACUAGUGGUAAGCGAAGGUAAGAAUGAGGUAGGCCAAAACGAACAAAAAUCGGUAAGUCCAGAAUAUAAACUCGUGUGCUAUACCCCAAUGCGACAAGGAAAGACCGCUCAGGUGAAAAUUUUGGUAAAUUCCUUAAACUUUUAAAGAAACUACAUAAUAACUUACCGUUUAUUGAAGCACUUUCACAGAUGCCAAACACAAUCAAAUUGUUAAAGGAGCUUCUGGCAAAUAAACGAAAGUUAGAUGAAAGGUCGCAUGUGGAGCUGAACGCUGUUUGCUCAUCCAUUCUUCAGAAUAAGCUACCCAACAAACUAAAAGAUCCAAGGAGUUUUACGAUUCCUUAUUUAGUUGGUAGUUUAGAUGUUAAUAAUGCGUUGGCUGAUCUAAGGGCUAGUAUCAAUGUUAUGCCUUACAAAUUGUUUAAGCAACUAGGUCUAGGGAAACCCAAACAAACUAGGAUGAGCAUUCAAUUAGCAGAUAAAACUGUCAGAUUUCCUAGGGGUAUUAUUGAAGACGUACUCGUUAAAAUUGACAAAUUUAUAUUCCCAUUUGAUUUUUUUUGUUUUAGACAUAGAAGAGGAUAGUAACGUUCCUUUAAUUUUGGGAAAGCCCUUUUUAGCAACUGUUAGAACAAUUAUUGACGUUGGCAUAGGUGAACUCACACUUCGUGUAGGAGACGAAACAAUCACCCUUCAAGCUCGCAACCCGAACAACACAUCAAAAAUUGAAGGUAAUUGUACAAAUUGUUCCAGUAAGACUGAUCAUAAGUUCGAAGGACACACAUGAGCCAUGUUCAAUCCACAACAAAGAAUCUACCCAUGAAGAACGAAGGUUACGAAUCAAGGAGUUAGAUGAAUGGCUAACAUUUAAACUGAGAAAACACGAUAAACUAAAACUACGUCAGAAUGAGUGCCUCACCAAAUUAACUUAAGGUUGGAGAUAAAGUUUCAUUAGAUGCCGCAGAUCCUCAUUGACACUGCCAAACCGAAUGAAGAAAUUCCUCUUACGGUACUUAGCAUUUUCCCAUUUGGUACAGUCGAGGUAAGUCAUCCCAAAUUCGGCACCUUCGGCACCUUUAAGGUAAACAAUACCCGCCUAAAACCUUAUUUUGAUGGGAUUCAUAGCAGGAAUGAGGAAUAUAAACUCCUCGAACCACCAUGACCAUUCACCAGAAAGGUAAGUCGAGCUUAGACUAUAAAUAAAUGCUUCUCGGGAGGUAACCUGAGCACUAAAAAUAUUAAUUUCUUUAAAUUUUAGUUUUAACAUCUAACAUACUAACCGACUCAUGGAACGUAGGCUUUCUAAAGCACACACGGCCAGGCACACGGGCGUGCCUUAGGCCGUGUGAAAAUAGGGUGAAAUUUUCCCCAACACGGGAUGUGAUAAGUCACCACGACGUGCAUUAGGACCGUGGGCGAAUCUGCCAAAACAAUGCGGGUGUGUGACACGCCAGUGUCAUAGAAACGUGGUUAAACCUGAGAAAAUAGCACGGGCAUUCGCCAUGCCCGUGUCUAAAACCCGUGGCCGAACUUUUCAAAUUAACAUCGGCGUGGGCCUACAUACACAGGCUUGGGAGAAGCGAUCGAAGACAGACACGGCCGUGUGCACCCACAUGCCCAAGGAACACGGGCAUGGGCCAAAUGUCAGACGCGCCCAAACUCAAAAUUCACGAAUCACACGGGCAAAAAUUGGGGAACACGGGCGUGUCCUCUGGCUGUGUGUCUCAAAAUCUAUAAAUACCCUUCACUAUUCAUCAUCUUCUUCACCCAAAAUCCCUAACCCUAGCCGCUGCAAGUCCACAUGGCCUCUCUGCCAUGGCCAUGCGCCGCAUCCAACUCCAUUUUCGACACCCAUUCUCAUCCUUUUAGCAUUAGUUUACUCUUUUCUCUCUAUUUCCUUCAUCCCUUUUAAUAAUUCUAUGAUUCUUAUGGUUUUAUUUGGCAUAUUUUUUAUUUUUUUUCAUAGUUCUCACUAUAGUCAUGCUUAUCGUUUAUUCUUUGCCAUUUUAGUCAAUGCUUUCUGAUACAUUCAUUCUUUUCGUGUGUUCCCAUAAGAGUCUAGUUCAGUCAUUUUAUUUUGAAAAUAAUCAUGCUUUUAUUAUGUCAAUUGCUAUAUAAACUUCUAUCAUUUAGAUUAAACUACUGAGUAUUAUUGGUUGGACUGGUUAGUUUAACUAUAUUCAUGAUUACUUCUUAAGUUAAUUAUUUAUGUUAUAUUCUUUGUUCUUCUUGCAGGUAUACCAUCACAAGCUCACGUGGUAAGAAAACUGUCAUUCCCGCUUCGAAAAAGUAGAAAGAGGCGUCUUCCUCAGGCCCUACCGCGGAAAUUCACCACCCAUACCUCCAAUUUCCACCCGACAAUUAGGAGGAACUAUUCCAAAUUCUACGGGCCCAACCUUUAGGUGUGGGCCACUGCAUUGACUGGACAGUGCUUGAACAAGUCCAGUUGGCUGACAAUGUACGAGCACUCCUGACAACCGACCCAUGAGACCUCUUCUUUGCGAUCAUCGAGCCGACGUACCUUAAGCUCACACUUGAACUUUGCUCGACAUUCCAUGUUCAAGACGUCAUGACCAACUUUGAUGAUCCUGGAAUAGUCUAGUUCCGUCUCUGCGGUUUAGUCCGCUAGUUGAAUGUGCCCGAGUUGGGUAUAGCUUUGGGCUUGUACACAGAAGAGUUUAUGGAUUAGAACGACCUUGACACUCUCUGUCGCCAUAUUCACUACUUUUCCUCGAAGUGCUGGUAUGCUUUGGUCCCCAGUUCAGCCACUUACUACCCAAGCCACUCCAAGGCAUCGGCUCUCUCUCCCUCCUUGCGGUACCUACAUGCCAUCUUGGCACACACUUUAACAGGACGUCAAGAGAGCACCGGUAUCGUCAACACUCACAAUGCUUACUUUCUAUGGAGCAUGGCGAAUGGGCAUGUACUCGACCUCGCCUAUUUUAUUACCCUCGCCAUUCGCCACCAGACGGAGCGACAUCGAAGGGGGGUCAUCUCGACUGGCCCCUACGUGACUCGACUGGCACGGCACUUCGGGCUCCUCAACACAGCAGGCCAAUCAUCCUCCCUUACUCUUAUUGGCCAGAUGUCCCCACAAGGCAUCUCGAGCAUGUUCAGUAUGAGGAUGAUCAAGAAGCCCCGAAUAACCCACCCUCCUUAGUAUCGCCUCUCCCAAUCAGUCGAGGAGGGAGACCUUGAGAAUAUUACUGAUGAUGUCCCUCCACGUCAUGAGGACCUACCGUCUCAGCCACCACCACCCUCUCAUCCAGUUCAUACGGCGACUUCGUACGCUGACAUCUCUGAGCGCCUUACCCGAUUGAAGCAACAGUGUUUUCAGUGGUUCGAUAAUAUUGACGCUACUUUACAGCAAAUUUUUCAACACUUCCAGAUCUCAUCGCCACCCCCACCUCGAUAAAUAUUUAUAAUGAAGAUCAAACCUAGACUAACUAUUAUCACGAUGAAAAAGCAAGUACACCUAUCGAACAAUAGUAUAGUAAUGGCAAGACCGGAUAUCGUACCUAAGGGAACCAAAAGUACUAGUAAUAACUAUCUUUUUAUUAUCUAACCUAGAAAUAAAGAGGGGUUGUUUAUUAAACUAAUUAACUAAACUAAUUAACUAAUUAAACUAAAGUAAAGAGAAGAGUUGGAAAAAGACUUGAAGAAAAUUAAUUUGAUAAAAACGACACCCAAGGAGGAAUCCACCUAGAUUUCACUUGUUAUCUGACUCUAAACCAGAAGAUUUAUUCACUUGACUUGAUCCGUGAGACUCCCUAACCUAUGUUAUUAUCUCUUUCGAGACUAAUAAUAUCUAACCCUCGGUUUAAUUAAUCAAAAUUUCAUUCUUAAUUAAAACCCUUAGGGAAGCAGUAAAUCGAUCUAUGGACUCCCAUAUUAGGUUUCACCCUAAUCUGGCAAAAUCUCGUAACCCUAUUUCUAGGCGUUCGAUCAACUCCGCUUAAUUAUGCCAAAUCUACUCUUAGACAGGGACUUUUGCUCCUCUGCAUAAGCACAUCAAAUCAUGAAUUAAUACCUGGAAUAUUAACUCAAGCAUUAAGACACAUAAUUAAGAACAAGUCAAGUAUUUAUCAUAUAGUUCAGAUAAUAAUAACAAGAUCCAUCAUAGGUUUCAACCCCCUUAGGUAUCUAAGGGGUUUAGUUCAUAAUAAGAUAAGAGUACAUCUCAAAAGUAUGAAAAUAACAAAACAUAAAGAAAGCUCUAAAACCCCUGAAGGAAUUUUGAGAGAGAUCUUCAGUCUUGAAGUAGCUCCGGCUUUUGGGGUGGAUCGUCUGGCUUCCUUCAAGUAAUUCCUAGCGUGUGGUUCUGUAUUCCAGAGAAGUUCUGGAAGAGGGCCCCUUUCUAAGUCAUACUUAGGGUGUUUAUAUAGGCUUUGGAUUGGCUUUCUUCCUCCCUAAGUAUCAUUUUUCGUGUAAAAUACAACUCUUUGAGAAAAGGGACACGCCCGUGUGCCACGGCCGUGUGACGUGAUUACCACGUCGUGUUUGAUCCAUUAAUUUUCACAUGACCGUGUGGGUCAAUGGCCAGGCCAUGCGAAUCGUGAAAGCCCUUGGCCGACACCCUCGAAAGACACGAGUAUGUGAGCAGUUCGUGUGGAAAGGCUUAGGCCGUGUCAUCUUCUCGAUUUGGUCUGUUUUGUCCCUUUUUUAGCUCAUUUUUGGCUCCUUUUGACUCUUGGUGCUCUCGUAAGUACAAAACAUGAAAUAACCGAACUAAGAGUUCCAAAAUCCAAAAAUCUAGUGAUAAACAUCCAUAAAUAUGCUAAGUAUUUGGGGUAAAAAUAUGUAUAAUUUGGCAUUUAUCAAAUACACCCACACUUAAGCAUUUGCUUGUCCUCAAGCAAAACUUUCAUUUAUUGCUAUAAUUCCUUCCUUUCAAUCACACAAUCAUUACUGAUAAUGUUACAAACUAUUCCAUGGAAAAUCAUACAGUGAGAAUUCAACCAUAGGGGCAUUAAAAGCCUCAAACAAUCUAAAUCGAAUAUUUUGAUAAUAAAAUUAUAGGUAAUCUCCUUCCUCUAAGUAAUUGGCUUUAGUCCUAAAUAUACAAAAGAUGACAUCCUCACUAGCGAUCCACUCAAAUCACUCAAAGUGUUUAAAGUUUAAGAUUAAGCACUCGGUUGUCUAACAUGAGAAGUUAUUACCAUAGGCUUGCAUGAAAAUCAAAUCUCCACCACUUGUAAAUGAUAUGAUACACAAAUCAAAAGGUCUUUGUAUAGUUGUAACAGGGUUUAAGGGACGGGUAUAGAUACAAACUGAAGAGACAAAGGUUAAAAUCGAGAUAAUUUCAAUAUAUUACCCCACUAUCAAAAACUUAAUUAUUGAAUCACAAACAAAUAUCUAGAACUAUAUUACAUGAGCUCAUGACAACUUUAGCUUGCUGAGGAUUACAAUAACAAUACUGAGAGUUUUUUUUUGGUUUCAAGAACAAAACAAGUCAAUACAAUAUAAAAAUCAUACUUCAUGAUUCAGUAACAAAAAAUGGUGAACAUAGUGAGGUAACAAUAUUAAAUUUAAUCUCGAUAAAAAAAGUAAAUUAAUUAAGAGGAUUUCAACAAUAAUGGGUUAAUGGGUUAAUGAUAAGGGUUAAUCAAUAAAAAAGUUUAGUAGGCUCAAAAGAGGUUCACUAAGGGUUUAAUUAUGUGGGAAGGCUUUUUAUGGAAUAAGUGGGUUAAAUCCUAAGUGCCUUUAUCAUCUCAGUAUAUCAAAUCAUACGUGUGAUCUCGACAUGUAUAAUUGAAGAAAGUUCUAGAAUAACAGUUCAAUGUUGACACACUCAAACCACAAAAUAAGUGAGCAAGAAAGAAAGCUUAUAUGCUCAAAAAGCUCAAAAAUCUCACGAAAAAUUUGGGUUUGUGAUGUCAUUCCUGUAUACUUAAGAUUUCAAGAUAAUACCUCAAUUUAGGAAAGUAGUCUAAAAAUUUUAGUUAUCAAAAUAUCAACUUAUCAUGCUCAAUUCUCUAAUGUCCUAUAAUCAAAUGAUCAUGCAUAAUUCCCAUGAUCUAAUUCAUGACAUAUCAACAAUAAUUAUAGAUCAAUCAGAAUUCAUUCGAUUAAGAUUAUGAGAAAAUCACUUAAGCACAAAACCAAAUUCAGGGAUUUGAGAAUAAUGCAAAAAGUUAGGUUUCAUGUUCAUGUUCACCCCCCACACUUAAGAUGUACAUUGCCCUCAAUGUACAAAGAUAGAUUAAUCAAAAUAAAGAAAGUCAUAAGAGGGAAAGAGGUGAAACUCCCUGUUAUAUGGAUGCAGAGGUUGAUUCUGAGGCUGGAGUGUUUGGGGAAAGUGGUAGCUGCCACUGUUCUUGGCUAGAUGAAGAAAUUGGGUCAUUGAACAUGGCACUCGUUGGGUAUUGUCCCUAUUUGUUUCCUCAGUUCGUAAAAUAUUCCUAGCAACUUUGCUUGGAAUUCUGUAGAAUCAUGAAGAGCUUAUUAAGAGUUGGUGUGGAAGAGAGCGUAGUAGGAUUACUUGUUAGAAAUACCAGAAAAAAAUGAAGAAAGUAAAAUUUACUAAUAUAGAUAUGUCUUUCAAAAGAAAAUAAUAAGAUUGAAAUGAAAAUAAAAAAAGAAAAAGAAAAAUAGAGAUAAAAAUAAAAAGAUAGAAGGAUUCAAUGAUCCUCAUCAGUGGGGCCCUCAGUUGGUGGCGCUGGAGUGGCAAUGUGAAAGUGCUGGCACAGCUACUGCAUCAUGGCUUGCAUGUCGUCCAUCUGUCUAUCACAUCGCCGAUCUCGCUCGUGAAUCAUCUCGAACUGUUACUGCUCAAAGUGAGCGAGUCGGUCAGAAAGGUGUGCCAAUGAAAAAGCCGCAUGAACUGGUCGUUCCCCAGAUAGCGUGAUAGGAGGCUCCUCGUGCUGUGGUGGGACAUCAUCAGGAAUGUCCUCAAGAUCCUCCUCAUCAAUGGCAUGAGUGAGACGGUACUGAAGAGGAUCGGUCCCACGUCGGCGCUCAAUCAUCCUUAUGUGUAACAUAGUAGUGAUGCCCUGUGGGGACAUCUGACCUAUCAGUGUAAACGCUGAUGACUGGACCACAGUGUUGAGGAGGCCGAAGUGUCUGGCAAGGUGCGUCACGUAGGGGCCGAUAGAGAUUACUCCCUUCCAAUGCCGCUCGGUCAGAUGGCGAAUGGCGAAAGUAAUGAAAUAUGCCAAGUCAGUCACAUGUGCAUUCGCCAUGCACAAUAAAUAGUAGGCGUCGUGGGUGGUGACAACGCCGAUGCUCUCUCUCCUUCUGGUCAAAGUGUGUACCAAUAUGGCAUGGAGAUAUCGUAGGGAAGGGGGAGAGCUGAGGCCUUCGAGCGGCUGCGGUCAUAAGUGGAAGAGAGUGGUGCCAAAACCUUCCAGCACAAGAAGGGAGAAAUAUGGAUAUUGCGUGGUAGUGCAUUCAUGUCCUCCUCCUCCAUAAACUCAUCAACGUAAAUUCCCAAAGCAACUCCAAACUCUGGGACACUCAUCGCGUGAACUAGACCGCCUAAUCGGAAGUGAAUGGUGCCGGGGUUAUCAUUGUUCGUCAUCACCACCUGUAAAUGAAAAGUAGAGCAUAAUUCUAAAGUUAGCUCUAAAUAAGUGGGCUUGAUAAUAGCGAAGAACCGUUCCUAUAGGUCUAUGGACAGGAGGGCGUGGAUGGCAACAGCUAGCUGGACUUACUCUACGGCAGCCCAGUGAUGCAGAGACCUGUAGAGAAGGGUCGUGCGCGUAGUAUCUGAAAUAGCUCCUCCUGCGAAGCUUGUGGAAAUUUAAGGAAUGGGUGCCGAAAUUCAACUGUAGCACGUACCGAGGAAUAACCCGAUCCCCUAUGUCUCUUUGAGGAUGGGACCGCGACCUUCUUACCUCUCGAUGAUGACAUAAGGUACCAGAAAAUGUAGGAGCAUUGAUAUAGUAGUUUCAAGAUGUGGUAACAUUUAUCGAUAUCAAGCGAGAGGUGAAAAUUUUAUAUGAUUAUUCAAAAACAUAUACUGAGAUAAAAAAUGCAUGAUCGGUUAAGCAAGAAUCCUAGAACUAGUAUAUGCUAUUUAGUAGCUUAAAAAAUUUAAAUAUAGAAAAUACUAAAGCAAAUUCUUAACUUAUUCAGAACAAAUUGGUAACAGAAACAAUAUCUUUGUAAGGCAUAUAGAACACUAAUGUAGUAACACAAAUUGGAAAAACAAGGUUGACAAAGUGAACCAAAAUUGCUGUAAGGCGGCGCACGAGUGUGUUGAUGGCGAGCACGGGCGUGGGGCGUGAGUGUACAGUCGUGUGGAGGAAAAAUAGAGGGAAAAGUGAGGAUUGAUGCAGGGGGAGUGGAUUUGAGGGUGGUUUGGGGGUUGGGGAAGUGAGAAUCUAGGGAAUGGUGGUCGGAAUAAGGAUUAGGGAGUGGAGAAGGAUAGAUUUCAACUGGGGUUUUGAAAGAAGGAAGAAGAUGAACAGUGGUUUGCUUAUAUAAGGGAGAGUCACAAGGCCUAGGGCCACACCCGUGUACUCUGAGGGUGAGCCCGUGUUUUUCAAAUUUUACGAUUUAGGUCGUGCCCAGCUACUAUCCCACGCAUGUGUGUCUUGGGCGUGUGUGGCACAUGGCCAUGUCGCACGCCCGUGCCUAGCUUUGUUACCAUACCCGUGUAUUGUUGUCCACAGCUUAAAGGCAUAGGCGUGCCUCACACCCGUGUCAAAGAAACAGAAUCGAGCCUUGCCCUUGGCACGUCCGUGUUGUUUCAUUCCCACGCCCGAGUUCACCUAUGAAGUUCAUCCACGGCCAUUUCGCACAGCUGUGGGGAGUUUUUGCAUCCCGUGUUUGGGGAAAUCAUGUCCUGCUUUCACACGGCCGUAUAGCACGGCCGUGUCUCUUCCCCUGUUUUCCACGGCUUUAGACACUCCCGUGUUCCUGGCCGUGUGUGCUGAAAAACUUUGCUAUUCAAAGAUAAAGUUAAUGAUUUAACUUGUUAGAAUUUAAAAAUAAAGAAAUCAAAAUAUGUUAGUGCUCGGGUUGCCUCCUAAGAAGUGCUUAUUUAUAGUCUAAGCUCGACUUACCUCUCUAGUGAAUGGUCAGGGUGGUUCGAGGAGUUUAUACUCCUCAUUCCUGCUAUCAACCUCAUCAAAAUAGGGUUUUAAUCGGGUGUUGUUUACCUGAAAAGUGCCAAACUUUCGGUGAUUCACCUCCACCGUAUGGAAUGGAAAUAUACUGAGUACCGUAAGAGGGAUUUCCUCAUGCGGUGUGGUAGUGACAAUGUGGGGAUCUGCGGCAUCUAGUAAGACUUUAUCGCCAACCUUAAGUUGAUUAGGAGAGGUAUUGGGCUUGUUUUGGCGUAGUUUCGAUUUAUCAUGUGUUCUCGAUUUGUGUGCUCACCAUUCAUCUAUCUCCUCUAUCCGUAGGCUUCGUUCUUCAUGAACGUAUCCUUUAUCAUUUCCAGAACAUGGCUCAUGAAUGUCUUUGAAGCUCAAUUUCUACAAAGUCAUAUUGUCAAUUUUAGUAUAUUGGUGUGGACUAUUACCUUCAAUGUUCGAUGUAAUGUCAGAAUUAUGAGCUUUAAAGGUGAUCGUUUCAUCUCCCACACAAAGUGUAAGUUCACCUGUGCCAACAUCAAUAAUUGUUUUAGCAAUUGCUAAAAAGGGCCUCCCUAAAAUCAAAGGGGUGUUAUUAUCCUCCUCUAUGUCUAGAACAAUGAAAUCAAUGAGGAAUAUGAACUUAUAUCCUUUCACGAGUACAUCUUUAAUAAUACCCCUAGGAAAUCUUAUAGUUUUAUUUGCCAAUUGAAUGCUCAUCCUAGUUUGUUUAGGUUUCCCAAGAGCAAGUUGUUUAAACAUUUUGUAAGGCGUGACGUUAAUACUAGUCCCUAAAUCAGCUAAUGCAUGACUUAUAUCUAAACUACCAAUUAAACAAGGAAUUGUAAAACUCCCUGGAUCUUUCAAUUUGUGGGGUAGCUUAUUCUGUAGAAUAGCUGAGCAGACUGCGUUUAGCUCCACAUGUGAUGCUUCGUCCAACUUUCGCUUAUUUACUAAAAGCUCUUUCAAAAAUUUCAUUGCAUUUGGCAUUUGCGAAAAAGCUUCAAUAAACGGUAAGUUAAUAUGUAAUUUUUUCAAAAGUUUGAGGAAUUUACCGAAUUGUUCGUCCUUGUCACGUUAGUGUAUGGCACACGAGGUUCAUAUUUGACAGUCACUGGUUUGUUUGUAUUUUGAUCUACCUCAUCUCUCCUUUUUCUUACCACUGUUUCUUGCCUUGGUUCUAUUUUAGGCUCCACGACUCCUUCGUUAUUCUGGAUAUUAAUUGCGUUGAGCUAUUCCUGUGGGUUGGGUUCAGUGUUACUUGGUAAGCUACCUUGUGGUCGUUCGGAGAUUAGUUUGGAUAGUUAGCCUAUCUAAGUUUUGAGCCCUUGGAUCGAUGCUUGUUGAUUCUUAAGUGUUGUCUCGGUAUUUUGGAAACGGGCGUCUGACACUGAUAUGAAUUUUGAGAGCAUCUCUUCAAGGUUCAGUUUCUUCUCUUGUUGAUAAGGUGGCUGUUGAAAACCCUGAGGAUUUUGUGGCUUUUGAUUUCCUUGACCACCCUAGGAGAAAUUUGGGUGGUUCCUCCAACCUACAUUAUAAGUAUUACAGUAUGGGUUAUUUUGCGAUCUGAAGUUAUUGUUACCCAUAUAGUUGACUUGUUCCUCUUCGGUUAUGAGAUUGAAGGAUUGAUAUUCUGUAUGCACACCUCCUCCACUUGAGUCACACCUCAUUACUGGAUGUACCUACGUAGAACUAAGAAAACCAUCAAUCUUUUUAUUGAGAAGUUCUACCUGAUUUGACAGCAUAACAAUUGAGUCGACGUUAAAAACACCGACUAUUUUCGUUGGCUUAGUCCUCAUGACUUGCCACUGAUAAUUAUUCAGUGACAUCUCCUCUAUAAACUCAUAGGCAUCUUCCAGUGUUUUAUUGUUGAUGGUUCCGCCAGCAGCUGCGUCAACCAUUUGCCAAGUCGAAGGAUUCAGACCAUUGUGAAAUGUUUGUACUUGCAGCCAAAGUGGUAACCUAUGAUGAGGGCACCUUCUCAGUAAGUCCUUGUAUCUCUCCCAUGCAUCGUAAAGUGUUUCUAAAUCCAUCUGCACAAAAGAAGAGAUAUCAUUACUAAUUUAGCCAUUUUAGCCGGCGGAAAAUAUUUUAGUAAAAAUUUCUCGGUCAUUUGUUCCCAAGUAGUAAUUGACCCUCGUGGUAACGAGUUCAACCACUGUUUAGCUUUGUUCCUCAAUGAAAAAGGUAAUAACCAAAGACGAAUGGCAUCAUCAGAGACGCCAUUGAUUUUGAAUGUAUCGCAAAAUUCCAGGAAAUUUGCUAAGUGAGCGUUGGGAUCUUCAUCCUACAGACCAUCAAACUGAAAAAACUGCUGUAUCAUCUGAAUAGUGUUAGAUUUUAAUUCAAAAUUAUUUGCAGCUACAGCAGGUCUAACUAUGCUAGAUUCAGUUCCUGUUAGAAAAGGUUUAGCAUAAUCAUACAUAGUACGUGGAGCAGGAUUUUGAUUAGCUGUAAUUGCAGGAGGUAGCUGAUUGUCUUGGCUUUCAGCCAUCUCUUCAGUUGGGGGUUGAGUAUUGUCUUUUUGCUCGUUCUCCGUGUAUCUUAAGCUGCGCCUUAUUUCUCUUUGAUUUCUACGAACUGUACGAUCGAUUUCUUCGUCAAAAAGUAAUGGUCCCGACAGGUUUCUUCUAGUCAUAAACUAUAAAAACCUGCCAAGAGAAAGAAAAACUAACUUAAUAAAUAAUAAUAAUAAAAUUAAAUUGCAAGAAAAAUAAAUGGCUAAAGUAAUAAAAAUUUAGCAUUCCUAAUAUUUUAGUUCCCUAGCAACGGCGCCAAAAACUUGACCGCGUGAUUCGUAACAAUUAAUAAAUAUUUAUAAUGAAGAUCAAACCUAGACUAAAUAUUAUCACGACGAAAAGGCAAGCGCACCCAUCGAACAAUAGUAUAGUAAUUGCAAGAUCGGGAUAUUGUACCCAAGGGAACCAAAAGUACUAGUAAUAACUAUCUUUUUAUUAUCUAACCUAGAAAUAAAGAGGGGUUGUUUAUUAAACUAAUUAACUAAACUAAUUAACUAAUUAAACUAAAGUAAAGAGAAGAGUUGGAAAAAGACUUGAAGAAAAUUAAUUUUAUAAAGACGACACCUAAGGAGGAAUCCACCUAGAUUUCACUUGUUAUCUGACUCUGAACCAGAUGAUUUAUUCACUUGACUAGAUCCGUGAGACUCCCUAACCUAUGUUAUUAUCCCUUUCGAGACUAAUAGCGUCUAACCCUCAGUUGAAUUAAUCGAAAUUUCUUUCUUAAUUAAAACCCUUAGGGAAGCAGUAAAUCGAUCUAUGAACUCUCAUAUUAGGUUUCAACCUAAUCCGGCAAAAUCUCGUACCCCUAUUUCUAGGCGUUCGAUCAACUCUGCUUAAUUAUGCCAAAUCUACUCUUAGACAGGGACUUUUGCUCCUCUACAUAAGCACAUCAAAUCAUGAAUUAAUACCCGAAAUAUUAACUCAAGCAUUAAGACACAUAAUUAAGAACAAAUCAAGUAUUUAUCAUACAGUUUAGAUAAUAAUACAAGAUCCAUCAUAGGUUUCGACACCCUUAGGUAUCUAAGGGGUUUAGUUCAUAAUAAGAUAAGAGUACAUCUUAAAAGUAUGAAAAUAACAAAACAUAAAGAAAACUCUAAAACCCUUGAAGGAAUUUUGACAGAGAUCUUCAGUCUUGGAGUAGCUCCGGCUUUUAGGAUGGAUCGUCUGGCUUCCUUCAAGUAAUUCCUGGCAUGUGGUUCUAUAUUCCAGAGAAGUUCUGGAAGAGGGCCCCUUUCUAAGUCAUCUUAGGGUGUUUAUAUAGGCUUUGGAUUGGCUUUCUUCCUCCCUAAGUAUCCUUUUCCGUGUAAAAUACAACUCUUUGAGAAAAGGGACACGCCCAUGUGCCACGGCCGUGUGACGUGAUUACCAAGCCGUGUGAAUCGUGAAAGCCCUUGGUCAACACCCUCGAAAGACACGGGCGUGUGAGCAACCCGUGUGGAAAGGCUUAGGCCUUGUCAUCUUCUCGAUUUGGUCCGUUUUGUCUGUAAUAUCCCGAAUUAGGGCCUAAUCAGAAUAGUGGUUUCGUGACCAUAAGUCCGAGAUAGAAAUAAUUAUUUUAUAAUUAUUUUGAGGUUUAUGAUAUGAUUGCAUGAUUGUGUGAAAGUUUCGUGAUGAAAUUCUAUGCCUAAAGUGCUUAAAUUAAAAGUAGGGACUAAAUCGAAUAAGUUGCAAAACUUGCAUUCUAGAAGUUUUUAGUAUGAAAUUGUUUUGGAAUAUUAAUGAGGAGGUCUUAAAUAGCAAUUUGACCAAUUUUAAGUUCAUGGACAAAAUUAGGACAUGGAAGGAAUUUUUGAAAAGUUUAGUAGUAAGGGUAUUUUGGUCAUUUAGUUAUUAAAAUGAAUUAAAAAAAAAUUAAAAGCCAAUUUUUGUCCAUCUUCUUCAUUAGGCCGAAAUUUCAAGGGUUCUCCAUAGCUAGGGUUUGUUUCAAGCUUCCAAGCUCCAUAGUAAGUGAUUCCAAGCCCCAUCUUUAAUGAUUUUUACGUUUUUGAGAUCCCGGUAACUCGAUAAAGCUUAUGUUAGCAAUAAUUUAACCUAGGGUUUAUAUUUGGAAAAAUAUCCAUAGGUGAAAUUUGUGUAUUUUGAUGUUUUAUGAUAGAAUAUGAAGUUUUAAAUUAUGUUAGACAACUUGUACUACUCGAUUUUAAGCAAAAACGAGUAAAAGGGCUUAAUCGGUAAAAAUACCUAAUAGUCACAAGUACAUGUUAGAGUGAGAAUUUGAUGUUUCCAUAGAAGAGAAAAGUGAUCAGCAUGUUGUAAAACAUAAGAAUAAGGAAUAAAGUUUAAUCCCGAGCCUAGGGGCAAAAAUGUAAAUAUGCAAAAGUUUUUGUAAUUUUGCCAAAAUUUGAGUUAAGGAUUAAUUUGAUAAUGUGAGUAUUAAAUAAGCUAAAUGUGUUAUUUUAGAUCAAGAAAGACGUGGAAUCGACCUCAAUCGAGGAAAAGAAAAGAUUGUGGACUAAAUUGCAAAAUCUUUGUAUUUUGGUACCAAGGUAAGUUCAUGUGUAAAUAAUGUAGCAUAAUGGUUAUUUUUAAGUUAUUGAUGUUAAUUAUAUGUUAUGCUGAAUUUUAUUAUGAAAUGUAUGCUUUGUGGUUAAUUUCAAAUAAUAUGUAAAUUAUGUGAACUACUUGUUAAAUAUAAUUGUUACCGAGUAUUGAUUUCGGCAUUCUACGGAAGACGGAAAGGAUAAGUGUUCGAGGAAAAAAGCCAGUUUGAACCUUAGGAAUAGAUUAGGACACAAGUGACAUGUCACUAGGAUGGUUGAGCAUCCGAACUCGUUGAGUUGAGUCCGAGUUCACUUAUGGAUGCGAAUGUCCGAACUCGUUGAGUUGAGUCCGAGUUCGUGAGAUGUAACUAGGCAUCCGAACUCGUUGAGUUGAGUCCGAGUUCACUUAUGGAUGUGAACGCCCGAGCUCGUUGAGUUGAGUCCGUGUUCGCUUAUGGGCGGGUUACAUGAUUGCUUGAUUGCAUAUAUGGCACUUAUGUGCAAGUUAUCCAUGUAUCCGAAUUAUAUUCCGAUGUGUUCAACGGGUAAAGUUCUACUGAAAUGGAGGAAUAUUCGAGAUGUAAGGAGACGUAUUGGUAAGUGAUGUGAAAUGGAUAUUUUGGACAGGUAUGUAUUUAACCCUCGGGUUGAGUAUUGAUACAACCACGAUAAGGUAAUAAGAUGAUGAAAAAUGAUUAAAAAUGUGAUAUGUGUUUUAGUGAUACAUGCUAAUGUUGAUUGGUAUGACUGUUUGUUAUGUUACUUAUUAUUUGCAUAUGAACUUACUAAGCAUUUAUGCUUACUCUCUCCUUCUUACUCAUUGUAGUUUUGGACAAGCCAGCUCAAGAGUCGGGAUAGGUCGAAGGCUCAGUCACACUAUCCGGAAGACUUUUGGUAAUGGCUUGUAAAUUUAAGUAUGGCAUGUAUAGCAAUAUACCUUUUUUGUGUAAAUGAUCUUAUGGUAUGGUGAUGGAAUGGUUGAGGAAAUGCUUGAUAAUGAUAAAUUAUGAAAAUAGUUAGUUUAGAUUAUAUUUGAUGUUAAGGAAAAUUAUUAAGAUACUUAGUGCAUAAAAACUCAUAUAAGGGAUGAAAUUUGCCAUAAACAGAAUACUGCAGCAACACUGAUGCGAGUUUAAAAAUAUACUAAAAAUCAGAGAAAUUGAACUUGGUGAUGUACUACAUAUCAAAUUGAAGCUUAUUAUGUCUAGUUUCACAUGAAACAAAUGAAACAGGUAAAGGAAUUAUAUGUUACAAGAUAUUUGAAUUUUAGUGAAACAGGGUCAUAGCAGUUUCUGAUUCCCCUAUUCCAACUUUAGAAAUUCACCAUAAAUUUUAAAGAUAUAAUUAGGUAGUGUAUUUUAUAUUCUCAGAAUCCUUAUUGAGUCUAGUUUCAGUAGAAACAAACCUCAUAGUCAUAUCGAUUUUUUACAGAGAUAAAUAUGGUUUGUAGUAAACAGAGGUCAGACCAGUCAAGUCCUGAAACAGGGGUAAUUUUAACUAAUAAAAUGUACUAAUUUACCCAACCAAAAAUUCUAUAAAAAAACUAGUAGAUAGGUAUAUGAGUCUAGAUUUAGGGAAAAUUUACGGAUCUUAAUUUCGAGUUUCAUAACUCGAGAUAUGAUUUUUCUUGUGACUGUGAUGCAAGUAGCUUAAAAGCUGUGAAUGUAGAAAUAAAUAAUCCAAAGUUCUAAAUAUGUUAAAUUAAGCUUAGUAACACCUCAUACUCGACUCCGGCGACAGUCUCGGGCGUGGGGGCGUUACAUUGUCCCUUUAUUUUAUGUUUUUAUUUUUAUUCUAUUUUAAGACUACUUUUUCUUUUUACUUUAAGCUUAUUUCUAUUAGAUUUUAUAAUUUUUAUUUUACAAUUAUCAAUUUCGGCUAUUCCAUUACAAGUAAUUAUGCUUCCUUAUAUUUCCUAAAAUAGUUCUUGAUUCUGUCACAGUUAUAAAGUGCACCUCAGCUCAUCAUCACAUAGGAACUAAAAACUCCACCAGGAAAGGUUCUCCAUGACUGCCAUGUCCUGCUUGACCACGACCAUAGCUACCACCAUAUAAAAUUCUUUUGGUGCAGGACUUAUGGACUAAUAAAACUCUACCACCACCGGAGAUUCCCCUCCACUCUCACGCCGAUUAUUCUCCAAAACUCCAGUUCAAGGAAUUCAUUCAUCAUUCAAGAAGUUUCACUUCCCUCCCUAUCUUAUGAUUAUAAAUCUAUCUUUUUCACUAUAUCUACCUUUGUACAUUGAGGGUAAUGUACAUCUUAAGUGUAGGGGGUCUUUUAUAUCAGAAAAAAUCCCUGAAUUUUGUUUUAUUCUCAUGCGAUCUUCUCAUAUCAUUAUUAGACUGAAUUCCAAUUAGUCUAUAAUUUUUAUUAAUAUAUAUUGAAUUAAAACAUAGGCAUUUAUGCAUUGAUUGUUUAAACUUUAAGACAUUAGGGAAUCAAACAUGAUAAGUUGUUUUGGAAGAAUUAAAAACUUUUAGGUUGUCUCCCCAAGUUUAGGUAUUAUUUUGAGUAGGAAUUUACAAGUUUAAACAUCAAAAAGUCAUAAUUUUUUGUGAGAUCUUGAGCCUUUAGAGCAUUUAUUAUUUCUUUCAUGCUCACUUUCAAUAUGAGUGCGCUAUUAUUGAAUUGUUAUUCUAGAACUUGCUUGAUUAUGCAUGUUAAGACCACACCAUUUGAUUUGAUAUGUCAAAAUGAUAAAGGCACUUAGGUUUAAACCACUCACUCCAUAAAAGCCUACCUUCACAAUUAACCCUUAGUGAACCUCCUUGAGCCUAACAACCCAUUCAUUGAUUUACCCUCAAUAUUAACUCAUAACUCAUUAUUGUUGAAAUCCCCUAAAUUAAUUUGAUCCCUAUUUUUGUCGAGAUUUGAGUUGGAAUAGUUGCUUAGCUAUGUUUUAUUCUAUUUUGUAAUUUGACUUGUUCUUAAAAUAUAUAUAAUACAUGUAUACAUAUUAGUAGUAGUGAUAUUCUAAGCUAAAGAAGUUAGAUUCCAUAUUCUGAGAAAAAGCUCUGUUGUACGUAAUUGAUGACUAGUCAUUUUUCUAGUUAGGAAAUUUUUCAAUUCAAUCUCGAUUCUAACCCUUUCUUUCAGUUUGUGACCACACCUUCUAACCAAAGCCACGUUACAACCCUCUAAAGACCUUUUGAUUGAUGUUUCAUCUCAAUUUAUAGUGGUGGAGAUUUGAUUUUCAUGCAAGCCUAUGGUAAUGACUUUUCAUUAUUGACUAUUGAGUGCUUCAUUUAUUGUCCUUAAACACCUCGAGUGAUUUGAGUGAAUCUUUAGUGAGGAUGUGAAACUCUGUGAUAUUUUGAAUCAAAGGUAAUUACUUAGAUAAGGGAAGACACCUAUGUUUUCAUGAUAAAAUGCUCAACUUGGAAGGUUUGAAACUUUGAUGUUCUGUCAGUUGAAUUUUCAAUGUAUGAUUACCUACAGAUUAGUUUGAGAUAUUAUUGAUGAGAAUUAUAAGUUGAGAAGAAUUUAUUUUGAUUAUAAGUUGAGGAUUUUUCUUGAGGACAAGCAAAUGCUUAAGUGUGGGGGUAUUUGAUAAACCGUAAUUCAUACAUAUUUCUAUCCCAUGCUUAGCACAUUUUAUGGAUGAUUUAUCCUUAAAUUUGGAGAAUUCGAUGCUCCUAAUGCCUUAAUUUCAUGUUUUAUACUUAGGUGAGGAUAAGAGAGUGAAAGGAACGAGAAACGGGCCAAAAACGGAGAAAAUAGGCCAACGUACGAAAUCAACACGGCCUGGACUUCCUAACACGGGCAGACCGCAUGGUCGUGUCAAUUUGGCAGAAUCGAAGCACGACUUACACAGGUAGACCACAUGCUCGUGCCUAUUUAACAGGCUUGACCAUAGCCUGAAGUAAUCGCACACGGGCGUGUCCCUGUCGAGCCCAAGCAGAGUCCUAUUCAGAAAAGGCCACUUUUGAGGGCUCUUAGGCAUUCCAAAGCCUAUAAAUACUCCCUAGAAGAGGAGAAGAGGGGGGACACAGAUUAGGAAGCAAGGAAUUACUCAAGAGAAGCCGAUUGAUCCAUCCCAAAAGCCAGAUUCAUCAUCAAGACUGGAGAUCUCCCUUCAAGUUCCUUCUGGAGUUUUGGGUUUUCUAAUGUUUUGUUAUCUUUAUAUUUUUAAGAUGUUUUCCUUCAUAAGUAUGAACUAAACCCCUAAAUACCUAAGGGGAAUGAAACCUAUGACAUAUCUUGUUAUUAUUAUCUGAGUUGGAUGAUAAAUAUUUGACUUGUUCUUAAUUAUGUGUUCUUAAUUCUUGUUUUGAUAUUCCAGGAUAUUGAUUCAAGUUAAGCUCUUAUUCAGAGGAGGAAUAGACCCUGUCUAAGAGUAAAUUUGUCAUAAUUAAGCGGAGUUGAUUACGCACCUAGAGAUAAGGUGACAAGAUUUUGUCGGAUUAGGGUAAAACCUAAUAAGGGAAUCCAUAGAUCGAGUUAAUGCAAUUCUGGGGUGUUAAUUAGAAAGAGAUUUCAAUUAUUCAACCUAGGGUUAGACGUUAUUAGUCUUAAGAGAGAUAAUGAUAUAACUUAGGGAUUUCUCCAGAUCAAGUCAAAUGAAUAAAUCGUUUGAUUUAGAGUCAAAUAACAAGUGAAGUCUAGGUGGAUUUGUCCUUAGGUAUUGUCUCAAUCAAUCGAAUUUUCCCAAAAAGUAUUUUCCCAAGUUUUUCUUUCUGUGCAUUCUUAGUUAGUAAUUAGUUUAGACAACCAAACCUCUUAAAUUUUAGGCUAGAUAAUAAAAAGAAAGUAAAUACUAGUACUCAUAGUUCCUUUGGGUUCAACAAUCCGGUCUUGCUGAACCAUAUUACUGUUCGAUAGGUACACUUGCCUUAAUCGUGAUACUAAGUUAGUCUCAAGAAAAUUUCAUUUAUAAAUCUUUAAAACCUGUUACAAAUAUCACGCAUCAAUGUUUAUGUGAUUUGGGCAUUGAGGCCCUGGGACAUGUUUGGAGAGAUAAGGAAAUGUGAUCUAAGCUCCAUUCAACGGGACAUGUUUGGUGUGUUGGAGAGUGUUAGUUUAAUUCUUCACUUACGAGACAUGCUUGACUCUAUGAGUCUACGUGGUGUGUUGGAGAUCCGUGUAUCCGAUGAGUGGUGGUAAUGCCCACUUUUACGUUUCAUAACUCAAAUGCCAAAUUAUCUCAAAUUAUCUAUUAAUGUGAUUGUGAAUUGUGACGUUUACAUGAAUAUGCAUGUACUGAUUCUGUAAAUAAACUAUCGAAUAUGCAUGUGAAGUAAAAUAUGUCAACUAAGUUAAGGUUGCUAUAAUUAUGAUAUGUUUCACUAAUGCUUGAUGAAAUGUUUGCAUGGUAGUUGUUUUAGGCAUUCACUGAGCUUGUUAAGCUCACCCACUCCUUUUAAAACCAUUGCAAAUUACUGUGUCCUAGUGUGAGCGGUGUGAUUUUGAGGGGUGAUUCCAAGCAAUUCCUUUUCUAUUAUUUCAUAGGUCUUAUUGUUAUUUGUUUUCAUUUCGAGAAUAAGGCAAUGUGGUAGACUUUUACUGAUAUUUGCCAUGAUGUUUUGGAUGUCUUCAUAGACUAUUUGUUCCUAGGUUUAUGAGAUUCAUUUCGUAUGAUGUUGAUUAUUUGUCAGACUUAUUUUGGAUGUUUGAGACUAUUAUAAUAGUCAUUUUGAUAUUUAUGUAAUGAUGAUAUGAUGGCAUGAAGGAUUGGUGCAUGUUGGAAUGAUUUAUAUGCUCAAGUAUGUUGUAUUUUUCUGGUUUGGAGCAGAGGUAUCGAUAUUCAUGUUGUAAAAAUAAUACCUCUGUGAUUUUGGAACAUGUAGGGAGGCAACAAUGUAAUUUGGUAUCGAUACCCAAUAAAAAGUAUCGAUGCUCAAGGUAGAAAUAUCAUUACUUUGGCCGAGGUACUGAUAAUUUUCGAGGUUUGGGUUUUUAAACGAGAAACAAUAAGCAGUUUUGGUUUUAAUUUUCCCAACAAUAUCAAUACCACUUGAGAGAAUUAUCGAUACCUCACCUUCAGUUUCGAUACCUACGUAGUUAGUUUUUGGAUUUUGCUAAAUGGACUUUAUGCAUAUUUAAUUAUUAUUAUUAUUAUUAUUAUUAUUAUAAGACUAUUUGAUGUAUGUUUAGCAUGUAACAAUGAUGUUAACAGUAUGACUGACUUAAAACCUAUACCAAUACUAAAAUGGAAGUCAUUUCAUUUAGAAUGAGCUUUUACUUAUUGUGUAUAACAUGAGACGGUGGUGUAGCAUCCUGAUAUUCAGGCUUGGAGACCAAGUUGGGUAUAGGGUGUUACACUUAAAAUUUCCAUCCCCCAAAUUUUCUUUGCUGCACCUAAAUCUUUCAUCUCGAACUUAGAGUUAAGCAUAGUUUUAAGACAACAAAUAUCAAAUGGAUUCUUAGCUGCAAUUAACAUAUCAUCAACAUAAAGUAAUAAAUAUAUAAAAGAAUCAUCAUCAAGACGUUGUAGAUAAACACAACUAUCAUACUUACUUCGGGAAAAACCAGUACUCAACAUGAAGGAGUCAAACUCUUUAUACCACUGUCGAGGAGAUUGCUUCAAACCAUACAAAGACUUUUGUAAAAGACAAACAUAAUAUUUUUUACCUUCAAAUUUGAAGCUUUCUGACUAUUGCAUGUAGAUGUCCUCCUCAAGGUCACUGUGAAGGAAAGUAGUCUUUACAUCUAACUGCUCUAACUCAAGAUUAUUUGAUGCAACAAAUUCCAAAAGCGCUCAAAUUGAUGUAUGUUUCACAAAAGGAGAGAAAACAUCAUGAAAAUCAAUUCCUUUCACUUGAUUGUAGCCCUUUUGCAACUAGUCUUACCUUGUACCUAGUGUUAUUAGGACCUGAACCUUCCUUCUUUUUAAACACCCAUUUGCAACCAAUGAUUCCUUUACUGAUGGGUGGUUUAACUAGCCUCUAAUUCUCAUUCUUUUGAAGUGAUUUCAUCUCUUCUUCCUUUGCAACGAACCAUUGGUUGGAGUCGAAGGCUUGAACUGCCUCAUAAUAACACGAAGGUUUGGUUGAAACAAUGCUCUCGGCAACACUUAGAGCAUAAGCCACUAGGUUUCCUUCACAAUAUUUUUGUGGUGGUCGGAUUUCUUGCCUUUUCCUUUCACGAGCCAACUUAUAAUUAGUUAACUGAUAUGGUGAGGGUACCUAAGGGUCGGAUGAAAACCAAAACAAAUCCAAAACAGCUUCAAACAAGCAAAAAUUAGAAUUUUUUUGUGUCGACGUGACAUUGUGAGACACUUUAUCGGGACAAGUGAUAAACUGUAAUUUAUACAUAUUUUUAUCCCAUGCUUAGCACAUUUAUGGAUGAUUUCUCCUUGGAUUUGGUGAAUUCGAUGCUCCUAAUUCUUUAAUUUCAUGUUUUAUACUUAGGUGAGUAUAGGAGAGUAAAAAGAGCGAGAAACGGGCUGAAAACAGAGAAAAUGAACCCACAUGGGAAAUCAACAUGGCUUGGACUUCCUCACACAGGCAUGUCACACGGCCGUGUCCAAUUGGCAAGAUCAAAGCAUGACUUACACGGGUAGACUACACGCCCAUGCCUACUCAACUGCCUUGACCACGGGUAGGAGCAAUCGCACACGAGCAUGUCCCUGCCAAGCCCGAGUAUAGUCCUAUUCGGAACAGGCCACUUUUGAGGGCUCUUAGGCAUUCUAAAGCCUAUUUAAACACCUGAGGAGGCACUUAGAAGAGACAUACGGAGUAGGAGACAAGGAAUUACUUAAGUGAAGCCGAUUGGUCCAUCUCAGAAGCCGAAUUUAUCAUCAAGAGUGAAGAUCUCCCUUUAAUUUCCAUUCAAGGGUUUGGGGUUUUCUUUAUGUUUUGUAUUCAUUAUUCUUCUGAGAUUUUUUCUUUUAUAAUUAUGAACUAAACCCUAAGAGGAAUGAAACCUAAGACAGAUCUUGUUAUUAUUAUCUGAAUUGUAUGAUAAAUAUUUGACUUGUUCUUAAUUAUGUGUUCUUAAUUCUUGUUUUAAUAUUCAAGGAUAUUGAUUCAAGUUAAUGCCCUUAUUCAGAAGAGCAAAAGUCUCUGUCUAAGAGUAAAUUUAUCAUAGUUAAGCGGAGUUGAUUGCAGCCUAGAGAUAGGGUGACAAGAUUUUGUCGGAUUAGGGUGAAACCUAAUAAAGGGGUCCAUAGAUCAAGUUAAUGCAACACUAGGGCGUUAAUUAGAAAGAGAUUUCAAUUAAUCAACGUAGAGUUAGACGUUAUUAGUCUCAAGAGAGAUAAUAAUAAAACUUAGGGAUUUCUACGGAUCAAGUCAAAUGAAUAAAUCGUCUGAUUCAGAGUCAAAUAACAAGUGAAGUCUAGGUGGAUUUUUCCUUGGGUAUUGUCUUAAUCAAUUGAGUUUUUCCAAAAGCUUUUUCCCAAUUUUCUCUCUGUGCACCCUUAGUUUAGUUAAGUAGUUUAGAUAAACAAAUCCUUUAAUUUUUAGGCUAGAAAAUAAAAAGAAAGUAAUUACUAGUACUCUUGGUUCCUUUGGGUUCAACAAUCUGGUCUUGCUAAAGCUAUACUACUGUUCGAUAGGUACACUUGCCUUCAUUGUGAUAAUAGUUAGUUUCAAGAACGAUUAAUUAUAAAUUUCUAAAACCUAUUACGAAUAUCACGUAUCAACAAGACCUCUAUUCGUCACGUCAUUGCGAUGUUAGGCAUUUGCUCGUUAUGUCGUCACCUUUUUAUUUCGGCUUUUGACUCCACCUUGCUCGAGACACUCUGAUUUGUUAUGUCUUUAAAAUUAAAAGUCUUAUUUUGUUAUCAAAGCAUAGUAGAUUUAUCAAACGUAACAUCUCUGCUAACAAUGAUCUUUUCAGAUUCUAAACAUCACAACUUAAAAACUUUUGUACUAGCAGCAUAUCCCAAAAAGAUGCUUUUAACGACCCUUGGUUCAAGCUUUCCCUAGCUACUUUAGCAUAAGUAGGACAACCAAAAAUUCUAAGAUUUGAUUAAUUUGGAGGAUUACCUAACCAUAUCUCCUUUGGAACUUUACCAUUCAAUGCUCAAUAAGGAGAUCGAUUUACCAAAUAACUUGUUAAGUUUACAGCUUCAGCCCAAAAUUCCUUCCCUAAGCAUGCGUUAGAAAGCAUGCAUCAAGCCUUUUCUAGCAAGGUUCUGUUCAUUCUUUUUGCAACUUCAUUCUAUUGUGGAAUUCUAACAAUGAUUCGAUGUCUUUCAAUUCCUUCCCGUUUGCAAAAUCACUAAACUCUGACAAAAAAAACUCAACACCAUUAUCUGUUCUCAACUUCUUCAUGGAUUUUCUGAUUUGUUUUUCUAAUAGUGUCUUCCACUGUUUGAAAAUUUCGAAGACUUGUUCUUUUCUAUUUCAAGAAAUAAACCCAAACUUUUCUGGAGUAAUCAUCAAUAAAAGUUAGGAAAUAUUUAUUAUCUCCUUUUGGGAUGUUAAAAGAUGGACCCCAAAAAUCAGAAUGAAUGUAAUAUAAAGUCCCUUUUGUUCUAUGCACUGCUAAAUCGAAACUAACUCGGGUUUGCGUAACACCCCGCACCUGUAUUCAUUGUCAGAAUAAGGUUGCAGAGCAUUGCCAAACUUCUUUCACAAAUAAACACACAUUUCUCAUACAUUUUUCCAUUAUAAAUAUAAAACAUUUACAAUCAUUUAUAACGCCCCUAAUAUGAGCCUACGAGGCCCAAAACAUGCUUUAGAAAUGGUUUGGGAAUAAACCGAUAACUUAGGAAACUUUUAGAAAACUUAGAAAGUUUUUCAAAAUACAGGGAACAUAGGCCUGUGUGGCCUGACCGUGUGUCUCACAAGGCCAAAUACACGCCCAUGUCACAAGCUCAGUGGACAUUCGAAAUGGGAUCACAUGGCCAUGUCUCAGCACAUGUCCGUCCCCGUGUAACUCCCUGACUUCGGUCACACGACCAACCACAUGCCCGUGUCACCAACCCGUGUGCCCUUCGGAAUGGCCUAACACACCCAUGUGCUAGGCCGUGUGCUAGGCCAUGCCAAACCUGUAGGGUAUUCUAACUAAUACUACACGGCCAAGUCACACGCCCGUGUGUUGGGCCGUGUGGAGCAUACUAACUUGGUUUCUAAUUAAACACCAGGGGACACACAGCCGUGUCACCUGACCAUGUGUCACACACAGCUGAGACACACACCCGUGUCUCUUCCCGUGUGGACAAAAAUAGGCUAUUUACCGAGCCAUUUUUUUCACCCAAUUUGUAAUCACCUACACUAAACCAAAGGCAUAUAAUAUGGUAUAAAUAAGCAUUCCAACCAAUCUCAACCAAGCCUAAUUCAUGCUAAAUCCAUACUAUCAACCAUAUGACUUACAAGUAUAACAAAUAGUCAUUCAAUUUCAUACCAAAUUCACACCAAAUUCACAUUCUCAAAUUGCCUAAAUGGUCACUUUCAUUUAUACAUCACUUUACCUAAAAUCACAAGCAUACUAAUUCUCAAUUAUCAACUAUUUGAUACUCAAAUUACCAAUUCAUAAAGAACCUUUCACCAUAAGCAUUUACAUGAUAAUUACCAAAUGCAUAACAAAGGCCAUUUGCACAUAUAUAUAUACACAACCAAAUCAACUAAAAUAAGCCAAAUCACAUGGCUAUACACAUAACAAACCAUUCAUCAUUUAUAAGCCAACUCAAAUGGCUAAACCUAUUACCAAACUAUAUACCAAAAUGACCAUAACUCCUAUACAUGCCAUAUAACCAAAUUACAUAAGUUCAAAAGUACCAAAGUAAUAGCUUGAUAGUGUGAUGAGAUCUCCGAUGACUCUUGAAUCCGAGCAAGCUUUGAUAAUCACUAUAAAACACGAAAAAGUAAAUAGAGUAAGCUACAAAGCUUAGUGAACUCGUAUGCUAAGUAAGUAAAACUUACCAACCAACAAUUCAAUAACAUAAACAUCAUAUAAUGCAAUUCAACUUUGAAGCAUAACUUAAUACAUAUAUUCAACCCAAGGAUUAAACACAAUUUCCAUCAACUUCUUCGAUUUUAUGAUUGUAUAGUUCACGUACAUACAUGUACAAGCUCUUAUUAAUCUCAUACUCGUCCAUAUCCUUGAUAUACCUAUUGAACCAUUUGGAAUACUAUCAGGUACCCGGGAAUCUCACACACUAAGUGCCAAUACAUAGCCGAAGCUAUCUCAAUCUCAUAUCACAUAUAAUGUUCACUCUCGAGCUAUCAACGGGUCUGCUCACACAAGUUGACGAUCAUGACAUAGCUACACGGUGCUGCUCACACAAGCUGACUAGAAUCCGCAACACAAGCCGAGUAACUCAGCCACCAGUAGGACGUACGGACUAGCACCCAAAUCACAUAACCCUUAAUGACAUGUCAUUUGUAUCCUAAUUUAUUCCUAAGGUUCAACUGGGAAUUCUCAUUACCGAAUCUUAGUCGAACAUUUUUGUACAAUCAUAUUCAUCAACAAUUCAAAUAUAAAAAAUUUAGAAACACAAUUAAAGUAAUGCUUCUUAACAUACAAACUUACCUCGAUUCACAAAAAUGACGGAAUGAAUCGAUUAAUCCAACACUUUGUUUUCCCUCAAAUCUAGAUCUGAACUUUAUUUUUCUUGAUUUAUAUAAUAUCAAAUUCAAUCUAUUCAUUAUUCAUUCUAUUCAAUUUAGCCCAAAAUGCAUAUUAUGGAAAAAUUACACUUUUGUCCCUAACAUUUCAAUAUAUUUACAAUUUAGUCCUUAGCUCAUAAAAAUAAAAAUUCAUGCAAUUAGGUCCCUACCCAUGCUAGCUGAAUUUCAUAUAGACCCAUAACAGCCCAUAUUUUUCAUUUAUUUCACAAUAUAAUCACAAAAUUUACACAUUUCACAAUCUAAUCCCUAAUUGGCAAUUUUACAAAAAAUCACUUUACAAAUGUUAUUUAUCUAACAACAACCAUUUAUUUUCUAUCAUCAAACAUCACAAGUCACACAUAUUCAUCAAUGGUAAAACCUUAAACCUUUCACAAUUUUGUAAAUUAGUCCCUAAGCUACCUAAAUUAAGCUGCAAUGAUCUCAAAACAUAGAAAUCAUUAAAAACGGGACAAAAAUCACUCACCAAUUUAACAAUAAAGUAGUCGAACCCUAGAAAGCUUCCAUGGAGGUCUCUCUCUUUUAUUUUUCGGUAGAAGAAGAUGACUAAAAGAUGGUAUCUUUGGUUUUCUUUAUUUUACUAAUUACUAAAUUACACUUUUAACCUUGGCUAUAAAACAUUAAAAUUACCUAAUACAUGUCCAAGUGUAACAUCUCGAAAUAGGGCCUAGUCGGAACAGUGGUUUCGAGACCAUAAAUCUGACAUUGAAAUAUUUUUUUAUGAUUAUUAUGAGGCCUGGAAUAUGAAAAUAUGCAUGUGUUGAAGUUUCAUGAAGAAAUUCUAUGAGUAAGGUGUCCAAUUGGAAAAUAAGGACCAAAUCGAAUAAUUUGUAAAACUUGGGUUCUAGAAACAAUUUGCAUGAAAUUGCUUUUAAUUAUAAAUUAAAAGGUCUUAAAUAGAAAUUUUCCCAAUUUCUAAGUUUUUGGACAAAAAUGGGCAUACAUGGAAAAUUUUGGAAGUUCAGUAAGGAAGGGCAUUUUGGUCAUUUGGUAAUAAAAUCAAUAAAAAGGGAAAAUGAAGGCAAAAAUCAGCCAUCUUCUCCCUUGUACCAGCCAAAAUUCUCAAGCCUUCCAUAGCUAGGGUUUUCAACAUUUUCAAGCUCAAUAGUAAGUGACUCCUAACCCCGUUUUUAAUGUUCUUUGUAUUGUUGAGAUCCUUGUAACAUGUUCUCUCCAUUUCCACCUAUAUUUUAAGCUAGGGUUCAUGUAUAAAAAGUGACCCAUGUGUGACAUGUUUGUUCUUUAAUGUUUUAUGGAGGAAUAUGAAAGUUAGAUGUGUGUUAAACAUCUUCUCCUAAGUGAUUUUCAUGAAAAGCCCCUAAAAGGAUGUUUUUGCAAAAGGUACAAAAUAUGUGGUAGAAAUGUGAAAUAGAGAAAAAUUUGGGCUAGUAUGAGUUUAUAAUGCAUUCGACUAGGCUUGGGUAACCAAAGAAUUGCAUGUAUAUCAUUUUACGAGCCUAGGGAUUAAAUCAUAAAUAAUGUGAAAGGUUAAGGGCAAAACAGUCAUUUUGUCUAGGGGUGAAAUUUAGGCUCAAAAAGAAUAAUGUGAGAUAUUGAUAAUUCAUUUUUAUUGUUAUAGACCCCAAGAAACAAAUUUUGGAGGUCGAUCAAGGAAAAUGAAAUGUUUCAGAAUAACCAAAAUGCGAAAUCGACACAAAUACCAGGUAAGUUCAAAUAACUUAAAGUAAACUCAUAAUAUGCCUAAAUGCAUGUUUUAUGAAUAUUAGAUAGUUUUAUAUAAUGAUGGCAUGAAAAUCCAUGAAAUGUGUUAAUAAUAAUGACAAGAUGAUAAAUGUCUCAGUUGAAGUUAAAAGGGAAAUUCGAUGGAAAAACCAUGGCUUACGUGACUUGAGAUCCUGCAUGUGUUGCAGAAAAGGGUUUAGCCCAGACGGGUAAUCCGUUGAUCUCAAAUAUAGAAAGGAUCUAGCCCGAACGGGUUUUCCUUGAAUGAUCAAGUCUCUUGAAGAAUAUGUGUGCAUUAAGGAUUUAGCUCAGACGGGUAAUCCGAUUAGGGUCUGAAUUUAGCCUGGACUGGUAAUUCAGACCUGAGCUCAUUAAGGUUGUUUGUCACUAUAAGGGAUUUAGCCUGGACUGGUAAUCCUGAAAACACUCCAUGAGUUUAUAUUACGGGGGAUUUAGCCUGGACUGGUAAUCCCGCUGUAAGAUAUGAGGUUCGUAGGAGUGCGUACUUAAGAAGAUCACUCUUAUGACUUGACGGUAAAUGGAUAAUCCAUCAAGAUUUUCGAGGUACUCAAUGGGAUUAACAUGAGAUAUCGAAAUGAAAAUAUUGGAUGAUGAGCUCAUCUAAGACAAAUUACAUUAUGAAUUAUUAUGGGACUAACUUGAUGCUUGAGUGUAUGUAAUAGGAGGCUAUCCUAUAUUUAUUGGAUUGGUUGCCUAACAUGGUUGUAUGCUAAUUAAUCGGUAAGUUUACUUUCCAAUUAUUCGGGCUUACUAAGCAUGUAAAUGCUUACCCCUCUCUUUUCCCUGUCUUAUAGAGCUCGAGGACUCGUAGAGAUUGGAAGACGGUUGGAGUAUUGUUGACACUAUCCACUUCUCCUGUUUUGGUAUAUAGAUACUUUUAUUUUGUUACAAUGGCAUGUAUAGAUUUUUGGUUAUUUGGUGUUAUAUGUCAUUGGUUGGCCAAUGUAAAGGCUUAAAUGUUAAACUUAUUCUUUUUGUAUAUGGCCAUAAGACAUGGCUCAUUUCAUUGUAGAUUAUGACCUACCAACCAUGCAUGUUUAUGUUAGAAAUGUUUUUGUGAUGAUUAAAUGUUGUAUAUCAUAAAUAAGCAUUCGUAAGGUGGCCAAAACAUUUGGAAAUGGUUAGGCCAUAAUUGGAAAUGAAUUGUAAUAAUGAUCCAAGCCUAAAAUAUGUUUCAAUAGGAUGGAAAUCCUUAUUAUGAAAAGGGGAUAAUUGAGUAUGUAUUUAACUGAUGAGAUGAGGUUGACAUGCAAUGGAUUCAUUGAUGAUAGUCCUUGAGUAUAUUUAAGUCAUGUUAAAUGCAAUUGGGGUUUUUAUAUGUGAGGAAAUGAUGAGGGUGACCAUUGGCUUGAAAUUAUAGCCUAAAAAGGGUCCACACGGGUAGACACACAAGUGUGUGUCUAGGCCGUGCGUGACACACGGUCAGCCCCAUGGGUGUGUGGUACGGUCGUGUGUCCCCUGCACCUAAAGUUUUUUCAGUCAAAAUGCAUGGUAGUAAACACACAGAAAGAGACAUAGUCGUGUGUCUCAGCCGUGUAGAGGGCACGGCCUAGCACACGGGCAUGUGUCUUGGCCGUGUGCCCCUAAAUACAUGCUGACAUCAUAAACAGAAUGUCCAGGUUUUUGGACAUGAGCUAUCACACAGGCGUGGCUAGGCCAUGUGAAAAACACGGGCCAGGGACACGGGCGUGUGCUUGGCCAUGUGAAAACCCUAUAGGUUCAAAAUAAAAAAUAAAUUUAAUUAAUUCCACACGAGUUAGGGACAUAGGUGUGUCCCCAAAGCACACGGGCGUGUGCAUUGUCUCCACACUGGUGUGUGAGGCUUAACCUAGAAAAUUUUCCUAAAAUUUUCUUAGGUUCUCGGUUUAGUCCCGGACCAUUCUCAAUGUAUGUUUUGGAUCUCGUAGGCCCAUAAUAGUGAUACUAAGAUGUUGUUUAAUUGGUUUUAAUUUGGAACAAAAUUUUUUAACCCGUAUUUUUCGAAAAUGUCUAAGUAUGUAUCUCGUAACGCCUUGUACUUGGUCUCGGUCUCAGGUACGGGUAAGGGAUGUUACACCGAGAAUGUCCACUAACUUUAUAAAUGGGCUAAUUACCACAUAAGGACCUCCACUUUCAGGUUCCAUAGCUAUAGAUACCUUUAGCUAAUAGAAUUCAAGUUUUACACUUUAUGCGAUUUAGUCCUUUUUAUCAAAUUGAACAUUCAAACUAUAAAAUUUCUUAAAGAAAUUUUCACACAAUCAUACUAUCGUACUGUAGACAUUAAAAUACUAAUAAAAUAAUUAUUUUGACCUCAGAUUUUUGGUCCCGAAACCACUGUUCCAAUUUGACUAAAAAUGGGUUGUUAUAGUUUGUUUCCCAAAAAUGUAAUGCUCGUAAAAACCUAAUUUGUAACGCCCCUCACCCAUAUCGACGCCAAAAUAGGUUCAAGCCGUUACCUGAGAUUCUCAUUCGUAAACAUAUUAAAUCAAGUCACUAAGUUGCGCUGUAAUUUAGAACUUUUCAAAUAUGUAUAUCCUUUCCCUUAAACAGGCCUUCGAGACCUAAAACAUGCCUAGAGGCGGUGCGGGACAAAACCAAGAACGUUUGAUAAACAUGGAGCACAUUGGAAAUUUUCUUUUAACUUGAAGUGUCACACGCCCGUGUGACUUGGGACAUGCCCGUGCAAUCACCCUGUGUCCAAGACUUGAACAUUCUAUUAAAUUCACACGGCCAAGACACACGCCCGUGUGUCUAGCCCGUGUUCAUUUAACAGACCUACCAUUUUAGAUGAAAUGGACACACGAUCAUGCCAUACACCCACGAGUGUGUCCCGUGUGUCACACAUAGCCUAGGCACAUGCCCGUGUACCCAACCGUGUCAACCCUAUUAGGCUAUUUUCGAAGCCUAUGGUCACCCCCUUUUAACACUUAUACUUAAUGAAUAUUAAAAACGAAGUAAAACAAGAUUAUGUUCUCAUAAAUGAUCUUUGCAAAAAACUUAUUGCAUGGAAACCUCAUAUCAUUGGUUUCGUACAUGCUAGGUUAUUUCCCAUCUUGUAUUUAUGUGUUGUCAUACCACUUUAACACAUUCAAGAUUGGCUCGUUCUUAUGACUCAUUGCUAAUUGGAAUUCAACCCUCGCACAUGAUUCUAAACUUGAAUGGAAAUUUUGUAGGUCAUAGCCUAUUUCAAAAUAAGCCAAUCUCCAUGGCGACAUACAAAAAGAUAGAAUUCUCUUUCAUGCCUUCAUUUGGUAAAUUAAAUGGCACAUAUAACAAAUUACUCAAAAGACCUAUACAUGCCAUUGAACAAAUCAAAAAUGUCUUUAUACCAAAGCUGAGCUAUUUGAUAGUAUGCUAACUCUCUAACCCUCUUCCAAUCUUUACAAGUCCUCGAGCUCUGGGAGAAACAGGGAAAAGAGAGGGGUAAGCAUUUUCAUGCUUAGUAAGCUCGAAUAACCAGACAGUAAACUUACCAAGUAAUUAGCAUGCAAUCAAGUUGGUUAAUAAAUUCAAUGAGCAUAGGAUGGCUUCCCUAUCACAUACACUCAAUCAUUGAGUUAGUCACAUAACAAUGCACUAUGAAAGAUAUCUUAGAUGAGCUCAUCAUUCAACAUCUCAUUUAGUAAAUAUAAGUCAUGUUAAUCUUGUUGAGUUUCUAGGAAGUUUCAAUGAUAUACCCAUUAACUGUCAAUUCGUAUGAAUGAUCAUUUCCAGUAUGCACUCCCGCGAACCUCACAUCUCAUGGCGGGAUUACCAGUCCAAGCUAAAUACCCCAUUUUAUGAACUCAUAAGUUGAUGUCGGGAUUACUAGUCCAAGCUAAAUCCCUUAUAACGAAAAACACUUUUAUUGAGCUCGGAUCUAAAUUACCAGUCCAGGCUAAAUUCAGAUCCUAAUCGGAUUACCCGUCUGGGCUAAAUCAAUAAUGCACACAUAUUCUUCGGGAGGCUCGACUAUUCAAAAGAACACCCGUCUGAGCUAGAUCGUUUUAUAAAUGAGAUCAACGGAUUACCCGUCUGGGCUAAAUCCUUUCUGCAACACAUGCAGGACCUCAUUACACAUGUCAAUCAUGGUUUAUCUUUCGAAUUCCCUUUUUAACCUCAACUGAGACAUUUAUCACAAUUCAUACUUAAACAUGCAUUUCAUAAAAUUUCAUGUUAUUAAUAAAUGCAAUCACCAUGUAUUCAUAAAUCAUAUAAUUAGGCACAUUGAGUGUUUACUUUAAGUUAUCCGAACUUACCUGGUAUUUGUUUCGGUGUCAUGUUUCGUUUAUUCUGAAACCUUUUGUUUUUCUCGAUUGACCUCCGAAAUUUGUUCCUCGAGGUCUAUAACAAUAAAAAUAGAUCAUUAACACUCCACAUUAUACAUUUCAAGUCUAAAUUCCACCCUCGGUCCAAAUGACCAUUUUGCCCCUAACCUUUCACAUUUUUACGAUUUAGUCCCUAGGCUCGUAUGAUGAAACACACGCAAUUUAUACUUUACUCAAGCCUAGCCAAACACUUUUCCCUCUUAUGGUAGCCUACAUUUUCCAUUAUUUUCACAUUCCUACCACACAUUUUACAACUUUUGCAAAAAGGUCCCUUUAGGGGUUUUUCAUGAAAAUCACCUAGGAAAAGUUGUUUAACACACAUCAAACUUUCAUAUUCCUCCAUAAAACAUCAAAAUACAAUUAACUCAUGCAUGGGUAAAUUUUUAAACAUGAACCCUAGCAUGAAAUAUUGGUAGAAAUGGAGAUAGUAAGCUACCGGGAUCUCAAAAUUACGAAGAACAUUAAAAACGGGGCUUGGGAGCACUUACUAAUGAGCUUGAAAAUCUUGGAAACCUUAGCUAUGGUGGCUUAUGAAUUUCAGCUGGACAAGGGAGAAGAAUGGCUGAUUUUUGCCUUCUUUUUCCCAUUUUAUUUCAUUAAUAUGCCACAUGACCAAAAUGCCCUUACGCCAUUUCUUUGAAAUUUCAUCCAUCCAAGCCCAUUUUUUUCCAAAAACAUAGAAAUUGGGAAAGUUGCUCCCCAAGACCUUCUAUUUUAUAAUCUAAAUCAAUUUCAUACAAAUUGCUUCUAGAAUCCAAGUUUUGUAAUUUAUUCAAUUUAGUCCCUAAUUUUCCAAUUGGGCACUUACUCAAAGAAUUCCUUCAUGAAACUUUAACACAUGCGUAUUCUCAUAUUGUAAGCCUUGUAAUAAUCAUAAAAUAAAUAUUUUGAUGUCUGAUUUGUGGUCCCGAAACCACUAUUCCAACUAGGCCCUAUUUUGGGAUGUUACAUUUCUCCCCCCAAGGACUUUCGUCCUCGAAAGUCUUACCAGUGAACUGAUUCGGAUAUUGGCUUCUCAUGGAUUCUUCUGGUUCCCAUGUAGCCUCUUCUACACCAUGUCGAUGCCAUAAAACUUUUACUAAGGCCACAUAUUUAUUCCUCGGCUGUUUAACCUCACGAGCCAAUAUCUUAACUGGUUCCUCUUCAUAGGUCAUGUCUAGUCGAAUUUCAAUCUCAGUCAGUGAAAUCACGUGAGAGGGGUCUGAUCAGUAUCGCCUUAACAUAAAUACAUAGAACACAUCGUGAAUCUUUUCCAAUUCAGGUGGAAAUGCCAAGUGAUAGGCUACCGGUCCAACUCUUUCAAUGAUCUCAUACGGUCCGACAAAUCGCGGAUCCAGUUUGCCUUUUGGGGCAAAUCUCAACACCUUUUUUCCAUGGAGAUACUUCCAAGAAUACUCUAUCUCCAACUUGAAACUCAAUUUCCUUUCUUUUCAAAUCAACAUAUGAUUUUGCCUAUCCGAUGCCGCUUUCAAACAGUCUCGUAUCACUUUAAAUUUCUCUUCAGUUUCUUUAAUCAAAUCAACUCUGUGAAUCUGAUUUUCCUUAAGUUAUGUCCAGUACAAUGGAGUUCAGCACUUCCUGCCAUACAAGGCCUCAUAAGGUGCCAUCUUCAAACUCGUCUGAAAACUAUUGUUGUAGGCGAAUUAUACUAGUGGCAAAUAUUUUUCCCAACUACCCUGAAAUUCAAGGACGCAACAUCGCAACAUAUCCUCAAGAAUCUGAAUCAUCUGCUCAGACUAACCAUCUGUCUAAAGGUGAAAAGCUGCACUAAAGCUUAACUUCAUACCCAAGGCUUCUUGUAAUUUCUUCAAGAAUCUCGAAGUGAACCUCGGGUCUCAGUCGGAAAUAAUUAAUAGUUGUACCCCAUGAAAUCUUACAAUCUCAGAAAUGUAUAAGUCGGCAAAUCUAUCGAGGGAAUAAUAUGUCCUCAACAGAAUAAAAUAAGCCAACUUCGUCAACUUAUCUACUAUGACCCAUACGGCAUUUUUCUUCUUCGAAGUCAAUGGUAAUCCUGUCAUGAAAUCCAUAGUAACUCUAUCCCACUUCCAUUCGGGGACAAUCACAGGCUGUAGAAAACCUGAAGGCACUUGAUGUUCAACUUUAACUUGCUGACAUACCAGGCAUUUCGACACAAAUUUAGAAAUCUCUCUUUUCAUGCCGUUCCACUAGUAUGUUUUCUUCAAAUCAUUGUACAUCUUGGUACUUUUCGGGUGAAUUGACAAACGGCUGUUAUGUGCUUCUUGCAAAAUUUUCCGAAUAAGUUAAUUGUUUUUGGGUACACAAAUCGUAUCUCUGAACAUCAAACAUCCAUCAGAAACAAUCCAAAAAUUUGAUUCAAUACCUCACUCACAUUGAGUUUGUUUAGCUUGAAAGCUAUCAUCAUUAGUUUGAGCAUCAUAGAUUUCAUGAAGGAAUGUCGGCCUAGCCUUUAGCUCAGCCAAGACUGAACCAUCAUCAAGCAAUGCCAAACGAGCAUCCAUAGCCCUUAAUGCAAACAAGGAUUUUCUGUUCGACACGUCAGCGAUCACAUUCGCCUUUCCCAGGUGAUAAUCAAUAAUUAGUUCGUAAUCCUUGAUUAACUCUAGCCACCUCUGCUGCCUCAAAUUUAAUUCUUUUUGAGUUAUCAAAUACUUCAAACUCUUGUGGUUAGUGAAUAUGUGGCAAGUCUCACAAUAUAAAUAAUGUCUACAAAUUUUCAAAGCAAAAACGAUGGCGGCAAGUUUUAGGUCGUGUGUAAGAUAGUUCUUCUCAUGCGGCUUCAACUAUCGUGAAGCAUAGGCUAUUACUUUGCCAUCUUGCAUAAGUACACAACCCAGUCUAUUUGAGGAUGCGUCACUGUAGACUACAAAUUAUUUUCCCGACUCAGGUAAUACUAAAACAGGAGCUUCAGUUGACAGUGUUUUUAACUUCUAAAAACUUUGUUGACACUUUUCCGUCCAUUCAAACUUAAUGUUUUUCUGUAACAAUCUCAUCAUUGGAGUUGCUAUCAUGGAGAAUCCUUUCACAAAUCUUCGAUAGCAACCAGCUAAGCCCAAAAAGCUUCUAACCUCAGUUACAUUUUUAGGUGGUUUCCAUUCAAUAAUAGCAGAGAUCUUACUUGGAUCGACUAGGAUGCCUUCACCAAAAACAAUAUGACCUAAAAAUCCAACUUCCUAAAGCCAAAACUCACUCUUGCUAAACUUAGCAUACAGCUGCUUUUCCCGCAAAGUCUGCAACACAAUUCUCAAGUGCUUCGCGUGCUCUGUCUUAUCUUUGGAAUAAAUCAAUAUGUCGUCAAUGAACACAACGACAAACUUGAUCAAAUAUGGCUGUAAGAUCCUAUUCAUUAGGUCUAUAAAUACAGCUGGUGCAUUCAUCAGCCCAAAUGGCAUGACAAGAAAUUCAUAAUCGCCAUACCUUAUCCUAAAGGCUGUCUUAGGUACAUCCAAUUCUUUAACUCGCAACUGGUAAUAGCCAGACCCUAAGUCUAUCUUAGAGAACACGGUGGCUCCUUUCAACUGGUCAAACAAAUCAUCAAUCCUUGGUAAAGGAUACUUAUUCUUGAUAGUUACCUUGUUCAGUUGGCUGUAAUUUAUACAUAACCUCAUCGAACUAUCCUUCUUCCUUACAAAUAGAACGGGAGCACCCUAAGGUGAAAAGCUCGGCCUUACAAAACCUUUAUCCGUCAGCUCUUGCAACUGUGCUUUCAACUCUCUCAGCUAGGUUGGUGCCAUCCUAUACGGAGCAAUUAAAAUAGGAUCUGUCCUUGGCACCAGCUCAAUACCAAAUUCUAUUUCCCUUUCAGGAGGUAAUCCGGGUAAUUCUUCUAGAAAUACAUCUGGGUACUCACAUACUAUAGGCACAGAUUCAAUCUUCAACUCUGUUUCCUUAGUGUUCAAUACAAUUGCAAGGUAGGCUUCAUACCCUUUUCUCAUAUAUCUCUGAGCAACCAUUGCCGUGAUCACAACCGAAAGCGUACCCAACUCUCUUGAAUCAACCCAUAGAAAUUCACCAUCCGGACAUUUCAAUUUAAUAUACUUACCACCAUAAUUUACAAUUACAUCAUGCAGUGCUAACCAAUCCAUACCAAAUAUUAUAUCAAAUUCAUCAAAUGGUAACAACAUAAGAUUAGCCAGAAAACAAUGACCCUGAAUUGUCAAAGGACAAUUCUUACAGACUUUAUCAACUAUGACUGAUCUGCCUAGUGAGUUCGACACUUUAAUAAUAAAUUCCGUAGGCUCAAUGAGUAUGUUCAUUCUAGAUACCAAGCUCAUACAAAUGUAUGAAUGCGUCGACCCCGGGUCAAUUAAGGCAAUAACACAUGUAUCGAAAAGAGAAAAAGUAUCCGUGAUAACAUUAGGAGCAGAGGCUUCCUCUCGGGCGCGUACCGCAUACGUUCUUGCCGGAGGUUGAGCCUCUAAUUUUGCAGCAUCUUUAACCACAACUCAACUGUCACUGGCACUUCCAAGAUAUCUCGGAGGUCUACCUCAUGAAAUGGGAGUACUCGACUUCAGGGCUACUUUCACUUCUUUCUCGACUCACUCUAGGCAGUCCCUGAGAAAGUGGUCAAGAGAUCCACAUCUGAAACAUGCACGUCUCUUCACUCGGCACUCUCCGAAGUGAAAUUUGUUGCAACUCCUACACUUCAGCUUUUGAUCAUCUACACUCCCCACACUAGUUACCAUCAGGGAGGAAGACUUUUGGCUUCUUCGUUUAGAGCUUCUCGCUCUACCCAAAUAUCCUACUGAUGAAAUGGAGCGUUCAUGCUGGCUCUUUGAUUUCUUGUGGGAAACAAGAGUGUUCUACCACUAGACCUCUUGCUCGCGGCUUAGGCCUCUCUCUUUGUUUGCUUUCUUUCGUUGUUAAGCUCCCCGACCUUCUUGGCCCGAUCAGCCAAUGCAACAACCUCUCAUAUUUCAAGGAUCCCAAUCAACAACUUAAUUUGCUCCUUCAGACCUUCCUCGAAGCGUUUACACAUUUUUGACUCGGUUUGGAGCCAUUCAGUUGCGUGCUGACUUAGCCUCACGAACUCUCGUUCAUAUUCUGCUUCAGUCUUGUUCCCUUGUUUGAGUUUUAGGAACUCAUUUCGUUUCAAGUCUAGAAACCGUUGGCUAAUGUAUUUCUUCCUAAACUCUAUUUAGAAGAAAUCUCAAGUGAUAUUUUCCUUUGGCACUACCGAGGAUACAGUCUUCCACCAAUGAUACGCAAUAUCUUUUAGGAGGGACACGGCACACUUCAAACGCUCCUCAGGUGUGCACGACAAAUCAUCUAACACUGGUGUAGUAUUCUCAAGCCAAAACUCGGCUCUUUCAGCAUCAUCAUCAACUUUAGCUCUGAAUUCCUCAGCCCCAUACUUUCUAAGCUUAUCAACAGGGGCUUUACCAAUUCUUACCGGUGCCCUACCUCGUGGCACAUCCUCAUUAGGUUGGUUAGGGGGCGGGGGAGGUCUUGGUAUGUUGGGGCGAUUCCUCAGGUAAUCCCCAAACCAUUCGUCCUUCAUAAGCCUUCUACUACUACUAGUAGAUACAGCUCGUUGUAUGAAAGCUGGAGCAUGGCUCUCAGCUCCCUCGGACUCAUCUUGUGUUUGAUUGGAAGACAUUUACUAUAUUCAAAACAAUUUAAACAGUUAGGAGACGUCAUACUAUCAAUAUUCGAAUGAUGGUAUGUAUAGCAAACCUCAAUACUCUCUACGAUAGUCCUAGAACUGACUAAAUCGUAGCUCUGAUACCAUUAAAUAUAACACCCUUUACCCGUUACUUGAGAUUCUCGUUCAUAAACAUAUUAAAUCUAAUCACUAAGUUGCACUCUAAUUUAAAACUAUUCAAAUAUGUAUAUCAUUUCCCUUAAACAAGCCUUCGAGACCUGAAACAUGCCUAGAUGCAGUACGGGACAAAACCGAAAACGUUUGAUAAACUUGGGGCACCUUGGAAAAUUUCUUUUAACUUGAAGUGUCACACGCCCGUAUGACUUGGGACACUCCCGUUCAAUCACCCCGUGUCCAAGACUUGAGCAUUCUAUUAAAUUCACACGGCCAAGACACACGCCCGUGUGUCUAGCCCGUGUUCAUUUAACAGACUUACCAUUUUAGAUGCAGGGGACACACAACCAUGCCACACACCUACGGGUGUGGCCCGUGUGUCAUACACGGCCUAGGCACACGCCCGUGUACCCAACUGUGUAAACCCUAUUAGGCUAUUUUCCAAGCCUAUGGUCACCCCCUUUUUAACACUUAUACUUAAUGAAUAUUAAAAACGAAGUAAAACAUGAUUAUGCUCUUAUAAAUGAUCUUUGCAAAAACUUAUUACGUGGAAACCUCAUAUCAUUAGUUUCGUACAUGCUAGGUUAUUUCCCAUCUUGUAUUUAUGUGUUGCCAUACCACUUUAACACAUUCAAGAUUGGCUCGUUCUUAUGACUCAUUGCCAAUUGGAAUUCAACCAUCGCACAUGAUUAUAAACUUGCAUGGAAAUUUUGUAGGUCAUAGCCUACUUCAAAAUAAGCCAAUCUCCAUGGCAAUAUACAAAAAGAUAGAAUUAUCUUUACAUGCUUUCAUUUGGAAAAUUAAAUGACACAUAUAACAAAAUACUCAAAAGACCUAUACAUGCCAUUGAACAAAUCAAAAAUGUCUUUAUACCAAAGCUGAGCUAUUUGAUAAUAUGCUGACUCUCUAACCGUCUUCAAUCUUUACGAGUCCUCGAGCUCUAGGAGAGACAGGGAAAAGAGAGGGGUAAGCAUUUUCAUGCUUAGUAAGCUCGAAUAACUGGAAAGUAAACUUACCAAGUAAUUAGCAUGCAAUCAAAUUGGGUAAUAAAUUCAAUGAGCAUAGGAUGGCUUCCCUGUAGCACCCCAAACCCGGCCUAGACGUUAUGGUCGGAUCCGACAUGCCACAUCGAAGCAUUCAAAACAUUUUAUAUUAUUGGUCCAGAAAAUCUUAUUUAGUGUUUUAAAAGAUAAUUUUAUUAUAGGUUAAAGUGAAUGGAAGCUAUGCACCAGGUAGGAAACCGAAAAAGAGGUGGUGAGUCCAUCGGACUGCGUAAGUACCAAGAUCCCUUCGGAUCCAAUCCUAGACAUGCAUACUGCCAUUGUCACACCUUAACGUCAUGGAUAUUUCUAGGAAACCGAUUUGAUUAAGUCAUUUUUAGGAAAAGUGAUUAAUUUUGGAAAACACUUUCAUUGCGGAAGCUUUAUUUGUUGUCGUGUUAUUUUGAAAUCAAUUGUUGUUUUUGAAAACGCACCCUAAAGCUAUCCAAUUUCAACAGUUAAAAUAAGUAAUACCUAUCUUAGUAAUACAUAUUAAAACCAUCAAAAAUAAUUAAGUGGCCUUAUUACAUUUAAAAACCCAAAACUUCAAACGUAAAUAACAGGAUAUCCAUUUCACCGGAAGAAAAUCAAACUUUCAGAAUGGGUGGCCACUCCAAAUUCCCUCACAACUCUAAGCCCACUAUGGUUGGGGAUUUCCUGCGUGGAUGAAAAUAAAAAGGGUGAGUUUGGGGAAACUCAGUGUAUAAGGAAAACCCAUUCAAAGCCCAAGUCAGCUCAAGCCAUUGGGCCUAAGCCCAUUCAGGUAACAGUGGUACUGGGCCAGAGCCCUUUUCAGAUUACAAUAAACUGGGCCUUAGCCCCUUAUUCAGAUAACAGUAUGGCCCAUAGGCCCAUUUCAAAAUACAUGCAACAUCAAUAACAUAUGCAAGCCCAUUUGGGGAGACUACUCAACCCACCAACCACUACACUCCACCCGUACCAGUCAUACACUCCAUGUGGGGAAUAGCUCAACCCACCCAGCCCAACACUCCACAGUUGCAGCCUUGCUGCUCAGUUAACAGUAAAUUGAGGCAAAGCCUCCAGUACGUGGACAAGCCACUUUCAGUACUUCCUCCGUCAAUAUCCCAGUCCCAUGCAUCAGAUAAUAACAACAUGGCAUGCAGUAAAUAACAACAGUCAAACAUGCAUUUAGGUCAAUUUAACCCUAGCGGUAUUUCGAUAAUUUAUCUCCUAGGGAUAAAACUGUAAAUUUUCCACUUUUAAAGGUAUUUCAGUAAUUUAUCUAUUUUAGGGUUUUUCAUGCAUAUUCCUACCUUUCACGUACUAACAGAAUCACGUACCGAGGGUUCUUACCGAAUUGGGCCCGUUGGUCAAUCAUUCCAAUUUUGGCCCAUUAAGCCCAAAAAUAUCGAGGGCACAAAAAUCAUGCACUUUGCAGUCCAAACACUGCAGCUUACCAAAAACAUUAAUCGAUUUACCUCACGAGCAUUCGCACACUCGCAAAUCUACAAAAUAUCGAUUUUUGACAUUUCGGCUUUUUGGCUUUUGCCGAUCUAGACUAAGAAAGAGGGUGUUAGUUACACACCUGUUUGCGACGAUAUGCUGACGAGAUCCACACACGAACUGCCUACAAUUGGAUUACUAACACGUUAAUCUAACUAUUCAAAUACAAACUACGUAUUAACCCCUUACAAUAUUCGGCCAACCACACCUACAAAUCAUAGUAAGCUUAUAAGAAAUCAAUAAGCAACUCAUUAACAAAUUUUUAUCAAUGUUUACCACAUAAUCAUAAUUUCACUGCAAGCUAUCUUCCUGAGCAAUAGUCACUAAAUUAUUUAUAACUGGAGCUACGAAACUCCAAAUCAAGUGCCAUUAAUUUUCCAUGAAAAUAGACUCAUAUAUCUUCUAUCCAUAAAAUUUCAGAAUUUUUUGGUCUAGCCAAUCAAUACCAGAUUUUUCUCAAAGUUUCCCAUGUUUCACUAUUUGACUAAUCUGACCACUCUUCAUUACGAAUCAAAUUUCUCAUUGUACAGAAUUUAAAAUAUGUUCUUGUUUAUUUCAUUAGAACCUAGACUCAAUAAGCUUUAAUUACAUAAUUUAUUCAGCUUCAAAUUCAUCUCCCACAAUUUAUGGUGAGUUUCCAAAGUCACAUUACUGCUGCUGUCCCAAGCAGAUUUAUUACCAAAUCACUCUUUCACACAUACCUUGCAUGCAUGUUAUUUAAACAUGUAUAUCACCAAUCAAUCAUCACAUAUCUAUGAUUUUACUUAAGAAUAAUCUCCAUUUCAUCAUUUUAAAGCACAACAUGUUAGCUGAUUUUUCCCUUUAACAUCUAAGGCACAUGCAUGCUCAUUUGUUUGGCUCAACUUCACCUAUCUUCCAUUUUUUUCAUCAAAAGAACAUGAAAAAACAACCAUUUCCUUAAUUUUAAUUCAUGACUAAAUGCUCACAACACAACUAAAAACCAAAAUAUGCUUCAAGAGUUAAGGUAGAAUCAAGAAGAACUCAUGAACAUCAAGAUAGAAGCCAACUACCAUGAACUUACCUUCAAUUUUCUUCCCCAAGUGACCGAACACUCAAGAGCUUUCUCCUCUCCUUUCUCUUCUCUAACUUUCAGCUAUGAUGAACAAAGAUGGACAAGACUUUGUUCUUUUCACCCCUUUUUCUUUUAAUAAAACUUCAUAUUUCAUCCAUUUAAUUCUUUAAUACAAAAGACAUGAAAUUCUUAUCAUGAAACAUUUACCUAACCCAUUAUCAUGAAACAUUUACCUAACCCAUUAUCAUGGAACAUUUACCUAACCUAUUAUCAAUUUAUAUCAAUUUGUACCAUAAAUUAUGGAUAUCAAGUGUACAUUUUGUCUACAACAACAUGAUGGCUGGCCACUUCAUGUAAAAUGGGAGGUUUGUCAUGCAAAUCCUCCUAUUUUGCACUCCUAUUUAUUUGGUCACUUCAAUUUAGCCUAUAGCAUUUUCAAACAUUUUCACAUAGGUCCUAUUUCAUAAUUUCACUCACAAAUGACAAAAAUUAAGCAUGAAAUUUUGCCAACAUUCACAGAAUUCCCGAAAAUUGGGGCGUUACAUUCCCUAUCACAUACACUCAAUCAAUGAGUUAGUCACAUAACAAUGUAUAAUGAAAGUUAUCUUAGAUGAGCUCAUCAUUCAACAUCUCAUUUUGUACAUAUAAGUCAUGUUAAUCUUGUUGAGUUUCUAGAAAGUCUCGAUAGAAUACUUAUUAACCGUCAAUUCGUAUGAAUUAUCAUUUCCAGUAUGCACUUCCGCGAACAUCACAUCUCAUGGCAGGAUUACCAGUCCAGGCUAAAUCCCCCAUUUUAUGAACUCAUAAGGUGAUGUCAAGAUUACAAGUCCAGGCUAAAUCCCUUAUAACAACAAACACCUUUAUUGAGCUUGGAUCUGAAUUACCAGUUCAGGCUAAAUUCAGAUCCUAAUCGGAUUACCCGUCUGGACUAAAUCCAUAAUGCACACAUAUUCUUCGGGAGGCUUGACCAUUUAAAGGAACACCCGUCCGGGCUAGAUCCUUUUAUAAAUGACAUCAACGGAUUACUCGUCUGGGCUAAAUCCUUACUGCAACACAUGCAGGACUUCAUUACACAUGUCAAUCAUGGUUUAUCCAUCGAAUUCCCUUUUUAACCUCAACCGAGACAUUUAUCACAAUUCAUACUUAAACAUACAUUUCAUAAAAUUUCAUGUUAUUAAUAAAUGCAAUCAUCAUGCAUUCAUAAAUCAUAUAAUUAGGCACAUUGAGUGUUUACUUUAAGUUAUCCGAACUUACCUGGUAUUCAUUUUGGUGUCGUGUUUUGGUUAUUUCGAAACCUUUCGUUUUCCUCGAUCGACCUCCAGAAUUUGUUCCUCUAGGUCUAUAACAAUAAAAAUAGAUCAUAAACACUCUAAAUUAUAUAUUUCAAGUCUAAAUUCCACCCCCGAUCCAAAUGACCGUUUUGCGCCUAACCUUUCACAUUUUUACAAUUUAGUCCCUAGGCUCGUAUAAUGAAAGGCAUGCAAUUUCUACCUUACUCAAGCCUAGCCGAACACUUUUCCCUCUUAUGGUAGCCCACAUUUUUCAUUAUUUCCACAUUCCUGCCACACAUUUUACAACUUUUGCAAAAAGGUCCCUUUAGGGGUUUUUCAUGAAAAUCACCUAGAAAAAGUUGUUUAACACACAUCAAACUUUCAUAUUCCUCCAUAAAACAUCAAAAUACUAGUAACUUAUGCAUGGGUAAAUUUUUAAACAUGAACCCUAGCAUGAAAUAUUGGUAGAAAUGGAGAGAGUAAGCUACCGAAAUCUCAAAAUUAAGAAGAACAUUAAAAACGGGGCUUGAGAACACUUACUAAUGAGCUUGAAAAGCUUGGAAACCCUAGUUAUGGUGGCUUGGAGAUUACGGCUGGACAAGGGAGAAAAAUGGUUAAUUUUUUCCUUCUUUUCCCAUUUUAUUUCAUUAAUAUGCCACAUGACCAAAAUGCCCUUAAGCCCUUUCUUUGAAAUUUCAUCAAUGCAAGCCCAUUUUUGUCCAAAAACUUAGAAAUUAGAAAAAUUUCUCCCCAAGACCUUCUAUUUUAUAAUCUAAAGCAAUUUCAUACAAAUUGCUUCUAGAAUCCAAGUUUUGCAAUUUAUUCAAUUUAGUCCCUAAUUUUCCAAUUGGGCACUUACUCAAAGAAUUCCUUCAUGAAACUUUAACACAUGUAUAUUCUCAUAUUCUAAGCCUCGUAAUAAUUAUAAAAUAAAUAUUUUGAUGUCGUAUUUGUAGUCUCGAAACCACUAUUCCGAUUAGGCCCUAUUUUGGGGUGUUACAUAAUUUACCAACUCCAAUGUCUUUGGGAAAAAUUUUAUUGCACAAGACUAUUAUAUCUUCCUCACUCAUAUGACCUAGUUGCAUGUGCCAAAGUUUUGUUGAGUCGGAAUCGAUGAAGAAAGAGUCACGUCGUGUCGCCGUGACGUGGUGGGAAUUUCGACUUUUCUUCAGUAAUCGCAGCCACACCAGUAAUUGUUGACCCUUGCAAAACGUAUAGGCUGCCCUUUUCCUCUCCCCUCAUCAUAAAAGAGCCUCAGAGAAACUUUUAAGUCAUUUGACUCAAUGACUAUCCUGCAACCAUUAGAAUCCAAAAUUCCCAAUGAGAUAAGAUUUUUCUUUAAAUCAGGAACAUACCUGACAUAUGAAAGUGUUUGAAUAAUCCUGUCAUGCAUCUUAAUUUGUAUCGUUCCAAUUCCGAAUAUUUUACAUGGGAGAGUUAUUCCCGAUCAGCACAACUCCACCUUCAACUUAACUAUAUGUAGAGAACCAGUCCCUGUUGGGAUACAUGUGACAGGAGUACUCUGAAUCUAAGUUCCAUUCAGAAGUAAGAUGAUAGCUUUUGCUCGUUGACACCAACAAGAAAUUAUCACAUUUAUCCUCAACUACACUAGCAUCAACAACGUCGGCUUUUUGCUUAUCUUUCUUAUCGUUUUCAUCAUCAUUUUUUAUAUUAUUUUGAAAUUUCCAACAUUCUGCCUUAACAUGGCCCGCCUUUUUACAAUAACCACAAUAUUUGUGAUGAUUUCUGGAGUUGGACCUUGCUUUAGACCUAUUUUGAUCUGUCUUUCUGGUUUGUCAUUUGCCUCUUGCAACUAGAACUGAGGUUUGCCCGUAUGAUUUUUUGUUUGGGCUUAACUCAUUAUUGAGUUUAUCCUUACUCAGAAGAUUCCCCUUCACAUCCUCGAACGAGUGAUGGUAUCUCCCAUAAAUCAAAGUUUCCCUGAAAGUUUUAUAAGAAAAAGGCAAAGAGCAUAACAAUAACAUAGCUUGAUCCUUAUCACUAAUAUUUGCUUCGAGAUUCUAUAAGUCUUUAAAAAGGGUAACAAACUCGCUAAUAUGAGUUUUGAUGGACUCACCUUUAGCCAUUCUGAACAUGUAGAAAUGUUGUUUUAAUACUAACCUGUUGGCUAGAGAUUUUGUCAUAUAUAAGGUUUCUAGUUUCUUCCAUAACAUAAACGAUGUUUUCUCCUUCAAAACCUUCUAUAACACAUUAUUCGUGAGAUAUAAUUGAAUAAUGGAUAGAGUCUUUUCAUCGAGCUCUUCCCAUUCUGACUGAUCCAUAUCUACGAGCUUUUUCCCUGUAAUGACCUUUUUCAGACCGUUCUAAACCAAUAUUGUUGUCAUUCAAACUUUCCACAAACUAAAAUUUACAAUUCUUCAAACUUCUCAAUAUCAAACCUUGACGUUGCCAUCUCUAAACGGGUUGACUGUAAAAAUUAAACUAGCUCUGAUACCAUUUUGUGGGGGAAAAACCCAUUAAGCAAUGAAUAAAGUAAAUAAAAUAAGAAUCGAAAAGAUCGAACAUGUAAAUUUUGCAUGGAAAACUCCUCAAGAGAGGAUAAAAACCACGGGAAAAAACAAAUUUCACUAUAAUAAAGGAGAGUACAAAAGAUGGAGGAGAGAAUUAAAAGAAAACCCGAAGCCCUUCAAGAAAAACCCUUCAAAACAAAGAAUAAAAUUCUCUCAAUCUAAAUAAAUUUUUGUUAUGUAAAACCUAGAGUAACUAAGGACUAUUUAUAGUUGAAAUUUGUAGCAUAUAUGACUACAACAAUUAGAGUUUAAGUGGGAAAGUAGAAACAAAGUUUAACUAGGAGAAAAAUAAAUUUUGGUCAAAAUAAGAGGCAUUCUUCCACACCUUUCCAAAUAAUACCUUAAGAGAGUGUCACAAAGUUACCCAAUGGAAUAGCAAGAUACAAAAGCUUAAGAUACUCCAAAACAGCAAACAAAGUGAGACCACACUAUUGCCUAUUUAUAGGCGUCUACAAGUGAUUAUAAGAUAGUGUUUUGAUAAGCUUUAAACUCUCCUUUAAAAGUUGAAAUUAUCAAAUUAAUUAUCUUGAAUAUUUAUCACAUAAAAGACUUUAUAACCAAGUUUUCCAAUAGCUUCAAACACUCUAAAAGGUAAGGAUAAGGAUAAGUGCCCAAAUUUCGAACUCCUCUCCUUCCUAGGCUAAUCAAAUGGAUGAUAAUCAUAUUCCAAUUUACCAAGAAAUUCUCUUAUCAUUUGUUGUUAACUAAUAUUAGAACAUAAGCCAUUAAAAGUCAAACAUGCCAACACCCAAAAAUGUUGAUUGCUCCAAAAAGCUUGUUUUAAUUGUUGUUCAAACAAGUCAGUACAAUUUCCAACAAAAAUUAAUAAUAACUAAAAAAUAUUAAAAAAUAAAAAAAUAUAUUUAAUAAAUGAAAAAUCAAAUAAAACCUAAUAAAAAGCUCAACCUUUUGUUAAAAAAAAUCAAAUAACUGAUAGUGUCUAGGAGAUGAGGAGUUAUACAUUUAAAUAUAUUGUAUUAUAUUAUUAUGUCGUAUAUUAAAUUAACAUUUAUAAUCUUUUUUUUUAAGGAAACCGUUAGUCUCAUAUUUUCGUCUUCUGUUUUUUUUUUCCGGUUAACAACAAAACUAGAAAAUACUGCACUUACACAUGUAUAUAUGUUGACCAUAUCUAAGAAAUAUGUUACUGAAUCAUGUGAAAUUCAUUCCCUUGAGCCAAGAAAAAGGAACGUAAAAUCAUGUGAGUUCACGUGGCAAUUAGGUAGAAAUUAGACAACUUGUCUAUGCUUCAAUCAUUAUGAGGCAAACCAAGACAAGUUCAACUUUUUUUUUAUCCUCUCACUGUGAAACCUUUUGCAGGAAGACUUAGGAACAAUAGCUAAGCCUAAAUCCUGCUAGAAUCACAACAUAUUGUUUUGUUUAUUAAAAAAAAAAGAUGAUAUUGGUCUUUGAUAUGUAAAAUUGAUCUAUACAUGCAUUGAUGUUGAGCAAUUUUUGUUUGAGGAGUUAACCGCUACAUUAUAUAGAAGUAAUUAACGUCUUGGGGAUUUUUUAUGCAAAAAAAUAUAUACAUAAAUUUAUAUGAAAAAUACAUGGUUAAAAAAAUUUGUAAAUAAAGCCUUGACAUGGUAGGUAAAAGUGGAAGCUAUAGGCUUUGAGUAACCAUAUUCAAGACCCACCGUACACAGUUGAAUGUAUGGGUUUUAAAGUCCUAUUAUUAAUUGUUAUGUGUUGGUUUUAGUUUGAUUAAUUAUAUUAUAACUUACAUUGUUUCUGUUUAUAAUUUAUAUUUUAUGUAAUAGAUUGAUUUUUUGUCUUAAUUUUUAGUCUAUUUAAAUGAUAUAAUUGUUUAAUUCUACACUUAAUAGUUACUUUGACCUAUAUUUAUAUUUUAAUUUUUCUGUAUUUUUAAACUUUAAAAAAACAUAUAUUUAUAUAUAGAAAGUUUAUGAAUAAAAUUUCUUUUUUCGAAAAACAAUAGAAAGCAUACGCAUUUAAUAUUUGGCAAAAAUAAAGUGAGUAAUGAAAGAUUGAAUUAAGGCAAACUAUAUUUGAUAGCAUCUUUGAUUGGUAAAGCCACCAAUAUCAGAAAACCGGAAACACUAAGACUAAUACGAUGCAUUAAUCAGCGGAGUAGUUCAGCAUUAGUGAUGAAGAUGAAAGUGGUAGAUACAAACCUUUUUCAAAGCAUUAAACACACUCAACCAUAAGCUGAAACAUGAAAAAGAAAGAAAGAAACCUUGGCAUUGAAUUGGGCCAACUACCAACGCCUAACCAUAUACUAUUCGUACGUGUUUCUCAGUUCUUUUGAUAUCCCUUCACUCAACUUUUGGCUAUAAAAACCCUCCUACGCUCAAGCCCUAACCACGACAAUCAGCUAUAGUACUUCUACUCCAAGCAAGCAUUUUCCUUUUCUUGUGAUUAAUCGAUAUGGCUAGCUCAAUGUCCCUUAAGCUUGCAUGUGUGGUGGUGUUGUGCAUGGUGGUGGGUGCACCCCUGGCUCAAGGGGCCGUAACCUGUGGUCAAGUCACAAGCUCCCUCGCACCCUGCAUUAAUUACUUGAGAGGGACUGGUGCUGGUGCUAUUCCCCCAGGUUGCUGCAGCGGCAUCAAAUCUCUCAACUCCGCCGCCCAAACAACACCAGACCGGCAAGCAGCUUGCAAAUGCAUCAAAAGUGCGGCCGCCGGCAUUCCUGGCAUCAACUUUGGCCUUGCAAGCGGACUACCAGGCAAGUGCGGUGUCAACAUCCCUUACAAGAUCAGCCCUAGCACUGACUGCAGCAGGUUCGUAUGAGUUGUUUCAUUGCUUAUGCUUAUUAAUUGCUCAACAUUUAAUGGUGUGUCUUUUGUUGUUUCAUUUGCAGCGUCAAGUGAAAUUUUGGCAUGGAAUGUUCAUCAGCUAGUGGAAGCCAAAAUAAUGAUAGCUACAGAAUAAAAAUGGAUGUUUAAAAUCCAUCCGUAGGGAUAGCAGAGGAGUUAUCCUAAUUUUAGAGUUGUGCGUUGUGUACUAGGUCGGUUUUUGCGACUAUGUAAUACUAUCUUUAUCUACAAAUUAAUAUCACUCAUUAUUUUGUGUUUCUUCUAUAUGAUAUUUAUCUAUAUACCCUUCUCUCAAGCAUUUUAUAUCAACAUUCACGUGGUCUAAUAAUAAUGAAAAUCAUGAUUACUCAACCCUAAGUUUAAUUAAAUCAAUUUAUGCACCGGUUCUGUUCUUUAGUUGCAUGUACCGGAUGCAAUUCCCAUUGCAAUCUGUUUUGUAAUUGAAAGGUUAUACAACUUGCUAUAUAUAUCGACAUAUUUUUAAUUGAAAAAUUUUGGGCUCAUUCUUAAUUUACUUUAAAUCUUUAAAGUGGACUACUCCUUUGGAGACAUUUCUUUUUAAAUGAAAAUAUUAGAAAUACAAUUAAGAGAGAUUAUUCAUCUGAUCAUGUUGAAACACGGAUCAAAGUUCAAAGUUCAUGAUCAUUACGCACAAAACGUUUUAUGAAGAUUAACUGAUUAAACGAGAUUAUUAUUUGAUCCACUUGAACUUGCCUGACUCGUGGAACACAUGGAAAAGUCUAUCUACUUAAACCUUUGGAGGUUCAGUGAAACUCUCCAGUAAAAUUAGAGUUACCAGAGUAAUUAAUGUAAAGCCUAAGGGAUAAAAAUGUAUAGAGUUUAAAUCUCAUAGGACUCUCAUCUUAUAAAUAAGUACUAAUAUCAGUCGUCGAUAUAAUUUAAUCUGUAUCAUUGGAUCUAGGGGAGCUCAACUAUAAAUAGAGACCUCCUUCAUUUGUAAUCAUCUCAUUGUACUCAUGAACAAAGCCAAAAAUAUUUUUUUGGGAUAGAAUUAAAUUAUAUAUUUUUACAAUAGUAAAAAUACAAUUUCACUAAUUUAAUAGUUAUCUUUAUAAUUUUUAAAGAAUUAAAUCAAAUUUUUAUGAUGGGGAAAGUGAAAUUUUACCAUUAUUAAUUUUAAAUUUUAUAAAUUAUAAAGGGAUAUAAAUGAAAUUUUUUCUAUUUUAGAAGGGAGGUCCCUACCAGCCCUCUUAGUUUCACCACUAAUUGUACUUCAUUCCUUCUUGAGUUAAAGAAUUUAUUAAGAGUAUUUACUCAAACACCUUGUAUACAUCGUUUUCUUAUAUCUUUUCAAUUCUCUUAUUGCUCUUUCAUUUUAAGUUACUUCCACAAUAUUUUUUGCUAACAUAGAGAAUUUUUAGGAAAAUUAUCACUUUUCGAGGGUUAGGUUGACUUAGGCAAAUUUAACGAAAAGAAAUCACUUAAAACCACACGAUUUAUUUAAAUUCUAAUCCCAUAACAGUAAAGUUUUGAUAUUUGAGUAACUCAACAUUUAUGUUUCAUGAAAAUAAAAAUAAUGAGAUUCACUCCUUACAAUAAAAUUUCUAUGUUGCACCUAAUUUACCAUUCACAAUAUGAUACUCAUAAUUAAGAUUAAUACAAUACAUGGGUUUGUCAUAAUGUAAUCUGAAAUAAGAAAGUAACAUUUUUUAAAUAAAUAUAAUUAGAAUCUAUUUUAUUAGUUCUGAAUUUUCAAAGUUUAUAUUAGUUUAAAACGGUUUUAAUAAUUCUUAGUUACAUAUCGCUGAUUAAACUUUUAAAUUUAAAUUCAACCGAUUCAUCUAAUAUAAUUCUAACAACAUUAAUAUAUAAUUUUUGUAUUUUUAUAAACACAUAAUUCUAAAUAUAUAAAUUCUUAAGUUGGUGAAUUGUUUAUUUUACACUAAUUUUAUAAUAAACUAUAUGCUAAUGAGAUAAUUUAUUUUACUAAAUUAUCAUUAAUGCUCCCUGAUUAGGAAUGUGCAUACAAAUUUGAAUAUCGCUGAAGAGAUAGCGAUUGUUUGUAAUAGAGAUUUAUCGUAUAAGUCUCAUCAUAAUUUCAUUAUCUUAGAAUCUAAACACAUUUUAUACAAAAAUGUUAUUUUAAAAUUAAGUGAUGUUUUGGUUGAAAUAAUUAAGUCAAAAUUUUAAACUUAAGUUUCAAUUUUAUUAUAGUAUUUUUUUAUUUAAAAAUAUGAAAAGGCAAAAAAUACUCUCUUAUUAAUAUUUUUUUUUAUUUUAUAUUAAAACUAUUUAGUAAAUUCUCAAUAGAGUUAGUAGCCGGUUGACUCGUGACACCAACUCAACUAAGGCUUAAUAUAAGUAUAAAUAGAUGAGUAAAUUUAGAAUAAUUAUUGUUAAUGUAACUGUAAAAAUUUACCAUUACAGUGUAAUGGAUUUUAAAGGGUUGAUUCUAAAAUCUGACUCUAAAUUUUUCAUCGAGCUUUGCUCUAACAACACACUUAGACGAUGGGAUCUCUCCAACAUUCUCGGUGAAAUUAAUUUUUUUGCUACAAGUAACCAACGAGGAAAGGGUGGAGGAGAAGAGUCUCGAUUCACCUAUGAUAGGAUGAGUUAAGGAGGGAGAGAGCGAGAGAGCUACAGUUGUUGUCUAGGUUUUCAGGGGAGAAAGAGUCGAUGCUUGGUUCCUCAUGCACCAGAGCUUACAUAGGGGAUCACCCAUUGUCCUGUAGUGUCGCGUAACUGACAAUGUUGUGUCCUACAAGAUUGUGCGUGCCAGCCAAGUGACAAGGCCGUCAUAGGUCAAUUGUCAUUAUAUAGUGUAUUGUGUGAUCCUACUCUAACAUUCUUGUCUUUGGGGUUGUACGAGACUAUUACGCUUUAGUGGUCCUCACGGAACUGCGUAACGAGCUAUCUCUAGGUAGUUUAGAUAGGGUUCAUGGGAGGUCAUUUGUGAGCAAUCCUAAGCGAAGGAUCGCUACGAAAGGUUCUUAACGAAGAGUCAUACGCAAACUGCUUCCAAUGGAGAGUUGUUUGCAUAUUGCUUCAUGUCUUGCCACGUAUUGAGAUGGAAAUAUAACAAUAACAUUAAAUUUUUUUCACAUGGACUCAGAGAAGCUAAUACAAUCCCAGACGCACUAGUUAAAAUUGGCACCCAUAGGAGUCAUUUAUUUCAUGUAUUUUGGGAUAAAUUUUUGGUGUUGUUGUAUGUGUUUCUUUAUAGCAGUGGUAUGCUAGUACAGCACUUGAACAUGCCUUGCACGGAUACUUUUUAUGAAACUGUAAGUCGACUAAUAAAAACGAAGUUAUGAAUAAACUGUACAUCUAUCUACCCACCUUCUUCCCUACCAUUUAUCCCCCGCCUUACUUUGGAAAAGAUUUAGGAGGGUUUCAGAUUUUACAUUUUAAAUUUUAGAUUUAUAUUUCAAAAUCCAUAAUCAUUUUUUAAAUUUGUGGAUCUACUCUAUUUAGUUGGAAUUUUAAUAAAUCUAGAAAUUUAAUAUAUUUAUGCUAAUAUACGCAUUACAUUCAUUUAAUUUAAAUAUAAAAUGACAUUAAAAUAUACAUGAUCUGAAACAUAUUAUUAUUAGACUUUUAGUCCCACCAUUUGCAAAUGUUAUUUGUGAGUUUAAAUCUCAUCAUGUAUUGGUUCUCUUCAAAAAAUUUUGAUUUAAAUCUAAAUAUAUUUAUGUUAUCAGUUAGUUAUGCUUUGUACUAUAUAUAUUCUAUUUUUAAUUGAUCAAAUAUAUAUUAUUUUUUAUUGCACUAGUAAACUAUUUAAAGAAAAUGUUAUUAUUAUUAUUUCCUUGGCUUUUCUUUUAUUUAUUUGGAACAUUAAAAAAUGAAAGGCUUUUCUUUAACUCCAUAUUCGUAUAACUUUUUUUUUAAAUAUUAUAACUAAUUUUAUAAUGCACACAAAAAUAGACAAAGAAUUUAUAAUUUUUUUUUAAGAAGACAGAAUUUAUAUUUAAUAUAAAAUCAAUCCUCGUUGAAUAGGAUUGCUUAUUACGACACACCUGUAAGCUCAUUAAAAUCAAUUUGGGGUUAGUAGAGAUAUAAAUCAUAUCAUUAAUUAUUUUUUUAUAUUGAGUCGGUGUGAUUUAUGUAAUUUAUUAUUCUAAUUCAUUUUAGGGAAUUUUUUAUGUAUAAAUCUUGUGUUGAAAUCAUAUAAUUUAUCUUACAAUUAUGAAUUUAUCUUUUGACGCGUCGAAAAUUAUUUAUUUGAAGGUUUUAUUAAAAAAUAUUAUUUAUAUUAUUUAAUAUUAUCGUCAAUAACUUUUUAUCCAGUGACUAGAAUAUUAUGAUAUAAAUAUUAGAGUUUAGGUUUGAUGACAAAUAAUUUUAUUCUCCACCCUUAAUUAUCCAAUAUAUAUAUAUUUCAUAUUACUUAAUUUUUUUAAAGUCAAAUUUUAUUAAAGAAUGAAUAUGAAAAAAUUAAAAAUAUUUCUUUUCUAAAAUAAUUUGACAAGCAAUAAAGCAUAAAAAAAAUUCCAUAAACAAUAAUUUCGAAUAAUAAAUUAUAAACUUUUGAUAAAGAUGUACUCAAAUAUCUUAAUAACUAAUAAUAAAAUAUGUAUAUAUUUUUUAAUUUCAUGUUUAAUUUAAAAUUUUUAAAAUAUUUCUUCAUAUUACAAAUGUAAUUUGUCUCCCUUUUUUACAAUAGUUGGAUCACUCUUCAUAAUAUACACAAUAAUAUAUUAUAAAGCAAUUUAUAAACAAUAAUAUAUUAUUUAUAAAAUCUUUUAAAAAUUAAAAAUUAAUUCACACGAUGAAUCUGUGCAUCUAAACAUAUCAACUACUUAAUAAUAUAUUUUGCAUACAAUUUGAUAAUAGUCCAAUUUGAAAAAAUAUAUAUUUUUGUGCUUUCUCAUAAAAUUCUUAAAUAACCCAUAAAAAGAUAUUAUAUGUUUUAAGUGCAUCUGAAUUUUUUCAACUUUAGAGUUAUUACAAAAGCAACAAAACCAAUUAAAUUAAUAUUUGGUUGGUUAAAGUUUAGGCGUUAAUAACUUAUUUUAUAUAGAUAUAAAAACAUUCAUACAUUCGUAUAGUGUUCAUAAUAUUUUUAUGCCAUUUAAUGUAUGAAUUGAUUUUCCAUAUCUUCUUUGUAUUGUUAAUUUUAACACUAUAUUUUUUUACAAAAAUUUAAAUUUUUAUACAUAUAUAAUAUUAAUAUAAAAUUUAAUUUAAUUUUCAAAAAGCUUUGAGCCAACAUAUUCAAAUUAGUCAACAACCUAACAAAACAAGUGGUUGAGGUUGCUUGUUGGCGCUGAUAUAGAUCCGACUAAUGUCAUUCACUACGAAAAUAAUGGAAAAGGCCACCUGUGGGGCCAACUAGGUAGAUAUAUUAUGAAUUGAAUGACAUGUGGCUGGUUGUAAUACCUCAUUGCAUUCAUUGCUUCAUUCACCCCCUAUUGAAAGUGAUAGAUUUUUUCUUUUAGGGAGAUUUAACUUACAAAUUCAUACUCUCUUUUUUUUUUUAUCAUAAGAGGUGUUUAAACUGUUUUUUUUUAAGUUUGGUAUUUCGGUUUAAUCAAAUUAUUAAGUUAAAAAAAUUUUAACCCAUUAAUUAGUAUCUAAGCUACAUAUUUUUUUCAAAUUGAUACCUAAACAUUUUUUUAUCCUACGUGGUACUUAAAUUAUUCUUUCAUUUUCCAUUUAAUACCAAAAUAUUAUAUUCAUUAAAAAAAUCUAAUCAAUAAUAGAUUGACAUGUAAAAUUUUAAAAAAAUAAUUAAUUCUUCUCUUCUCUUCUCUUUUUUUUUCAAUUAUUUCCCUCAUUUUAACUUUUUAUUUUUUUUUUCUUUCUUCUUCCUUUAUAAUGUCUAACAAUGACAACAAAUGCAAUGCUCAAAAUUCGCCCUCGUGAGGUUAAGACUAUGGAAAUUAAUUUUCUUUUCGAACUAUAUCGCUUGUAUGUUAGACCUGACGAGAUCGUAAAAAUUCUUUCAUUGAUCAAAACCAAUUUUUUUUCAGAAUCAGGCUAACAGGUCAUACUUUUGUAGGGGUGAGCGUCUAAUCGAAUCAAAUAGAAAAAUUUCGAUUUAAUCAAGUUGACGAGUCCUAUUUUAUCAUCUUAAAAUGAUUUAAAAUUUUAUCGAAUCGAAUCGAAUAUAUUUGUCUCCAGUUAAUUGAAAAAAAUUCUUUGGAUCCUUGUAGCCACUGUCACUCAUCAUAAUCAAAUUUGUCCAUCGUAAUCAAAUUUGUUAUUAACUUUCAUCCCUUCAUAAUUUAUUUAUUAAUCUUUUAUAUACGGGUUAGCUUCUUUGCUUGCUUAGUUGCUUCAAUUAUCUUUUAAUUCUUGUCACUGUGUAUUUUGAAAUUAAAAAAUAUAUUAAAUGUAAAAAAAUAUUUUUUUAAUAAAAUUUAUUUUAAAGAUAAAAUGUGAAAUUGGUACCAAUAGAAAGUUUUAACACAAAUAUUGUAUGACAUCACCAAUGAUACAAUUUUAACAGAAAUUGAUAAAGAUUCAACAUGAUUAAACAACUUAAUAAUAUAAAUAAUACAAAAUGUGAAAUUUAAUUUAUAAUAUAAAUAAUAGCCAUAAAUAAAAUUAUUACUAUUUAGGUCUAAGGAUUUUUUUUGGAGGAUUUUGAUUUUUGAUUUGGGGAUAAAGGGUGAGAAGUAAAAGUUUUGGGGGAAAAGUAGAAGGGUUUGGGACGGGGUAGGGGUGGGGGUGGGGUUGAGGCUGGGGGAAGGGGAAUAAAAGUUUCGAGGGUAAAGUUUGGAGGUUUGGGGUUGUAACACCCCAAACCCGGCCUAGAUGUUAGGACCAAGCCUGGAAAGCUACAACAAAUCAUUCCAAAAAAUGUCACUUUUAACUAAUUAAAGUUUAAUUGUCAGAAAAUGUUUAAAUAGUUGAACUAAUGUAGAAAUAUAAAUUUGCAAUCUGUAAUUCAAGAUAAACAACUAUAGUAUAAGUUUAAUUAAAGCGGAAAAUUACUAAGUAAGAAUGACUGAGCUCCCGCCACGGCGACCGGCCUAAGUCGAUGAGUUACCAAAAAUUCAGUCAACAGACAAAAUGAGUCGGUAAACACAACAUGUAAAUUAUAUUUUUAUUAAGCAAAACAACAGAACAUAUCUUCAGUUUUUCAAAAUUCGAACAGUUUUCAAAAUCAUAUACGGAAGCAGAACAGAAUAUGUCAGUUACACACCAUCUCCAUCCAACCCUACACACCAAAAAGGUAUGGAAUGCCCAUUCAUCCCUACACACCACAUAGUGACCAUAUGUCAUGUUCAAAAGGUUACAAACUAAAUUCUAGGACAGAAUGUGAAAGUCGCCAAAAUUAGAUACAUUUACGUGGCUUAGCCACCAAUCUUAGUAGAUUAUUUAACUGCCACAACUUCCUCCUUAUUCAAUCCCAACCCCAAUGCAGAUGCAAAGUUACAGAUACAGAUAUAAGCAUAGAUGUUACAGAUUCAGAUUAUACUCAGUUAACACAGAAUACAACUAUUCGCUAGUUUACAAUUCUAUGAUGUAUAUAAAAUAAUAGUUUAUACAGAAACAAAUUACUAGUCAAUGGGUUUUAUAACCCAAAUCGGAUCAUACAAACCCUAAGGUAAGCCUACGUUCGACUGGAACGACGUUUAUAGCCCUAACGAAAAAUUUGAAAUUUUGACCCAUACACUUGUGUGGAUUCACAUGUCUUGGAAGGCUGGCCUAUGUGGCACACGAUCUAUAACAUGGCCUGGCACACGACCAUGUGGCUCAAAAAAAUGAGUUACACAGUCUAGCACAUAGUCAAGCACACGUUCAUGUGACUCAAUUCAUAAAAUUUCCUUCAUAUGGCCUGGACACACGAACGUGUCCUAGCGCGUGUGACUCUAAUCCACAAAUAGUAAGUUACACGACCUAGACACAUGCCCACAUCCUUGGCUUGGUGACCCUAAUACACAAACAGUAAGUUACACGGCUAUAUGAUUAACAACCAUGUGUUCCAGUGUUCGCAAAUCAUAAAAAAAUGCGUUUUCUUUAAACACUUGAUGUAGUUUCGAUGUAGAAGCAACACACAAGAAUUUGGAACCUAAAACGACAAUUAAUUGACCAAUUAAACGACUAAUCAACUCAAAAUUCCAAAAUUAGCACUCAAAACUAACGUACGUCGAAAACUUCGAUGCAACCAACCAAAGCAGAAAUUUUCGCUUAUUGACAAGCGAGCAACAAUAGUUCAGACCUAAUUUCGCAGGAAAACAUUACUUUUGAAACCUUUUCCUAAAAGAAGAUCCAUUAGAACUAUUAACGAGAUUUUACAAUGAUUGGCAGUAAUAUCGAACCUCGACGAAACAGAAAAAGUCUAGCAAAAAAUAGGCAGAAAAAAACAACAGAAAUUACGAAAUAUCCUUGCAAUCAACGUAAAAAACCACACAGAUUUCCCAAUUAAGCACGAUAGCAAACUUACGGAAGCAAUCAAGCAAGAAAGGUGUAAUAGCCCAUUUUUAGUAAAAUCAGAACAGUGGUUUCGGGACCACAAAUCUAGAGUCAAAAAUAUAAUUUUAUUAUUAUUUUAUGGUCUACAUCAUGAUAUUAUUACAGUAUAAAAAUUUUGUUAAGAAAUUUUACCGUUUACAUGUUCAAUUUGAUAAAAAGGACUAAAUCGCGUAAAGUGCAAAAGUAGAGUUUUAAUAGCUAAAGGUAUUAAAUAGCUAUAUAAAUUUAAAUUAGAGGUCCUUAUAUGGUAAUAACCCAUAAAUGUGUUAGUGGAAUGUCAUGGCUUGGUAAACUUGUAAAUUGAAAUAAUUUUAAAGGUCAAAUAAAUAAUUAAGUAAAUAAAGGCAAAAUUUAGUAAAAUAAAGCCAAGUAUAAUCUUUUAUCCUCUUUAUUCAACCGAUUAGCUUAGAAAAAGAAGCCAUUUUUUCUCUUUAUGGUUCGGCAAGCUUGUUUCCAUCAAUUAGGUAUGUGUUUUGUCCCCCCCUUUUUUUAUAAUUUCUAUGUUUCUAGGAUCGUUGUAACUUAAUCUAGCUAGCCUGGGAAUUAAUUUGUGAAAAUGUUAAAGUAUUUGAGUUUUACUAUUGAUGAACAUGUUAGGGUUUUGAAGUUUAAUAGUAUAAAAUAAAUGGUUGUUGUUAGAUAAACAACCUUUUUAAAGGAAUUUUUUAUGAAAUUAUCAAUUAGGGAUUAAAUUAAAAAAUAUGAUAAAUUUGUGGUACAAUUUUGAAUUUGUGAAAUAUAUGGGCAGCUAUAAAUAUGUUUAUAGUUCGGCUAGGCUUGGGUUUGGAUAAAAUCGAAUGAAUUUCAUUUUUCGAGCCUACGGACUAAAUUACAAAGUAUUAAAAGUUACCAUUUUGCCAAAAAUGUAUGCUGGACUAAAUUAAAAAUGAAUUAUAUUGAAUUGAGUUAAAUUAAUUCGUAUAGAUCCGGUUAGACCUCGUAUGGAGUUCUAUUAGGGCAAAGGAAAAAUAUCAGAUUAGUCGCCUUCGUAUCUACGUACACUUGUCGAGGUAAGUUCAUGUAAUUAAAUUGUGUAAUUAUAUGCUUUGAUUGAAUUAGAUGUAUGUUAUUUGCAUUAUCAUCAUAAAUGAAUAUCGAUCGCAUAUCUGAUGACGUACGACGAUUACCGAGCCCCAUUUGAACCUUAAGAAUUAGUAGGAUAUAAAUAACAUGUCAUUAGGGUUAUCGAUUUCAGUUCUUAUGAGCUUACCGAUACUCAGCUCGUAUGAGCUUACUGUUAUUCAGCUCGGAGGAGCUUACUGUUUACAGCUCGUAUAAGCAUACAUGUACAUGAGUUGAUGAAUUACAGUUUAAUACACCUCGUGUGUACUACUACAUAUCCAAUAAUAAUCUAAAUGGUUCAACGUGCACUGUUCUGUUAUGAUAUUACAUGAGUUCAAUACGAACUAAUACAGGUAUUUACAUAAGAUAUAUGAAAAUGAUUUGUACAUGAUAUGUAGAUACAUGAUGUGAAAAUUAUAUGUACAUGGAAAUUUGAUAAUUGUUGAGCUCAUACAUGUUUCUUGAUAUUUAUAUGAAUUACAUGACUAAAAUGGUUGAUCAAGAUAUGUGUUUAGGCUUCUAUCCAAAUUGAGUUUGGAUAUGUUUUGUAUGCUUACCUUAAAUGUGACUAAAUGGUAAGUUAAAUUCUAUGUUAUACGAACUUACUAAGCUUAAAUGCUUACUCUGUGUUAUUUUUCGUGUUUUUAGUGAUUCAGAAGCUCGUUCGGGUUGGAAGCUUGUCGGAGCUAUAUCACACUAUCCAUUGGCUCUUUUGGUACACUCAAUUGUUUAAUUUCAGUUAUAAUGGCAUGUAUAUGUUAAUUUGGCCAAUGUUGGCUUAUAUGUGUUUUGUUGAGAUUAGCCAUUUGUUUGGUUUGUGUUAUAGAAUUUUAGAUAUGUUCAUAUUUUGCUUAUUAUAGUUGACGUGUAGUUUGGUUCAUGAUUGAAUAAAGAGUGGUAAAAAGGUAGCCUAAUGUGCAUUUCAUAUAUGUGUUUUGGAAUGUGAAGAAUUGAUCAUGAAUUAGUGUCUGGAUAUGUAAGGCAUAUAAGUUAAAUAUGUUAGUAUGUGAAAUACAAUUUGGCAUCAAAUGAUGUGUUUUGGAAGGCAAGUAAUUUGGUAAGAAAUGAUGUAAAUCUGCUUAAUAAACUUUGGAUGCAAAUAUGCAUAUAAGUGAGUUAAACAUUUGGAUAUAAUGAAUACAUGAAAAUUCUUAUUAUAAGUUGUCAUUUGAGGUGCCUAAGGGCAUAUUGGUUGUAUGUAAUAAUAUUACAUGUUUUAAGCUUGAUUUUGGCUGGUUUUGGAUGCCUAUUUAUGACUUGGUUAUAUGCAAAAUGUUGUGUUUAGGUUGGUACCAAGUUGGGUGAGAAAUGUGGCUUGGAAAAUGACCUAUUUUCAUACACAUGGGUAGAGACACGGGCGUGUGUCUCAACCGUGUAGGUGAUAUGGCCGUGUGUCCCCUGUAUCUUUUAAAGAAUGCAAGUUAGUAUGCUCACACGGCCUGGCACAUAGGCGUGUGGCUUGGCCGCGUAACCCAAGUCAGUGAGUUACACGGGCAUGGACACAGGCUGGGACACGGUCUUAUGUCCCUAUUUCGAAUACCCACACAACCUAAGACACGGGCGUGUCUUUUGGCCGUGUGAGUCACACAGCCUGGCCACACGGCCAUGUGACCCCUGCAGUUUUGAAAUUUUUAUAAGUUUCUGAAAACUUCUCUGAAUUUUUUAUUUAGUCCCGAAUUAUUUCUAAGGUGUAUUUUGGGUCUCGAGGACUUGUAUUAGGGACAAUAUGCAUUAUUAUGAUUGGUUUCUGACAUGAAUACUAUAUGUUAUGAAAUGUUUGAAUUUUCUGUCCAUUUAAAUUGUAAACUUCGGUAAUACUCCUAACCCUAUUCCAGCGACGGAUUCGAGUUAGGGAUGUUACAAAAGGAGAAAAAGAAAAAAUAAGGAAAAGAAUUGUAAGGAAGGAGAAGAACAAAAAAUAAAAAUAAAAAAACUAAAAAUAAGUUUUAAACAAAAACAAUUAUUAAAAUAAAAUUGAUUUCCCGAUAGCACACCAAAAUAUUUCCUUAUUUCUUAUGCAGAGACUCAAACAUGAGACCUUAGGUAAUAUAAAACUUAAUCAUUAAACCAGAUGACUCAUUCUUGACACAAAUUAAUGUAGACACAAACUUAAGUCAAACAUUCAAGAAUAAGAGUUGAAACAAAAGAAUAAUAAAAUUCUCUAAAAGUACGACUUGAACCCUCGAUCCAAAAACCAACACAUAUAACUUAACCACUGAAGCAGAUACUUGCUUAUAAAUAGACACUAAUAGUAACAAUUCAAAAUUUGGGGCGUUACAGGGGCAGACAAAGAGGAAAGAGUAAAUUUUUGGGGGAAAAGUAAAAAUGUUUGGGGUUUGGGUUUUGAGGUAAAAUGUAAAAUAUUAUAGUUUGGUAUUCGGCUUAAUCGAAUUAUUCGGGUUAUUUGAAUUCAAAAACUCAACUUGACUCGAACUUGAAAUUAAAAAAAAUCUAGUUGAUUUGAUUAAUUCGAUUAGAAUAAUUCAAAAUUCGAGCUUUUUUCAAUUUUUUCGAGUCUAUUCAAAUUUUGCUCACCCUUAAUACUGGGAACCAAUUAGGAUACUAGUUUGGAGAUAGGGCUUGAACCAAUUAACCUGCAAACUGAUACAGAUUUAUUGAGCCGAGCUAAAAAAAAACUAGUUGAACUAGUUUUCUCUAUUUUUUAUUUUUAUCUUUAUGAAUUUUUAAUAAUUGAUUUCAUCAAACUGGAUAAAUUGAUUAAACCAGUAACUAAUGAUCUAGCUAGUUUGAAUAUGGUAAUUUUUAAUUGGUUAUCAUUUUUUAAAUAGACUUAACGAUUUGAGUAAAAUUUAAACUAACAAAUGUAUCAAUUUGAGAAAAAAUAAAUUAAGUACCACAUGUGACAAAAAUGUUUAAGUAUCAAAAUAAAAAAAAUAUAAUUUAAAUACAAAUUUGUAGAUUAAGGUUUCUUUUAACAAACUUAACGGAUUAAGGAAAUUAUCAAUUUGAGAAAAAAAAUAAUUUCGAUAACAGUCGCUGGUGACAAAAAAGGAAUUAACUACCAAAAUGAGAGAAAAGGGAAAAGAUUGAUAUAAUGUGAAUUGAAUGACAUGUGGCUGGUUGUAAUACCCAACAAGCUUUAACAGGUGUCACUGAUUAAAAUUAUAUCAUAUGUAUUCUAUCAAAAAUAUAUUAUGUAAAAUUACAAUUUUUAAAUUUAAUAAAAAAAUAUAUUAAAAAUUUUAACUCCGGCCAAAACGUGAAAUAAAUCGUUUUUUAACAGUGUUUUGGAAAAAAAAAUUAGGGUUAAGUACCGAAAUGAUCACUAGAGUAUUACUUGUGUUUUAUUUUGAUUACUAAAUUUUUAAUUAUUUUUAUUUUAGUCACUAAACUAUAUGAAAUCAAAUAUUUUUGUCACUAAAUGUUAAUGACCGUUUGAAAAUUUUUCGAAAGUGUUGAAAUGUGUUAUUUUUUAUUUGUCUAAUAAAAAAUUUAAUCUUCUUUACACAUUCUAUCAAUUUGAUUCUAAAUAUAAAAAAUCAAUAAAUUUAACACCAAAUGUUUACAAAAUUUGUCACUUUAGUUCAAAUUCUAAAAAACAAAAUUAAUAAAUUUAGCUCUUAACAUUUACAAAAUGAAAAUUUUUAAUUUUUAAAAAUUUUGUAAAUUAAAAAGAAAAACAAGUGUAAUAAUUGUAAAAAUUAUUAACAAUUAAAAAAAUCCAUAAAGCCGUUAGCUACCUCAUAGUCAGUGCCAUUUAAAAACAUGCUUAGCCAUAAUAGUACAAGAAUUAAUGAAAAAGUAGAGUAAAAUUCAAAACAAUCAAUCUUAUCGAUAUACUUUUUCAAGGCUUUUAAUGUAAACUAAAAAUUCUUGUCCCAUCUUGUUCUUCUUCUUUUUUCUACAUUGGUUUAAAUUAUUAUUUGCUAUUAAGACAUUGUCAAUUUCAGUAUUUGUCUCAUUGCUUGAUCUUCACAAGAAAUUCUAGAAACAUAGUAUUGUGUUUUUGAGAAACCGUGAACCUUGUUUUGUUAAUCUAGGUUUACACCAAAUUUCAUUAUUGUACUCUACUUGUGAUUUAUUUGUGAUUCUUUUUUCAAUUUCUUGUAUUUGAAAAUAGAGUAUUAGUGAUUUUUUAGUACUGCUGCUAGUUAUGUAUGAAGUUGCUCAAAUUUAUGUGUUUAGCCAAAGGGUAGGGGAAUCAAUGCAUCCGCUACACUUACUUUCAAUGUUUCGCCUUGUCUUGGGGUUAAACUAAAGUUGAAGUCUCAUUUUAAAGUUGAGAGAUUAGAUCGUGGUGAUGAUAAUUAUUUCUUUUUUUUUUUUAAGUUUAUUUAGGUUUGUGUGUUGAGUUUUUUAAAAAAAAAUUUACAAACUUUUAAAAAUCAAAUCUUGUCAUUUUGUAAAUGUUGAUAGUUAAAUUUAUUGAAUUCUUUUAGAAUUUGAAUUAAAAUGAAAAAUUUUGUAAACAUUGAGGGCUAAUUUUGUUGAAUUUUUUUAUAUUGAAGACCAAAUUGAUAGAAUAUAUAAAUAUUAAAAAACUAAAUUUAUUAUUAGACCAAUAAAAAAAAACCAAUUCCACACUUCUUUUAAAUUUCAAACUGCUCUUAACAUUGAGUGAAGAAAAUAUUUAGUUUUAUAUUAUUACCAAAAUAAAUAAAAAUAAAAAUUCAAUCAACCAAAUAAUCUAUAAAUAGAUUUAGAAUGUUGCAUGAUAUAUAUAUUAAAAAAAAGAAAAAAAAACGAUGCAUGUGCCCUAAUGUUGUGAAGUUUUUUUUUUCAUUGAAAAUAACAAAAUAACUAUUUGUUUAUAUUUUAUAUUAGUUCUAUGGCAUACCGCGUGGAAAAGGAAAAUUCAUGUAAAUAAUAUAUUUAUAAAAAUUUAUAUUAAAACUAAAUGAGAUUUUAGUUGAAAUAGUUAAGUUAAAAAGUGUAAAAUUUAUGAGCUAUAAGUUUAAAUCCUAUUGUAGUGUUAUUUAUAAAAAAAAUGAGAAAAGAUAAAAAUACCUUUAUAUUAAUAUUUGUUAUAUUAUAAAAUAAGGAUAUUUUUAACAAAUUUUCAAUUGAAUAGAUGUUUGGGUGAAUCCUAAUACCAAUUAAAGUAUAUAUACACAAACAAUUAUAAAUCAAAUUACUUUUAAUAAAAUGCUAUCAUUCAAUUCAAUGACAAUAAAUGCAUUUAUAAAUACAUCAAAUGUAAAUCUCAUGUUUAUAAGAAAACACGUAGAAAAAAAGUUAAACCAAUAUUUGAGUCCUAGCUGUGGAGGCAUGAUUGAGUGAAAUCAAAUGGACGCUGGUUUUAAUUCUAUUGAAAGAAACCAAUAAUCACGUAGGUUGGCAGUUGAACAUAAUUGAAUGGUCUCAACUUUUAAUGUGGUGUUAAUGUUUGGAUCGGAUAAUCUCAACUUACCUAAUAGCUAGGAAAGUAAAAUUCAAACAUCACCCGCUACUACUUUUGGCUAUAAAAACCCUCCUACCCUCAAGCCCUAACCACGACAAUCACCAAUAGUACUACUACUCCAAGCAAGUAUUUUCCUUACACGUUUGUUUUUCUUGUGAUUAAUCGAUAUGGCUAGCUCAAUGUCCCUUAAACUUGCAUGUGUGGUGGUGUUGUGCAUGGUAGUGGGUGCACCCCUGGCUCAAGGGGCCGUAACCUGUGGUCAAGUCACAAACUCCCUCGCACCCUGCAUUAAUUACUUGAGAGGGAGUGGUGCUGGUGCCGUUCCCCCAGGUUGCUGCAGCGGCAUCAAAUCUCUCAACUCCGCCGCCCAAACAACACCAGACCGGCAAGCAGCUUGCAGAUGCAUCAAAAGUGCGGCCGCCGGCAUUACUGGCAUCAACUUUGGCCUUGCAAGCGGACUCCCAGGCAAGUGCGGUGUCAACAUCCCUUACAAGAUCAGCCCUAGCACUGACUGCAACAGGUUCGUAUGAGUUGUUUCAUUGCUUAUGCUUAUUAAUUGCUCAACAUUUAAUGUGGUGUUUCAUUUGCAGCGUCAAGUGAAGUUUUGGCAUGGAAAGUUCACCAGCUAGUGGAAGCCAAAAUAACGAUAGCUACAGAAUAAAUAUGGAUGUUAAAAUUCCAGAGUUAUGCGUUGUGUACUAUGCCGCUUUAUGCGACUACGUAAUAUAAUCUUUAUCUACAAAUUAGUAUCACUCAUGUCUCCAUUCCCCUUCUUUCAAGCAUUUUAUAUCAACAUUCACGUGAUCCAUAUUUCAUUCCUUAAAAAAAAAAAUUAAGAAAACAAAAAUUAUGAGAUUCACUCCAUAUAAAAAAAAUUCAAUGUGGCACAUAGGAAGUUUAUCGUUUCAUAAUACGAUACCCAUAAUUAAAAAGUUCAUUUAUAUUUGUAACUAGGGUUGAAAUCAUAAAAUUAUUUUUGUGUAAGUUUGAAUUUAUAUUUUACUAAAAAAUAAUCUUUAUUAAUUGUAAAACUUUAUAAAAGAAAAUAUGAGUUUACCUAACCGUAUAUCCCUAUAUGUUGCAUUGUGGGGUUAAAGUCUUUGCAUGAUAAAUCCAUUAUCUUCAUAUAUCUUGUAUUGUGGGGUUAAAGUCUUCGCACGAUAAAUCCAUUAUCUUAAAAUCUUAGAAGAAAAUGAGUGAAUGUUGGAAGUUUAUUCUUAAUGUAAUUCUAGAAACUAAUUUAAUUAUUAUUAUUAUUAUUAUUACAAAUUUGUGCCUUUGUAAAAUAAAUAUAUACUUCUAUUUUUAUUUUUACAAAAUACAAAUAUUAAAUUUUAAACCUUAUAAACUUUUAACCAUAAAUUUUUAAUCGUUAAACCUAAACCCCACCUCUAAUAUAAAAUCCUUUGUCCACAAACUGUUCCAAUCAUUUGGGAAAGAGAAAAUCAAACUGUAAGCCUACUAAUAAUAUAUCGUUAUGAUUAUUUAACAUUUGUUACUUGAUUUUGAUAUUUUUCUUAUAAUUUCAUACUUAAUUUUUUUUAUCCAAUUUCACACUUAAACCUUUUAAAUAUUAUACAAAUUACCUCAAAAUACUAAUGAUAUUAAUUUUUUUAUGAGGGAAAAGAAACAGCUAACGUAUGGUUGUCAUGUGACAAAUGAUAUGGAAUUUAAUGACAGGGAUGAUUACAUUUAUUUGAAGUUUUCUCUAUUUUUUUAAACAAUAUGUUCACAAUUUACAUUUCAUCAAGCCUGAGAUUACUUUGACAGUUAAUGGCAAGAGUGUUACAAGAGGAACCAUAUGCUUAAAGCAUGACCUAGUUUUCAUAAAGCCCUCAAGUCCCAUAAAAAUAGGAAAAUUAUGUUAAAAAAUUGUACCUACGCUUAAUAGAAUAUUGAAAAAUAAAAAAAUAAUUUUAAAACCCAAAAAUAAAAAGAAAUUCAUUAUUAAAUUAAAAAGGUAAAAUAAAAAAAUUAAUUAAACUAAAAGUAAUUCAACAAUUAAAAUACAAAAAAUCAAUCUCAUGUCAUCCGUCAUAUGUUAAUCAUACAUUGAUUAUAUUUGCACCUCAUAAAUAUAAAAUUAUUAUAUUGGAGUAAUUUGUAAAACCUUUAACAAGUUAGAUACCAAAUUGAAAAAAAGAAGAAGCUUAAGUGCUAAAUUAAAAAAUAUAUAUUAAGUUCGAGAAUUAAAUUGAAAAAAAAAGCAAGGGUACCAAAUAAGCUAAGACCCACACUCAACCCGACUCCUAUUAAAUAUCUCUUCGUCUCACUUCGGCAAGAGACAAAGGAUAUAUAGUUUACACUACUAAAAUUCAACUGUAUAUGUAAUAGGCCAAUUUUGGCCUGGCCUAGUUAAUAAAUAAAACCCAAACAAAUAAAUAAUAAAAGUCUAAAAUUUACAGUCCAUUUUUACAAACAUCAGGGCCCAAUUUACAACAUGCAUAGCCCAAAUAAAAAAAAACUACCCAAACCCAAUUACAAAGCCCAAAACAAAUCAACCCUAGCCCACUCAAAACAUUUCAGCAAAAAAAGUAAACCCUAGUCACAUGCCUUCAGCCGCCGCUUCUCCCACACGUUACCCUCGACCACUGCACGCACGUCUGUCACCGCCCUUCCGCACGUCUGACAUCUCUGACGACCUGCAACACGCAAGCGAAAGAAGCCAAGCAGAAGAACCAAGAAGAAACGACAAAAAAAAAGAGGAAGCAAACAGUUUAUGACACGACUAUAAAAGCCGAAAUAAGUCCUUUGUAAUUUUUUUAAGCAUACUAGAAAUAAAAAAGUAGAACAGAAGUUUCGAAAAGGUGUUAUUUUGAUCCUAUUCUUUUUGUCUCGAUUCAUUUUUCUAGUUUCCUUUUAUUUAUUCUUAACACGAAUCUAUUUUUAAAAUAAAAAAAACAAGGCAAAGAUUUCCAAAGGUGACCCUUUUUUUUAAAAUCUAAAAUUUUUCUACCUUUUUUGUUUUUUUAUUCUCAUUAUUUCUCACGAAAAAUAAAGAGAACAGAAAUGAAGGAUUUACUUGGGCUGUUUCGCACUCUGGUCGCCGAAAACUCCCUCUCCGGCGUCGAAAUCGUCUUAGGAAGAAGGUGACAAGGGCCUUUCUUUCGAUUUUCUGGUUAGGAAGGCUUUGCCUUCGGUUUCAUUUUCUUGAAAAAGGUUAAAAAGGCCGAAUUUAAGGGUAGCUCCGACCACCGUCCACGGCGGGGAGCGGAGGUCCGAUGACGUACGAUGAUGGGUUUUAUAAACCCUAGCAGAGAAAAUAAAUGGGAGGGGGGCUGCUUUCUAUUUUUUUUAAAAGAAAAAGAAGCAUGUAAUAGCCCAAUUUAGACCCUAAUCAGAAUGGUGGUUUCAGGACCACGAAUUCGAGUCAGAAAAAUAUUUAAAUAUUAUUUUUCGUGUUUAUUAUAUGUGAAUUUGCAUGUGUGAAAUUUUCGUGUAAAAAUUUGAUUGUUUGUGUGCUUAAUUUAAUAAAAGGACUUAAUCGCGUAAAUUAAAAACUUGAUAGUGAAAAGCAUAAGGGCCAAAUUGUUAAUGGCUUUGUAAGUUGAAGCAUUUAAGUGGCAAUUUGACCAUAUUUAGUUAGAUGGACGGUUGUGACCAUGCAUUAAAAUGGUUUUAUAUUUUUAUAUCUUAAGGUUAAUUUGGUAAAUUAUGAAUUAAUAAUGUUAUAAUAAAACAUAAAAAUAAAACCACCAUGCAUUUGUUCAUCUUUUUGACUGAAAGUUGUGAAAGAAAGAAAAGAAAAUAAGCUUGGUGAUAUUCAGCCAUUUCUCAAGCUUGAUUCAAGGUUAGUUUGGUUUCGGUUUUUGAUAAUUUUUACGUUUUUGAAAUUGUUACUUCGAAUACUAUCUGACCCAUGCUAGAAUUUUUGAUUUUGAUGAAUGUAUUGAGCUGUGCCAUUGAUGAAUAUUUGUGUUUUGUGAUGUUUGAUGAUGAAAUAUUAAAGAUAUGUUUUAGAUUAAUAUGUUUUGUAUUGGAAUUUUUGAUGAUUUUGAGUAAUUAGAACUAAAUUGUAAAAAUAAUAAAUUAAGGGACUAAAAUGUGAAAUAAACAAAAUUUGAGGACUUGUUUGGGUGUGGGGAGUAUUCGGCCUAAGUAUAACAUGAGAAAAUUAUGCUUGUUUUGUGUUUUAUGCAAAUAGGACUAAUUUGUAAAAGUAUGAAAUAUCAGGGGUAAAAUGGUAAUUUGCCCAUUUAUGUGUUGUUGGAUUAAAUUGAAUGAAAUUGUGUUUGAAUGAGAUAAAUUUGAAAUUUUAUAGAUCAAGAAUAAAAGAAAUCGGACUUGGAUCGAGGAAAAACAAAAAUAGUCGAAUAGUCGAUUUACAUCGUUCGUCGAUAUCCAAGGUAAGUCUUUAAGCAAUUAAACAUCAUUAAUUUUGAAUGUAAUUUAGUUUAAUAUACUGAUUCGGAAUUUAUGGAUUUGUAAUAGAGUUAGACGAAUGUGAAAAAGUAUAUAAAUAAUGUAUUUGAGUUUAACUCGAUUGAGUUAUAACAUUUGAAAGUCCGUAUGAACUAUAUGGAAUAUCUGAAAUGUUUGAUAUAUGAAAUGUUUAUGAGACAACUUUAUAAUAAUGAUAUUCGAGCUUUGAGCCUAGCAAGCCUUGUGUUGGUGAAUUUAAUCGGGCUUGACGCCCAGUAGGCUUAUUACCGUUGUAUAAAAUCAGACUUUGAGUCUAGCAGGCCUUGUGCAGAUGUGAUACAGGCUUAGGUCUAGCAGGUUUUAUACCGGUGAAAUAUUAUAAGUCUAUGCCUAAAAGAUUUUAUGUUGAUGUGAUAAAUGAAUAUGUUGAACGAGCUAAAACGAUCAGGUACGUGAUAGCUAGACUACCUAUUUGAAAACAAGAUGAAUUUAUUCCUUGAUAUGUGAUGAAAAAGAAUUCAUGAAUUUAAUGUAGUACAUGUGCUAAUGUGAGAAAUAUAUUUGAUCUUAUAAUUGUACAUGAAGGUAUUGUUAAACUUUGAGUGAUGAGUAUAUGUCUUAAAAUAUAUAUGUAUAUUCGAUUAUAUAAAUCAAUGUGGUUUCGAAUUUCUCAUAUGUAUAUUCGAUUAUAUAAAUCAAUGUGGUUUCGAAUUUGAGAACAUAUUGGUGCUAUAUACUUGUUUAUUCGGCCAAAAAGAAGUUGCCUUAUGAAAGUAUAUGUUUUAUAUGUGUGGAAUUAAAAGUUUGAAAAUAAAAGUGAUUAAAAAUGCAUAAGUUGAUUUAUUUAAUUGAAAUGAUUAGUAAUUAAAUGUUAUUAUGCUUUAAUUGUUUAAUUUGCUUAAGGAAUACUAAGCUAAGUUAGCUUACUUUGUGUAUAUAUAUAUUUGUCUUUGUUUUAUAGUUUUUGGAGAUCGUUACAUGCUCGGAGAUUGUCAGUAAAGUCAAUCGCACUAUUGUUUAUUCUCGGUACCUUUGAAAGUUUUAAAUUCAAACUUAUGGCAUGUAUAGGCUGAAUGAUGUUUUGUUAUGAUGAACUUUGGCUUUGUAUAAAGCCAUGCGAAAGUGGCUUAUUUAAAUGCUUGAAUUUGGUUUUGGUAUAAUGAUGGUUUGAGUCCAUUUUGGUUAUUAUGCAAUGUGUCAAGGAUGAAUGAUACUUGUGAUAUCUAUUUGAGUGUUGAAGAUGCUUGGUAAAUUUGGAUGUGUGCAUUGGAUUGAUUCGGUUAUGGUAUGGAAGAUUCAUGUUUUGUAUAUAUAUAAAUAUAUCUAUUUGAAGUUAAUGGUUUACUCUUGAGAGAUAUAAAAUGUAAUAUGAGUUGGUUUGAAAAUUAUACAAUGAUGUAUCGUGAAUUUAGAUAUAAGAUAAAGGUAUAUGAGGUGGUUAUGUCUAACUUGUGAUUCGACAAUUGCUUUUAUAAAUAUUCAUGCUUGAUGAAUUGACUUAAUAUGUAUUUCAACUAAAAGUAUACUAUGUAGUAGGUAGGUAAUAUGUAGGAUUAUUUGCGUCUUAGGCAAAGUUUAGAUGACCAAAUUGACGAUAAAUAGGUUAGUUGUAAAUCCGCAUUUUUGGUAUGUGACAUGAGUGCAUUUCAAAUCUUUACUUGCAAUAUAAAAUGGUUAACAAUAAAUAAGUAAUUGAGUUAAAUUUUAGUUUGUGAAUUAAGCUUGAUAAGUUUCGUUAUUAAUGUUCUAUUAUAGUUCAUGUUUAAUAUGGUUAAAAAAUAUAUAAGGUUUAUUUGUUUAAUGAAACAAUUUGAUUAUUUGUGAAGAUAUGAAUGUCGUGUAUGCUGAUGAUUAAAUUGUCAUGUGUUAGAUUUUUAUUUGAUUUAAUAUGUACAUGUUUCGAAAUAUGUUUUAAAAUAUUCGAUGUUUAACAGAUAUCCGAAUUUGACUUGUAUUUGUAUAUUGUAAUGAUAGAAUUUCGAUUAAUAUUUAUUUGGACAUUCGUAUAUACAUAUGAAUAUGACUUGUGUGAGUAUUCAGAGUUGUGUUUUUUUCCAGUAAUGCCUUCGAACCCUAAUUCAGCGACGGAUACGGGUUUGGGGUGUUACAUUUUAUUAGUAUCAGAGCUAUAGUUUAGUCGAUUCUAGGACUAAUGUAGCAUGUGUGAGUUUAGCUAUACAUGCCAUAGUGUUUACUGCGAUAAUGUGAUGACUUCUGACAUUGAAAAUGUGUUUUCGUAUUGUAAAUAAAUCCCGACAGAGCUGUAGUUGAUGAUGUCGAGAGUGUAGCACAUGCUCCUGCGCAUGAGACAGCACCAGUUGAAUCUCGGCUGAUCUCGAGUAGCCGUGAAGGGGAGGCUAAACAAGCCUUCUAUCAACUAACGAAUGAUUGGUUUACUCAAUAUAUUUGAACUAACCCGGCUACACAACAACCUCCAUCCCCGAAUAAUUCAUCUUCGAUACCUGUGGUUCCUCCUAUGAUUGAUUCGAUGAGAUUUAAUAAGCCUUCCGUUGAUAAAAUUAGAAAACACGGGGCUGAAGAAUUCAGAGCUACUGAUGAUGAUGAUGCUAAGCUAGCUAAAUUCUGGCUUGAUAAUACUAUCCGUGUGCUUGAUGAGUUAUCUUGUACCCCGGAUGAGUGCUUAAAAUGUGCUAUAUCCUUGCUACGAGACACCGCAUACCACUAGUGGAAUAUACUAGUAUCGGUGGUUCCGAAGGAGCGAGUGACUUGGGACUUCUUUUAGACUGAGUUUCGUAAGAAAUAUCUCAGUUAGAGAUUCAUUGACCAGAAGCACAAGGAAUUUCUCUAAUUAAAAUAGGGUCGCAUGACUGUGAUAGAAUAUGAGCGAAAAUUUGUGAGACUCAGUUGAUAUGCUCGUGAGUGUGUUUCAACUGAAGCUAUCAUGUGUAAAAGAUUUGAAAACGGUUUGAACGAAGACAUUAAAUUUCUGGUUGAUAGACUUGAAAUUAAAGAGUUCGUGGUACUUGUUGAGCGAGCUUGCAAAGCUGAAGAGCUCGGGAAAGAAAAAAGAAAAGCUGAUUUUGAAGCUAGAGAUUUUCGCAAAAGAUCAUUGGGUAAGACUUUUCAAUUAGCAUCGAAGAAGUUCUGAGAUGAUUCUAGUCAAUCUAAAGAUACUGCGAGCUUUUCUAGACGAGAUUGAGACUGACCCCCUGUGAGUUUGCGAGCCACUUCGAUAGUUAGUGUUGGCAAUGUUCGACAGAAUAGAGUCGAGUGCAAGCAUUGUGGUAAAUGGUAUUCUGGAGAUUGCAGAUUGCAUGACCGGUCUUGUUUUAAAUGUGGAUCGAUGGAUUAUUUUAUCCGAGAUUGCCCAAUGUUAGCGAGCAAAACACUGUUCAGAAUGCAAGACCGAGUAAUAUGUCAGUGCGAGGCAGACCACCUAGGCAUUCGGGUAAUGUAGGUGGCAGUCAGAUAGGGAUGAAAGAUACAGCAGUUCGAUCUGAGGCUCGUGCACCUACCAGAGCAUAUGCUAUACGUGCUCGUGAGGAGGCUUCUUCCCCAAAUGUUAUUACCGGUACUUUUACUCUUUAUGAUACUAGUGUUAUUACAUUGAUUGAUCCUGGUUCGACUCAUUCUUAUGUGUGUGAAACAUUAGUAUCCAGUAAGACUUUGCCUGUUGAGUCUACUGAGUUUGUGAUUCGAGUAUCGAACCCCCUAGGCCGGUGUGUUCUGGUUGAUAAAGUAUGUAAGAAUUGUCCAUUGAUGAUUUGAGAUUCAUGCUUUCCAGCCGAUUUGAUGUUAUUUCCUUUCGAUGAGUUCGAUAUAAUUUUGCGUCUGGACUGGCUGACUUUGCACGAUGCUGUUGUUAAUUACAAAAGAAAGACCAUUGAUUUGAGAUGUCAGAACAACGAGAUUACUCAGAUUGAAUCUAAUGAUCUGAAUGGUUUACUAGCAGUAAUAUCUUCGAUGUUAGCUCGGAAGUACGUGAGAAAAGGUUGUACAGCUUACUUUACUUAUGUGCUUGAUAGUAAAGUGAUUGAAAAAAAGAUUGAAUCUGUACUAGUUGUGUGCGAGUAUCCGGAUGUGUUUCCUAAAAAAUUACCAGGUUUGCCACCUGUCUGAGAGGUAGAUUUUAGUAUUGAGUUAGUACCGAGGACGUCUCCAAUUCCAAUAGCUCCGUAUCGGAUGGCACCUACUAAAUUAAAAAGAAUUGAAAGCUCAGUUACAAUAGUUAACAAAUAGAGGUUUUGGACGACCGAGUUUUUCUCCUUGGGGUGCACCAGUUUUAUUUGUGAAAAAGAAAGACGAAACUAUGAGAAUGUGCAUUGAUUAUAGACAGCUCAAUAAGGUGACUAUAAAGAAUAAGUAUCCGUUACCACGGAUUGAUGACUUGUUUAAUCAACUAAAAGGGGCUAAACUGUUUUCAAAGAUAGAUUUGAGGUCCGGCUACUAUCAGUUGCGAGUUUAAGACUCUGAUGUGCCGAAAACUGCCUUCCGAACGAGGUACGGACGUUAUGAAUUUCUGGUUAUGCCUUUUGGACUUACUAAUGCACCUACUAUUUUUAUGGAUUUGAUGAAUCAAAUUUUUAGACAUUAAUUGGAUCGGUUUGUGGUUGUGUUCAUUGAUGAUAUAUUGAUCUACUCCUGUGGUGAAACUGAACAUGCCGAACAUUUGAGACUUGUGUUACAGAAUUUGCAAGAAAAACAGUUGUAUGCGAAGUUCAGUAAAUGUGAGUUCUAGUUACAUGAAGUUAUUUUUUUGGGACAUGUUGUUUCAGCAUCAGGUAUUCGGGUUGAUCCAAGUAAAAUUUCAGCAAUACUUGACUGGAAACCUCCGAGAAACGUUUCUGAAGUCUGAAGUUUUUUGGGACUUACGGGUUACUAUAGGCGAUUUGUGAAAGAUUUCUCUAUGAUUGCAACCUCGAUGACGAAGCUAUUACAGAAAUAUGUUAAAUUUGAGUGGUCUGAAAAGUGCCAGAAAAGUUUUGAUCAGUUGAAAUUCCUUUUGACCGAAACUCCAGUGCUAGUUCAGCCAGAAUCGGGUAAAGAAUUUGUUAUCUAUAGUGAUGCAUCUUUAGAUGGUUUGGGUUGUGUACUGAUGCAAGAAGGCAAAGUUAUAGCUUAUGCCUUGAGACAGUUAAAGCUACAUGAAAAGAACUAUCUGACACACGACCUAGAGUUGGCAGCUAUUGUAUUUGCGUUGAAAAUUUGGCGUCACUAUCUGUUUGGUGAAAAAUGUCAUGUUUAUUCUGAUCACAAAAGCUUGAAGUACUUGAUGACUCAGAAAGAUCUGAAUUUGAGACAACACCGAUGGUUAGAAUUGCUAAAAGACUAUGAACUGGUGAUUGACUAUCACCCAGGAAAUUGACUAUCACCCGGGAAAGGCUAAUGUUGUUGCUAAUGCUCUAAAUCAAAAAUCCCUGUUUUCUUUGCGUGCAAUGAAUGCACAUAUGGUCAUGUCAAAUGAUGGUACGAUAAUAGCCGAGUUAAAAGUAAGACUGUUAUUUAUUCAGCAGAUUUACGAAGCUUAGAAGGUCGAUAAUGAUUUGAUAGUAAAGCGGGCUCAAUGUGAUUUGAACGUUGAUUCAGAAUUUCUAGUGGAUUCUGAGGGAUGUUUGCAAUUCAGAAACCGAAUAUGUGUUCUGAGAAAUACAGAGUUGAUUCAGAUGAUUUUGAAUGAAGCUCAUAACAGUCGGUUAUCUGUUCACUCGGGUAGUACGAAGAUGUGUAAUGAUCUGAAACAGCACUAUUAGUGGCAAGGUAUGAAACGAGACAUUUUUGACUUUGUAUCGAAAUGUUUAAUCUGUCAGAAAGUAAAAGCCGAGCGUCAGGUACCUUCUGGAUUGCUACAGCUGAUCAUGAUACCUGAAUGGAAAUGAGAUAGAGUCACGAUGGAUUUUGUAUCCGGUUUACCGAUGACAUUGAGCAAGAAAGAUGCAAUCUGGUUUAUUGUGGAUAGAUUGACUAAAUCAUCUCACUUUGUUUCAGUUUGUACAGAUUAUUCACUCGAUAAACUUGCUGAGUUAUAUGUUUCUCAGAUUGUGAGACUACACAGAGUACCUAUUUCUAUUGUGUCUGAUAGAGAUCUGAGGUUUACAUCGCGGUUUUGGAAGAGACUGCAAGAUGCAUUAGGUACUAAACUACAUUUUAGCACUACUUUUCAUCCCCAGAUAGAUGGUCAGUCUGAGCGAAUCAUUCAGAUACUUGAGGAUAUGUUGAGAUGUUGCAUUCUCGAGUUUGAAGGUACGUGGGAACAAUACCUACCUCUGAUUGAAUUUACGUACAAUAAUAGCUUUCAAUCGAGUAUCAAAAUGGCACCUUUCGAGGCUUUGUACAGUCAUAAAUGUCGUACACCAUUGUAUUGGACUGAGCUCAGUGAAAAUAAGAUAUCCAGGGUUGAUUUGGUCAGAGAAACUGAACAGAAAGUGAAAGUGAUUCAUGAAAGUUUAAAAGCAGCAUCAGAUCAUCAGAAAUCAUAUGCGGACUUGAAACGUAAAGAUAUAGAGUUUCAAAUCGGGGAUAGAGUAUUUUUGAAAGUCUCACCAUGGAAGAAAAUACUCAGAUUCAGUCAUAAAGGCAAGUUCAAUUAGAGAUUCAAUGGACCGUAUGAGAUUAUAGAGCGGAUUGGGCCGGUUGCGUAUAGACUAUUGUUGCCACCUGAGCUAGAAAUGAUCCACAAUGUAUUCCAUGUUUCAAUGCUUCGUAGAUAUCGAUCUGAUCCUUCACAUGUGAUUAGUCCAUCUGAGAUUGAGAUCAAGCCCGAUUUAAAGUAUGAAGAAGAACCGAUUCGUAUUCUAGCUCGUGAAAUUAAAGAGUUGCGAAAUAAUAAAAUUUCGUUAGUUAAAGUACUGUGGCAUAAACAUGGAGUUGAGGAAGCAACGUGGGAACCAGAAGAUGUAAAGAGAGAACGCUAUCCAAACCUAUUCACCGUUAAGAUUUUCGGGGACGAAAAUCCGUAAGAGGGGAGAGUUGUAACAACCCAAUUUAGACCCUAAUCAGAAUGGUGGUUUCAGGACCACGAAUUCGAGUCAGAAAAAUAUAUAAAUAUUAUUUUUCAUGUUUAUUAUAUGUGAAUUUGCAUGUGUGAAAGUUUCGUAUGAAAAUUUGAUUGUUUGUGUGCUUAAUUUAAUAAAAGGACUUAAUCGCGUAAAUUAAAAACUUGAUAGUGAAAAGCAUAAGGGCCAAAUUGUUAAUGGCUUUGUAAGUUGAAGCAUUUAAGUGGCAAUUUGACCAUAUUUAGUUAGAUGGACGGUUGUGACCAUGCAUUAAAAUGGUUUUAUAUUUUUUAUCUUAAGGUUAAUUUGGUAAAUUAUGAAUUAAUAAUGUUAUAAUAAAACAUAAAAAUAAAACCACCAUGCAUUUGUUCAUCUUUUUGACUGAAAGUUGUGAAAGAAAGAAAAGAAAAUAAGCUAGGUGAUAUUCAGCCAUUUCUCAAGCUUGAUUCAAGGUUAGUUUGGUUUCGGUUUUUGAUAAUUUUUACGUUUUUGAAAUUGUUACUUCGAAUACUAUCUGACCCAUGCUAGAAUUUUUGAUUUUGAUGAAUGUAUUGAGCUGUGCCAUUGAUGAAUAUUUGUGUUUUGUGAUGUUUGAUGAUGAAAUAUUAAAGAUAUGUUUUAGAUUAACAUGCUUUGUAUUGGAGUUUUUGAUGAUUUUGAGUAAUUAGGACUAAAUUGUAAAAAUAAUAAAUUAAGGGACUAAAAUGUGAAAUAAAUGAAAUGUGAGGACUUGUUUGGGUGUGGGGAGUAUUCAGCUUAAGUAUAGCAUGAGCAAAUUAUGCUUGUUUUGUGUUUUAUGCAAAUAGGACUAAUUUGUAAAAGUAUGAAAUAUUAGGGGUAAAAUGGUAAUUUUUCCAUUUAUGUGUUGUUGGAUUAAAUUGAAUGAAAUUGUUUUGAAAUUUUAUAGAUCAAGAACAAAAGAAAUCGGACUUGGAUCGAGGAAAAACAAAAAUAGUCGAAUAGUCGAUUUACAUCGUUCGUCGAUAUCCGAGGUAAGUCUUUAAGCAAUUAAACAUCGUUAAUUUUGAAUGUAAUUUAGUUUAAUAUGCUGAUUUGGAAUUUAUGGAUUUGUAAUAGAGUUAGCCGAAUGUGAUAAAGUAUUUAAAUAAUGUAUUUGAGUUUAACUCGAUUGAGUUAUAACAUUUGAAAGUCCGUAUGAACUAUAUGGAAUAUCUGAAAUGUUUGAUAUAUGAAUUGUUUAUGAGACAACUUUAUAAUAAUGAUAUUCGGGCUUUGAGCCUAGCAAUCCUUGUGCUGGUGAAUUUAAUCGGGCUUGAUGCCUAGCAGGCUUAUUACCGGUGUAUAAAAUCAGACUUUGAGUCUAGCAGGCCUUGUGCCAGUUGUGAUACAGGCUUAGGCCUAGUAGGUUUUAUGUCGAUGAAAUAUUUUAAGUCUAUACCUAAAAGAUUUUAUGUUGAUGUGAUAAAUGAAUAUGUUGAACGAGCUAAAACGAUCAGGUACGUGAUAGUUGGACUACCUAUUUGAAAACAGGAUGAAUUGAUUUCUUGAUAUGUGAUGAAAAAGAAUUCAUGAAUUUAAUGUAGUACAUGUGCUAACGUGAGAAAUAUAUUUGAUCUUAUAAUUGUACAUGAAGGUAUUGUUAAACUUUGAGUGAUGAGUAUAUGUCUUAAAAUAUAUAUGUAAAUUCGAUUAUAUAAAUCAAUGUGGUUUCGAAAUUUGAGAACAUAUUGGUGCUAUAUACUUGUUUAUUCGGCCAAAAAGAAGUUUCCUUAUGAAAGUAUAUGUUUUAUAUGUGUGGAAUUAAAAGUUUGAAAAUAAAGGUGAUUAAAAAUGCAUAAGUUGAUUUAUUUAAUUGAAAUGAUUAGUAAUUAAAUGUUAUUAUGCUUGAAUUGUUUAAUUUGCUUAAGGAAUACUAAGCUAAGUUAGCUUACUUUGUGUAUAUAUAUAUAUUUGUCUUUGUUUUAUAGAUUUUGGAGAUCGUUACAUGCUUGGGGAUCGUCAGUAAAGUCAAUCGUACUAUCGUUUAUUCUCGAUCCCUUUGAAAGUUUUAAAUUCAAACUUAUGGCAUGUAUAGGCUGAAUGAUGUUUUGUUAUGAUGAACUUUGGCUUUGUAUAAAGCCAUGCGAAAAUGGCUUAUUUAAAUUCUUGAAUUUGGUUUUGGUAUAAUGAUGGUUUGAGUCAAUUUUAGUUAUUAUGCAAUGUGUCAAGGAUGAAUGAUACUUGUGAUAUCUAUUUGAGUGUUGAAGAUGCUUGGUAAAUUUGGAUGUGUGCAUUGGAUUGAUUCGGUUAUGGUAUGGAAGAUUCAUGUUUUGUAUAUAUAUAAAUAUAUCUAUUUGAAGUUAAUGGUUUACUCUUGAGAGAUAUAAAAUGUAAUAUGAGUUGGUUUGAAAAUUAUACAAUGAUGUAUCGUGAAUUCAGAUAUAAGAUAAAGGUAUAUGAGGUGGUUAUGUCUAACUUGUGAUUCGGCAAUUGCUUUUAUAAAUAUUCAUGCUUGAUGAAUUGACUUAAUAUGUAUUUCAACUAAAAGUAUACUAUGUAAUAGGUAGGUAAUAUGUAAGAUUAUUUUCGUUUUAGGCAAAGUUUAGAUGACCAAAUUGACGAUAAAUAGGUUAGUUGUAUAUCCGCAUUUUUGGUAAGUGACAUGAGUGCAUUUCAAAUCUUUACUUGCAAUAUAAAAUGGUUAACAAUAAAUAAAUGAUUGAGUUAAAUUUUAGUUUGUGAAUUAAGCUUGAUAAGUUUCGUUAUUAAUGUUCUAUUAUAGUUCAUGUUUAAUAUGGUUAAAAUAUAUAUAAGGUUUAUUUGUUUAAUGAAACAAAUUUGAUUAUUUGUGAAGAUAUGAAUGCCGUGUAUGCUGAUGAUUAAAUUGUCAUGUGUUAGAUUUUUAUUUGAUUUAAUAUGUACAUGUUUUGAAAUAUGUCUUAAAAUAUUUGAUGUUUAACAGAUAUCUGAAUUUGACUUGCAUUUGUAUAUUGUAAUGAUAGAAUUUCGAUUAAUAUUUGUUUGAAAAUUUGUAUAUACAUAUGAAUAUGACUUGUGUGAGUACUUAGAGUUGUGUUUUUGUCCAGUAAUGCCUCUUGACCCUAAUUCGUCGACGGAUACGGGCUAGGGGUCUUACAAAGUAAAUGGCAAAAAAUAAAAAAAUAAAAAACUGGUUUAAAUAGCAAGGCAAAACAGUGCUGUUUUGCACCUAAAGCCCUAACACCAAAACGGCGUCGUAUAUGCCUUGACCCGCGCGAUCCGACCUGCUCCAAGGGGGUUUUGCGCGUUUUUGAGUUAAGGACUACUUGCGCUCGUAGUCCCUUCGAUUUUGGGUUUGUUAUGUUUGGCCCUUUUAUUAUUUUUAUUUUUUUUAUAGAUUUAAUUGCUUAAUUUUAUUUGGUUUUCGAUUGAGUCCUUGGCUCUCUAAUGCUUUGAAAACGGACAUGCAUCCUUAGAGUUAGGGAAUAAUUACAUAUUUAACCCCUGUUCUUUCGCGCGUGUCUUAUCUUAGGCCUUGCUUCCUUUUUUUUGUUUUUUUUAGAUGUGGCCCUUAAUUUUAAUCUUUUUUUUAGUUCGACCCUUAACCCUAUAACAUUAAACUUUUUUUUUAUAUUUUACUUAUUAUAUUUUUUUCAUUUAUUUAUUUUAAACAGUUUUAUAUGUUAUUUAUUUUAGAUUUUUAUAUAUUAAUUCUUUAAACUGUCUUAUGUAUUAUGUAUUUAAAAUUGCUUUACAAAAUUUUUUUAUUUUAAACUUACUUAUUUUAUUUAUUUUUUAAUGCUUUCAUAUAUCGUUUAUUAACCUUUUAUACAUUAUUUACUUUAGAUAUUUUUAUAUAAAUUAUUUAUUUUAAACUAUUAUAUAUUUUAAAUUUUCAUUUAAACUAUUAUAUAUUUUAAAUUUUCAUGUAUAAUAUUCAAUUCAAACUAUUUUAUAGGUUAUUCAUUUAAAAUUUUUGUAUUACUUAUUUUAAGUUGUUUUAUUAUUAUAUAUUUUAAAUUUUUCUUUUUUUAUACAUUAUUUAUUCGAAACUGUUUAUAUAUUAAUUACUUUAAGUCGUUUCAUUUAUUAUACAUUUUAAACCUUUUUUUAUAUAUUAUUUAUUUAAAACUGUCUUAUUAUUUAUUUUAAAUUAUUUUAUAUUAUUUAUUUCAUUUUUCUUUGAUUAUUAAUGUUGGUUUUCUAAAUAAUGUAUGUUAUCUGAUUAUUACCAUUGUGUGAAUACUGUCAUCAUAUGCUUUAGGAAUUAUUUAUUAAUAUUUUCAUGUUGUUGACAUUCAUUGACAUAGCAUUUAAUUCAUGUAUUAUUAUUUCAUGCUCUAUAUUCCCUUUUAUUUCAUUUUGUUUAAAUCAUAUCGCGUAUUAACCUCAAAUGUAUUUAUCCAAAUAUGGACCAUUUUAUUCCAAACAAAAUAAACGCCCAUUGCUAAGUGUUGCUCUUGUUAUUAUUCAAAAAGGAAAAUCUUCAAAAUAAGAUAAUAUUUCGCGUUUCGGGAAUUCAAGAAAUUGUACCCUAACUUACGGGGUUUCGAUUUUCUUGGUAAACCUAAAAAGCUAAAUAUCCUUUUUAGAUUUCAAAAUACGCAAAGUUCUCAAUAAAAAUUAAAUGCAAACUUAUUCCCGAGGAUUAAAACGUCGCAUCUUAACUUACGGGAUGUGACAUUUUGUUAUAUCGGGAUGAGAGGGCCUUUGAUGCUCAUUUUAACUUAAUUCAAGCAUUUUUCAAAACAAACAUUAAUAAAAAUGGAUUGUAUUUUAAUUCUUUUCAAGUUUGCAACAUUUGACAUUAGGACAUUAAUCAAUCAAUUAGGUACCAAAUUUGGGCAUUACGAGGGUGCUAAUCAUUCUUUGUACGUAACCGACUCCCGAACCCGUUAUCUCAAAUUUCUUAGACCAAAAAAUAUUAUUUUAAUAAAUCAAAACUGUUUAUUAAAAACAACCAUUUUACGAGGUGACUUGAUCACACCUCAUCAAAAAAAGAUUGGUGGCGACUCUAUUUUCGUUUUUUUUAAAAAGUUGACUCUUUUUCGAAAAAUGAUUUCAACCGCUUGGCGACUCCACUGGGGACUUUUGAGAGUCAAGCCAUAAAUUGAUUAAUUAUUGUCUUUUGUCAAAAAAUUGAAAAUCCGUUUUAAACUUACAAUCCUUUCAUUGCAUUUCAUUUUUGGGGUUUUCGUCGUUUUGUAUGAUUGGCUUUUGGUUCGAGUCUUAGUAUAAUUUUGCGCAUCAUAUUGCAUAAUUGGUCAAUUUUACCCUUUUAAGUAGGAGUGAGAAACUAUUCCUUCGUGAGGUCUUCACCUCCGUAUAGGAUAGUAGAUUGCUUUUGGGAUACAUCCGUACUUGCACCUUCGUGAGAUUUUUAUCUCCGUAUAGCCGUAGGGAAAUGUAUUCCCCUGAACUGAACUCGGUCCGUAUGAGCCUAUAAUGGGUGAGGAUCGAGGAAUCUUCUGAUUCAGGUACCUUUACUUUUGAACUAAACCACAUGUAAUGAGCCCUAAGAGCCUAUCCUAGGUAGAACCACGCUAAACCCUAGCGGUUACCCGAAUAGGUGCUUGAUUAUUUCCUAUUUGCUUUGAAUUUUAUUUUUUGUAUAUAAUACUGACUUGUUGUGUUUUUCUGUUAUUGCAUGGCAUUACAUUAUAAAAAGGUGUUGAUUCAAAAAGCUUAGCAUUGAAAAGGGGUUUCUUGAUAGAGUGGAGGAUAAUGCGGUCGUCCGAAUAUGGUCCGAGAGGAUGCAGCAAGAGAAAUGUGAUAGUUUGACCGAGGGAUAUGAAUCAGAGUUGUCAAAUUUCACCCGCAUUAGUGUGACUUAGAAUAACCUACAAGAAUUAAAGAAGAUAUGACACCAAUGGAGUGACGAGAUUAAGCAGCUAUUUUACUAUAACUACGGCGACUUGCCCUAUCUACUCGAUAUAAAGGUGGACAAGCAUUUAUUCCAAGCCCUUGCCCAGUUUUGGAAUCCCGCCUACAGUUGCUUCACUUUUGGGAGAGUUGAUUUGGUACCAACCGUGGAGGAGUACAUGGCCUUACUUCGUUGCCUGAGGAUUAAAGCUGACAAAGCUUAUUCCAGAGCUGCUAACGUCCCUACCUUUGUAAAGAAUUGAUGAAUAUCAUGAGGAUGAGUGAGCAGUGGGUUGCAGCUUGGAUUAAGCAAAAAUGAGACAGUAAAUGUAUUCCUUGGAAGAACUUGAGAGAUCUAAUUCUAGCACAUCCGGAUAUGAAGAAGAGGGUUGACGUUUUCGCUUUGAGCAUCUAAGGUUUGGUCAUCUUUCCCAAGGCAUUAGGAAAUGUAGAUGAAGCAGUCUCAGACCUAUUCGAUCGACUUGAUAAAAAGGUCACACCCAUCCCUGCGAUCUUAGACGAAACUUUCAAAUCAUUGAAUGCUUGCCGGAGAGCAGGUGAGGGGAGGUUCAUAGGAUGUGCGCAGCUUUUGCUAUCAUGGUUUCAUAUCCACUUUUGGAGGGUAGAAAAAGUCUCAUAUCGAGUUUUUUUCGAAACUACUCUCCAUUGAAGGAACUAGUGGCUACGCUAAGGCGAGAUGACUUUUCCAAAGAGAAAUGGAUAGCGAUUCUCUAGAAUGUACAAGUUGAAGACGGCGAAUGGAGGGCGCCAUGGAUGAUCCCUGAUGAGAUCUUGUAUCGGUGUGGUGAAUUUGACUGGGUCCCUCUACUUGGGAUAUGGGGAGCUACUGGAUACGGUCUACUACUUGUGCUAAGAUAGUAUCGAUCAAGGCAGUUCAUACCUAUGACACAAGGGUUGGCUCAGUGCAAGUUUUCAUAUAAGAGCGAUAAUUAUAAGAAGAGAGUUCGUGAGAUAUCGAAUGCGUGGAACCAAACCCGUAGACUGAAGGACUCAGGCGAGACCAAUGACGACCCCCGAGUAUGAUUGGUGGUGGGGUAAAAGAAUCAACGACAAUAUCCCAAUGCCAAGUCAAAAAAAUGCUCGACCAAUAGAGGAGCACUUACGAGUAGUCCCGUUUGAAUUAGAAAUCAUCAAGCAAGAUUUUGAGAAAAGGAGUCAAAAAUUGGGCAAGAAAAUAAAGCAGUUAGAGGAGGAAAAGAUGUGGCUAGGACUAGACAUCGACAUCCAUAAGCUAGAGGCUGAGAAACUAAGGAAAGGAAAGAACAAGGCCAAAGAAGAUUUGGACAGUUGGAAAACGUAUUACAAGAAGUUACGUUUGUCAAAAAGAACUGCUGGUUUGGGCAAGACAUUAGAGCAAUGGCAAUAAGAAAUUAAAAAAGAAAAAACUAGAGCCGAUAGUGGGAGAAGAAGUUUCAAGAUGCUCAAACACGGGAUGGUGCUCUAAAAAGGAGUUUGCUAGAUAGCCAAAGUGAAAAGGAGAAGUUAAGAGCUCGGGCGGCAAAGUUAGAAAAGUAAUUACAUCAACAUCGUAGUCGCAACUCCAUCAUCGAAUUAAGGGCCAGCCUAAACAAGAUUGAGGAGUUGAAAGGAAGGAUAGAAGAGCUCGAGAAUGCACUGCGAAAUGGUAAACUUCGAGUUGAACUUCUUGAAGCAAGUAAUGAACAUUGUAAAGAACAACUCCACCGCUCUUAAGAUCAAAUCAGAGAUAGGGAUUAUGUCAUGGGUGAAGCUGUGGCUCAAGUACGAGAAGUGCUGACCAUCUACAAAACCUGGCGGUUCAGGCUAAUGUACUAAGUGUAAAGUAUGAGUUAGAAUCAGGUCAGGGCCGAGAGUUAGCUUGGCUUCUUAGGAAGGUUAAGGCUUUGGGCAUUAGGGCAAAGUCGUAUAUGUAAUCUAUCUUAUGUAAAGAAAUUUGUUUUCUAGCAAAGUUGUUCUAAUAAAAUUGAAUCAGAAUCAACGUCUCUUUUUGUUUUCAUUUCUUUAAUUUGCAUUACAUUUCAUCAUAUGCAUUAAGUUUCAUAAAAAGACCCUAAUUAAACAAAAUUAUUUCAGUUAAUCUGGAAACCAAAAAGUGUCAACCAGCCGAAUAUCGUUACAAUACCCGUCGCAAAACCAAAGCAAAGUAUCAGAGAUUAGAAAGAUUGGAACAAAUGCAAAGAGAUAUACAAUAGCAAUUGCAAACACAGAUGCAAGAGCAAUUGGCUAGAAUCGAACAAGACAUGAGGGAACAAAUGCAAGAAUCCCAGAAUAAUAUGAUAAGUCAAUUGGCACAGUUGCUGGUUAGAGAACGCGAAAAAGGGAAGGGUAUUGCAGUUAACUCGGGGAACGAUAAUGAAAACCUUGCCUAUCCCUCGGGUUUUGCUCCAGUCAAUUGCCAACCACAACCAGAGGCGUACCCACGGGGGGUACCACUCAUUAUCAAGCCCCAGUAAUAUCAGGCUGGUGCCUCGACACCGAUGAACUUUCCAACAGGCUCGGGCUCCAAUCCAAGGGAUAAUCCAACUAAUCCAGUUGUUUCUAACCUUGAUGAUGUAGCAGAAAUAGAAAAAGUAAGAGUAGAUCUACCAAAACAACUCGAGGACUGUUGCAAAUGGCUUGAAGAGAAAUUCAAAGCAAUGGAGACUGUUGACUACCAUUGCGGGGUUGAUGCCAAAGAUUUGAGCUUGGUCCUAGAUUUGAUCCUCCCACCAAAAUUUAAAACUCUAGAGUUUGAAAAAUACAACGAGACUAGCUGCCCCGAAGCCCACAUCACAUUAUUCUGUCAAAGGAUGACAGGAUACAUUAAUAAUGAUCAGUUAUUAAUUCACUACUUCCAGGAUAGUCUGGUUGGGUCUGCGGCCAAAUGGUACAACCAGCUAAGCCGUACCCAAAUUAAUUCAUGGAAAGACUUGGCACAAGCUUUCAUGAAGCAAUACGGCCACGUAACAGACAUAGCACCUAACCAAAUCACGUUACAAAAUAUGGAAAAGAAACCAAAUGAGAGCUUCAGGUAGUAUGCCUAAAGAUAGAGAGAGAUAGCGAUGCAAAUCCAACCACCUUUCUUAGAGAAGGAAACGACCAUGCUUUUUAUCAAUACUUUGAAGGCUCCAUUCAUUAACCAUAUGCUAGGAAGCGCUGCUAAUAGCUUUUCAAAUAUAGUGAUGUCUAGAGAGAUGAUAAAAAAUGCGCUAAGAUGUGGGAAGAUAGACGUGGGUUAGAGUACCAAGAGAUCAGCCCCGAAAAAGAAGGAAAACGAGAUAAAUAAUGCGAGCACAUACAACAAGGGUUAUUCAAAACCCAUUACUGUAAGCCAGCUAAGGACGGUGACUACUAGCCAUCAAGGCCCUCCAAGGCAAGAAUCCAACCCGAGGCCAAAUAUAGAGAGGCUCCAGUUUACGCAUAUUUCGAUGUCAUAUAGGGAGUUGUAUCAGAUUCUAUUCGAUGCUCAUGUAGUGUUCCCUUUCUACUUGAAGCCUAUGCAACCUCUGUUCCCAAAAUGGUAUGAUGCAAAUGCCCAAUGUGAGUACCAUGCAGGGAUAAUCGGGCACUCGAUCAAGAACUGGACUAUGUUUAAAAAUUUGAUAGAAAGAUUUAUCAAAAUGGGUAUCGUAAAGUUUGACACCUAUCAGGACCCAACGUAGCAAGAAAUCCAUUGCCCGAUCAUGUUAAUAAAGGGAUAAAUGUGAUAGUCGAGAGCGGGGGCAAAAGAAUCAAGGCCAAUGUGGCAGAAGUAAAAACCCCACUGAGUUGGGUUCGGAAAUAAAUGGUCGAUAGAGGUUUGAUCAUACAACAUUCAGGGGAAAGACCUAGAGAGGCGAGAAAAUAUGUGAGUUUCAUGCCGAUGAGGGUCAUGACAUCCAAGAGUGCAAUGAGUUCAGGUCUAUAGUCCAAAAUCUAAUGGACAAUAAAGAGAUGGAAUUUUAUGAGAAAACCAAAGGAUUAGAAGAAUGAGAGGUUUACACCUCAGAGGAGGGAUCAGCAGAAAGGGUCCAAAAAGUUAAUCACCCAGUGGUGAUCAUUUUGCGACCAAGGAACAAUUAAGCAGGAAUACAAAUGGCACCAAGAGUCAUAAUCCAAAAACCUGUAUCCUUUCCCUACAAGGAUAGCAAAAGGGUUCCUUGGAACUAUGACUACAACGUGACAAUCCCGGGAGAGGUGAACCCAACUAAAGCUUCAGAGGAAAGCCAAGAUAUAGGUUUUUAUACACGUAGUGGGAGGCUUUAUGAUCCUGUGGGUACAAGAAUCAGAACUGUAGGAAAGACCCCAAUAGUAGAGCAAAAGAAGGAGAAGACGAUCAGGCUCGAAUCGCCAGUUAACGAGCCAAUAACUGAGAAUGAAGCUAGGGAAUUCCUGAAAUUUUUAAAGCAUAGCGAGUAUAGCAUUGUAGAAUAGCUGCAUAAGCAACCGGCUCACAUCUCAGUGCUAGCUUUACUCUUAAGUUUGGAGACACAUCGUAGCACGCUAAUGAAAGUGUUAAAUGAAACUUAUGUCGCUGACGAUAUCUCUGUAAACAAACUGGACCGUCUAGUCAACAAUAUAAGUGGUAACAACUUCAUCUUCUUCAAUGAUGAUAAGAUACCUCCUGGGGGUAUGGGAUCUACAAAGGCUCUACAUAUCACCACCUGUUGUAAAGGAUAUACAUUUCUGGGUGUGUUAAUUGAUAAUGGAUCGGCAUUGAAUGUCUUGCCCUUAUCCAUGCUGAAUAGGUUGCUUGUGGAUAGCUCUCACAGGAAGACAUGCCAAAACAUAGUAAGGGAAUUUGAUGGCACCGAAAGGAGAGUAAUGGGAAGAAUUGAGAUACCCCUUCUGAUUGGCUCGAACAUGUACAAGGUGGACUUCUUGGUAAUAGACAUUAAGCCCUCUUACAAUUGCUUGUUGAGGAGGCAUUGGAUUCACUCAGCGGGAGCAGUACCGUCGUCAUUACACCAAAAGUUAAAGUUGGUAACUGAGGGUAGACUGGUAACGAUAAACGCGGAGGAAGAUAUUAUUGCAUCCGUUACCAGCGACGCACCAUACAUAGGGACGGACGACGAGGCGUUAGAAUGUUCAUUUUGAUUGUUAGAAUUUGUCAAUGCAACAUUCAUUAUCGAAGGGAAUAGGAUCCCAAUGCCCAAAAUAUCCAAUACUACAAGAAUAGGCCUGGGAUUGAUGAUUGGAAAGGGAGCCUUACCGGGAAGAGAACUCGGAAGAUAUCUCCAAGGAAGGGUCGAGGCAUCGAUGUUGAAAGGUAAACGAGACUGCUUUGGCUUAGGAUUUAAGCCAGAUGCAAGGCAAAAGAAAAAAGGAGCAAGAGAAGAAACAAGAAAGGAGAAGAGCACAUUUAAGCGGGGGAGAGGUCAAAUGGGAGCCAAUGACCUUUCCUCAUAGAUCUAGAAUGUUUGUGUCAGGAGGAACAAUCUACCCCGAAUAGAAGAUGACAAGAAAAGGUGUGUGCUGAAGAAAUGUUAGAAAAUUUGAGCAUUAAUGCCAUAUCCGAGGAAGGAACAGGAGAAGGAAAUAUAUCAGGCAUUUGCCCAUACGUGCCGAUGAGCGUUUUGAACAAUUGGACCAAGGAGCAGAUCCCUAUAACUUUUAAAAUUAAUUCAGAGUAAUGUCCAAAACAAGCUUAUUGCUCUUAGCCUAGGGCAAUAAGAGUCCUUUUGUGAAAUAGGCUCUUGUCCAGUAUCGUUAUUUUAACAAAAAUGCAUUUUUGCGUAUCAUCUUGAGCAUAUAUCCUUUUAUUCUUUCUAUUUCAUUCAUAAUCAUACCACACAAAUAAAUAUUCUUAGAAUUUUUUGUUCUUUGGAUUUUUUUCAUCCUUAUAACAGGUUUCCAGAUAUUAAUGGUAUGAGAAACGUAGCUACUAACUCAGAGUCUCCUUUUGAGCAAGAUAUGUGUAUGAAAGAUUCUCAGGAUUUUGAAGAUGACCAAAACUGUAACCUAUCUCCUGAUUUGUUAAGGAUGGUAGAGCAAGAUGAGAAACAAAUCCUGCCUCACAAGGAGUCAGUGGGAAUUGUGAGCUUAGGAGAGGAAAAAGAGGUGAAGAUUGGAGCUUGUAUCGUUGCAGAGACAAAAUGAGACCUUAUUGAGUUACUUCGAGAAUUCAAGGAUGUCUUUGCAUGGUCAUAUCAGGACAUGCCCGGGUUGAAUACUGACAUCGUGGUACACCGACUCCCUAUAAAAGAAGAGUGCAAGCCAGUUCAAUAGAAACUCCGAAGGAUGAGACUCAAUAUUCUGUUGAAGAUAAAAGAAAAGGUCAAAAAGUAAUUCGAUGCCAGUUUCUUACAAGUGGUUAAAUACUCAAAAUGGGUAGCCAAUAUAGUCCUUGUUCCUAAGAAAGAUGAGAAAGUGUGAAUGUUCAUGAACUACAGGGAUUUGAACAAGGCCAGCCCAAAAGACAAUUUCCCGUUGCCUCACAACGAUACUUUAGUGGAUAACACAAUAGGUUACUUGCUUUUCUCCUUCAUGGACGGCUUCUCGGGAUACAACCAGAUAAAAAUGCAUCCUGAACACAUGGAAAAGACCACAUUCGUAACCAUGUGAGGAACUUUUUGUUAUAAGGUGAUGCCAUUUGGACUAAAAAACGCAGGAGCGACAUACCAGAAAGCCAUGGUAACUCUAUUCCAUGAUAUGAUGCACAAGGAGAUCGAAGUUUACGUCGACGAUAUGAUUACAAAAUCUAAAAUAGAAAAAAAAGCAUGUGCAAAUCCUGAGGAAACUAUUCUUAAGGUUAAGAAAGUUCCAGCUAAAGCUCAAUCCCGCAAAAUGUACGUUCGAGGCUAGGUUAGGAAAGCUGUUAGGAUUCGUAGUCAGUGAAAAGGGGAUAGAGAUUGACCCAGACAAAGUCAAGGCUAUACAAGAAUUGCCUCCACCUCGCACUAAAAAAGAAGUUCGAGGUUUCCUAGCAAGACUAAAUUACAUCACCCGGUUCAUUUCACAACUAACAAAGAAAUGCGACCCCAUAUUCCGUCUCCUUAGGAAACACAACCCAGGUGUAUGGGAUGAGGAGUGCCAGAAAACUUUUGAUAAUGUCAAACAUUACUUGUCCAAUGCCCUAGUACUAAUGCCACUUUGCUCAGAUAAGCCGUUGAUACUAUACUUGGCAGUAUUUGAAAAUUCCAUGAGAUGCGUGCUAGGCCAACAUGAUGAGUCGGGAAGAAAAGAAAAAGUGAUAUACUAUCUCAGUAAGAAGUUCACUGAAUGUAAGACAAGGUAUUCGCCAAUUGAGAAGUUGUGUUGCGCCUUGAUUUGGACACUUAGAGACUAAGACAGUACAUGUUGUACCACACAACUUGGCUCAUCUCAAAACUAGUCCCUCUGAAGUACAUGAUGGAGUCGACUGCUUUGAAUGGAAGAAUGGCUCGAUGGAAAAUUUUACUUUCUGAAUUUGACAUAGUCUACGUGAACCAGAAAGCUGUAAAAGGGAGUGCAAUAGUGGAUUUUCUAGCCAGUAGAGCUCUAGAAGAUUACGAGCCUUUGAAUUUUAAUUUCCCAAAUGAAGAUCUGAUGUAUAUUGCAACCACUGAAGAUGUUGCUCAAGAGGAACAUCCUUAGAAACUAAACUUCGAUGGGGCCUCUAAUGCUGUGGGAAACGGAAUCGGGGCAGUCUUGGUAGCCCCAAAUAGAGAUCAUUAUCCCUUUACUAGUAAAUUUGAUUUUGAUUGCAUAAAUAACAUGGUGGAGUACGAAGCAUGCAUCAUGGGUAUCCGUGCAGCCAUUGAACAUAAAAUCAAGGUGUUAGAAGUAUAUAGGGAUUUUGCACUAGUAAUCUAUUAGCUCAAGGGCGAAUGGGAAACAAGAGACCCCAAAUUGAUUAGUUACCAGCUAGUUUUAGAGUUAAUUGAGGAGUAUGACUACAUCACUUUCUGUUAUCUCCCACAAGAUGAGAACUAGAUGACCGAUGCCUUUGCUACUUUAGCUUCUAUGAUCAGAGUAAACAAGCAAAAAGAUGUGAAGCCUAUCCGAAUGAGUAUUUAUGAGGCUUUGGCUUAUUGCUACAAUAUUGACGAAGAAGAAAAAUAAAGAUGAUCACUCUUGGUAUCACGAUAUAUUGCGAUAUGUGAGGAAUCGUGAAUACCAAACCAAGCAACUGAGAAUGAUAAAAGGACAUUGAGAAGGCUGGCCAGUGACUAUGUCCUAGACGAAGAAAUCUUAUAUAAAAGAAAGAAGGAUCAAGUGCUGUUAAGAUGUGUGGAUGCUGUUGAGGCUAAGCAAAUCUUGGAAGAGGUCCAUGAGGGUGCCUGUGGAACACAUGAUAAUGGUUUUACAAUGGCCAAAAAAAUUAUGAGAUUCAGAUAUUAUUGGUCUACUAUGGAAGGGGAUUGCAUCAGCUAUGCCAAGAAGUGCCAUAAAUACCAAAUUUAUGGAGAUAAAAUUCAUGUACCUCUUUCACCACUUCAUGUCAUGAAUUUACCAUGGCCUUUCUCUAUAUGGGGCAUGGAUGUUAUUGGGCCAAUCUCACCGAAAGCGUCUAAUGGGCAUUGAUUCAUCUUCGUAGUUAUUGAUUACUUUACCAAGUGGGUAGAAACCACCUCUUAUGCCAAUGUCACAAAAUCGACAGUCAGAAAAUUCUUAAAAAAGGAGAUCAUAUGUCGAUAUGGAAUGCCCGAAAGGAUCAUAUCUGACAACGCAUUGAACUUGAAAAAUAGCACAAUAGCAGAGGUCUGUAGCCAAUUCAAGAUCAAACACCAUAACUCGUCACCAUAUCGCCCAAAAUUGAAUGGUGCGGUGGAAGCGACCAAUAAGAAUAUCAAGAAGAUCGUGGCGAAAAUGACUGAGACUUAUAAAGAUUGGUAUGAGAAGUUACCAUUUGCCCUUUAUGCUUAUCGAACGUCUGUUAGGACCUCCACCGGGAUAAUGCUUUUCUCUUUGGUUUAUGGAAUAGAGGUGGUUCAGCCGAUUGAGGUUGAGAUUCCCUCUCUACGAGUUCUGUCAGAACUAAAGUUAGAUGAAGCAGAAUGAAUCUAGUCUCGAUAAGAAAAGAGGCUAAAAGUUAUCCGUCAUGGUCAAAUGUACCAAAAGCGAAUGAUGCGGGCUUAUAACAAGAAGGUUCACCCUAGGGAAUUCCAUGAAGGGGACCUAGUUUUGAAAAAGAUCCUCCCCAUAUAAAAGGACUUCAGAGGAAAAUGGAUGCCAAAUUGGGAGGGACCAUAUGUGGUGAAGAAGGCCUUCUCUGGAGGAGCUUUGAUUUUGACCGAGAUGGAUGGAAAAAGUCUGCCUAAUCCCUUGAAUUCAGAUUCGGUCAAGAGGUAUUUUACCUAAAAAAAAGAAGAGGAGAGGCCAAUGUAAAAACCCGCAAAAGGGCACUUUGAGACCAAAGGGGUUUUGAGUUGAAAACCCAAGAAUGAGCAAUUCAAAUUUUGAUCAAAGAUGGGGCAUGCGAUAGUCUUGUCUUUUAUUAAUUAACAAGAAGGAGGGAUGCUACAUCUUGGGGCAUCAACAAAGUACUCUAGGUCUUCUAAACACAUAUCAAGUUCAAAGGGUCCUCAAGAAGUUUUGUGCAAAGAAGCUCAUGCUACGAUAUCUGAGGCACCUAUUUUCAUUUUUUUCAUUUUGUAUUUUAGCAAAAUUUACUAUCUUGAUCAAAUUAUUCAUUCUAAGCUUCGUUCUCAAUAAGAUUCUUUUGGUCUAUUGCGAUAAUCUUUUUCAAGUGUUUUUCGUGGAAAUAACGAUUAGUGGACUAAUAAUAUUCAAAGGAAAAGGAGUUUUGCAUAUUACUCUAAAAUGCUUCUAAAUAAUACAAGAACCUAAAACGGGACCACUAGUUAGAACCAACUAAAUUCGAGAGUUGAAAAUGUUGGGGAAAGAAUGAUCCAAAUUAAGAUUAUCCUUCAGGUUCUUUGCCAGAGAUACCAGCUGAAGAAAAAGGAUAGAUAAUACGUUAAUGAUAAAACCUCGAUGAACAAUGAGCAAUGCCAACACAAGCAUUAAAAGAAGAUCAUGCUAAAAAUGACAUUUUUUCUUUGUAUUCAUGAAAACAUCAUUCAUAUACAUCUAGUUAUGAGCAUUUGAUUCACCCUGAUCAUAACAUCCUAGUCACUUGGCAUAAAGAUAGGCCUAUGAAAUCAAUUUUAAAGGUCAUGUUCCCCGAAGAACGGUGCAACAGAUCAGUGAAACCACAAGUUCUAUACCCCCGAAGUUACAAUGGGACGAAUUUAAGUCAUCAUGGUGAAUCUUAUCUCUCUAAAGUUGCAGUGAAGCAGAUUAAAACCACAAACCUUAUCUCCCUGAAGUUGCAGUGGAGCAGGUUGAAGUCACGAAUCUCAUUUCCUUGAAGUUGCAGUGGAGCAGAUUGAAGUUACAAGUUUUAUGUCCCUGAAGUUGUAGUGGAGCAAACUGAAGAUAGAAAAUCAUAUCCCUUUUGAAGUUGCAGUGGAGCGGAUUAAAGCUAUAAAUCCUAUACCUUUGAAGCUGCAGUAGGUCGGAUCAAAUCCAUCAUGGUAAAUCUUAUCUCCUUAAAGUUGCAGUGGAGUAGAUUGAAGACACAAACAUUAUCUCCCUAAAGUUGCAGUGGAGCAGGUUGAAGUUAUGAGUAUUAUCUCCCUGAAGUUAUAGUGGAAUAAACUAAAGCUACAGAUUACAAAUAUUAUCUUGCUGAAGUCAUAGUGGAGUGGAUCAAAGCAACAAUUCCUAUACCUCUGAAGAUGCAAUGGGAUGGAAUGAGGCUACUCGAAGAAGAGAAAUACUAGAAAAGUCAAGAUUCGAUAAGACUAGGCAAAACUGGCCUUUUUCGAAGUCUUUUCUCCAUUCACGUUACAUGUCAACGAGCAAAGAGGGGCAGUUGUAAUAGGCCAAUUUUGACCUGUCCUAGUUAAUAAAUAAAACCCAAACAAAUAAAUAAUAAAAGUCUAAAAUUUGCAGUCCAUUUUUACAAACAUCAUGGCCCAAUUUACAACAUGCAUAGCCCAAAUAAAAAAAAACUACCCAAACCCAAUUACAAAGCCCAAAACAAAUCAACCCUAGCCCACUUAAAACAUUUCAGCAAAAAAGUAAACCCUAGCCACAUGCCUUCAGCCGCCGCUCCUCCCACACGUUACCCUAGGCCGCUGCACGCACGUCUGUCACCACCCUUCCGCACAUCUGAUGUCUUUGACAACCACCUGCAACACGCAAGCGAAAGAAUCCAAGCAGAAGAACCAAACAGAAACAACAAAAAAAAAAA
RNAcentral lists this long non-coding RNA (92940 nucleotides) under Gossypium barbadense (sea-island cotton). RNAcentral's name for it is "long non-coding RNA (GBAR_LNC009387)". The stretch from base 13497 to 13602 matches the Rfam family "Plant small nucleolar RNA R71". The record is from RNAcentral. Lineage: Eukaryota; Viridiplantae; Streptophyta; Magnoliopsida; Malvales; Malvaceae.